GUCCAGAUGGCGGCAGUUUUGAUGCUUACUUGUGAAAAUGGUGUGAUAUGUUUGAUGAUAAUACUUUCUAGUAUGUGUUUUCUUGACCUGUCAGUCUUCUGAUGCGUAGACACAGAGCAGAACUUCUAUGGCACGGAAUGCAAGAGAAGAACAGACUUGUUGUGGAUGCUAAAUUCUGUGCUUGUUUGUUUUGCUGUCCGUCUCAUUCUGUCAUUCGCCUUAAAACUUUUGCCCAUAAGCACUCUGGGCGGUUGGCCUUUUAGAAAUUUUAUUAUAUAAUUGGGGCCAUCCGAUCUCUCUUUCCCCUAUCAACCGUGCGAGAAUCGCUGGCCGCUGCCUCGGUAGACUUACGCCUUCCACGCCAGCGACGUUGACGUACGGACUCGAGGAGAAGCACAACGGCCACCCUUCCCGGCCAUGUUCGUCGUGAUCGCUGAUGGCCGCUGUCUGACAUGCAAACAACGUUGCACAUCUCUGAGUCUGGCUGCUGCCACUUCGAACAUCCACAGCUGGAUCUCUCAAACCAUCUUUCAUAUGCUUGCGGACGCGCCCCGAUCAGUGGCCGGAUAGGAGAGAAGGAAAAAAAUGACCCAACUAGACCCCCCAUAUCUUUCAUCUUUCAUAUGCUUGCGGACGCGCCCUGAUCAAUGACCGAAUAGGAGAGAGAGGGAAAAAAGUAACCCAACUGGACCCCUCAUAUCUUUCCUAUAUGUCUGGUCUGUCCGCGAACCCGUGUAUCUAUCUCAAAUAUGGGGGGAUAUGAGGGCUCGCGGACAAGCCGGGGCGCGCCCGAUCAAUCCGUCACAUAAGACGCGGCCUCACCCUCGACCACCUUUUCUCUUCCUUUAAUCAUUCUUUUCUUUCUCCAUCUUUAUCUACCUCAAUCAUGGGCAAGUGACCGGACAGAUGAGGAAGAAAAUGAGGACUGCGCGGAUGAAUAAAUAGGGGGAGAACGUUCAUCAUCCGACUGAUCUUUCUCUCUCAUAAGCCUCCUUCUCCACGCGCCACGUACCCACGUCAGGCUGCCCACCGCUUCGCCCCAGCCUUAUCCUAUCUCUAACGAAGCUCCUCCACUCAUUUCUUCAUUUUUUUCUCCCUCUUACAACUCAUCGCCAGAGGAGAUUAGCCAUGGUGAGCACCACCACCAGCAGCUAGAAAAUCAGAAGAGUUUGACGCCGGCCGUAGGCACUAGCGUCGGAGCUCCUCCCUUGCAUUGCUGCAGGCGGCAUAGCUGCAAAGCAGCGUCCAUGGAGCGAAGCCAUGGCGAGCACCACCACAGCAGCGGGGGAACUGGGAGGUGCUGCUGGCAAUCGAAACGGCGCUCGUCGACGAACGCCGGUGCUGCUUUCAUCCAUGGCCGCCGAGAUGGGACACAGCAACUUGUCCACGGCCGUUGCGCUACGUUGCGCUAGGUUGCAAUCUUGUCUGCAUUGCGAUGCAAUCUGGUGUGCCGAUGGAGCGCUCGGCGUCGGCGGCGGAGCUGCAAUGGAGCGCUCGGAGCCGGCGGCGGAGCUGCAAUGGAAGUGCAAGUCGCCGGCGGCGGAGCUGCAAUGGAGCGCUCGGAGCCGGUGGCGGAGCUGCAAGUCGCCGGCUAUGGAGUUGCAAUGGAGCGCUCGUCGGCGGCUCCCCCGUACUGCAUCGCAGCGCUUGCCGACGGCUCAAUGUAGCAUCAUCGGUGGCUCAAUGCAGCGUCGUCCGUGGCUGAUGCAGCUUUGCCGGCAACUCUUGGGGGAGCCCGUGUCGCAAGUCGCAACUGCACGCUUGGAGUCUUCGUUGUUGCCACGACCGGCGACAGUUACGCGUUUGCAAGGCGAGGAACGGCUGGGGCAAGCUUGGUGCUGCAAGCGAGCGGCUGCGAGCUAGUUCAGGGCUGCGACCCAGUGUGUGGGGAUUUUUGGCAAGGCUGCGACACAAGGAAGACGAGGCCACGCUCGGCGUCGUAUUGCGUGAGAGCGACACGGUCAAGUACAAGUUGACUAAUCGUACGUCUGUGAGAGCUUUGAUCGGACGGCUGGGACCCGAUUGAUUUCUCAUGAAAUCAGUCGAAUGAUUUUUAGCAGCCGUCAUAAAUAGGGGUUUAAAAUAAACACGCCCGGUCACUGACCGGGCACGGCCGCAGACAUUUGAGGGAUCGAAUUAGAGGUACGUGGCUGAAGAUGCUCUUGCACCUCCAUGCAUGCAGCCCAAAAUGGUACACGGCCGCAUGAAGCACAAUUGUGCUUAAGUGUUUUUUUCUUCAAAAGUGAAAUACGGUAGUGCUUCGGUUUGGAGCGCAAUUGUGUUUUUGUGCUUUUCACAAAAGUGAAGCACAAAUGUGCUUUCGUGUGAAAGCAUAACUGCUUUUCCCGGUAAGUGAAUAACAAAUGUGCUUCCCCGUGAAACAUACUUGUGCUUUUAUGGUUAUUUUCUUUUUCUUUUUACGGUUACCGUUUUUUCAGUAUUUCGUCUUUUGUCUCUAUUUUUUGUUUGGUUUUUGGGAUUGGGCCAAAAAAAUGUUCGUCGAAACCUGUCAAAGUUCGAGGAUCUCAACGUGAGAAAUGCAACGGUAAAACGAUUCAUGAUUUGAACGGAUGGUUCAAGAGAUAAAUUAUUUUGAUGAAACAACUCUACAAAGAAAAGCACAAACAAAUCCACAUGCCUCCCGUGUAUGUGAAGAAAUCUCACCAAAAAAUUCAUAGGUUGUGACAAGAAUCGCACAUAGAUUACGCCACUUGUCACCACAAGAGAAGAUGGGACUGUCCCUUGCAAAAAGUACCCCUUAAGGUUGUAGAGCACAGGGACGAUGCCAUCAUAAGGGCAUGUAUGAUCGACCGCCUCGAGUAGUCGCGUAAUGUGAUCCCCAAGUGGCCAAGUCCAACCAUGAUCCGUUUUGGAGUAGACAUGUCUACCUGGAUAUGGAACAAGAAAACUGGGAACCUCCUAUAUGACGCAUUUUGCCUCGUAUAGGAGCUCGACGCAGACGGGCGACGCUCGACUUGGCCAGCCCACCGACACGAAAGCCACUUGUGUUUCCUAGUGCGCAACCUAAGAAAUCCUAGAAAACAAUAGAGCACGUGAGGAUUGGAUCCCACGAUCUCGCUCACACCAUACUCGCGACUGCGACCAGUUAGCCACUCCACCACACAGUCGCUGCUGAACAUGAAGCGCGAAACUCUAUAGCACACACAUCAGGGUUGAUAUAUGGAAAACAUUUUAGAAACAUUUCUUGAAAAUUGUGAACAAUUUUUAAAUGCCGCAAAUAUUUUUUGAUAUUCCAAAUUUGUUUUCUGAAAAAAUGUGAACAACUUUUGUAAUAUAGAAUUAGAAAACACGGACAUUUUUUGCACAACCCAAACAGUUUAAUGAAGUUGUGAACAAAUUUUGAAAAAAAGAACAUUUUUUGAAUUUCCUGAUUUUUUUUGAAAACACAAACAUAGAAAAAUUCGAAAAUGAGAACAUUUUUGAAAUACCUGAUUUUUUAAAUUGCGAUUUUAAUAAAAGAGAACAUUUUUUGAAACACGGACAUUUUUCGAAAUUGUGAACAAAAUAUGAAAAUAAAAACAUUUUUUGAAAUUCUUGAAAAUUUGUUGAAAUUGGCAACAAAUUUUAAAAAUGAGAAAAUAUUUUGAAAUUCCAAAUAAUUAUUACAAAUUUUCAAACAAAAGAAACAUUUAAAAGGAAAUAGAAAAUAGGAAAUAAAAAAGAAAUAAAAAAGAAAAUGAGAGAGAAGCAGAACAAGAAAAAAAGAAAAAGAAAAUGAGAGAGAAGGUUCUAGAAGGUUCCCAAAACCGAUAAAAACCGCUAGGAACCCUCUAGAAGAUUCCCAAAACUAUAACGUUGUACAUAUUACAGAUUGGCUGGCCCAAUCGCUCGCUCGGACGCUUCCUAUGUGCGAUUGGUCGGUAGUUUGAUGCAAAAUGCAUUAAACAUGGAUUUCCGGAAAACUUAUCGUGGUCUAGACUUAAGUAACAAAAAAGGGUAGAAGUAGCCCAGUUGUAGCCCAAAUUUGAUAUCUAUAAUUGUCUGAGUGCCGACCGUGUAGGUAAUCCCUAUUUUGCGCUUCAGGCGCCAGUUAUAGGCCAUUUUGCUUUUUUUUGAGGUAAACAGCUAAGUUUUAUUCAUCAAUCCAUAUGUCUACAAGUACUCCCUCCGUUCCUUUUAUGUAAGGUGUAUUAUUUCCGGCACGGUGACCAAGACACAGAAAUAUAUGCAUGUUAGGACGAAAUUACCCUUGACAAAUUUAUUUGUUAGUGCUAAGUAAAUCAGUUAGUCAAGGAAAUUAAAGUAUGAGAUACAUGCAAUUGACAGAGAGAUACUUUCCUUCUUUUGUUACAAGGAGAGAUACAGACAAUCAGGAGAGAGAUACUUUCCCUUUUUCUGGAGGGCUAACAAGAGAAUUAUGUGGAAUUAGAAAAAAUGCACCUUACAUUCUACAAUUUUAUCAAAAAACAAAUACACCUUAUAUAAAGAAACGGAGGGAGUAUUACAUAAGGAUCAUGUGGUUGCCCCAACCAAAUGUGGCGGCCUUGAUCCAACUUAAGAGCAUGCGUAGCUAGUUUAUGUGGCUCAACAUUUGAGCUCCUAGAUUAAAAUUUAAAAACACAAGAAAUGAAGAGAUAUUUCCACUCCAAAAUCUCCUUGACUACUCCACCAUAGUUUCCACCCUACACUUCCUUGAUAUGCUUAACAACUGUUUCGCAAUCCGACACGAUCACUAAGUUUGUAGCCCAAGAUCUUCUGCUAGUUAUAGUCCCUCCCGGCAUGCUAUAGCUCAAGACUGGCUGGGUCCGUCAGGCCCCGUAUGACAAAAACAAAAGAACCCAAAUAUGCACCUGAGCCAUUUCUACACACCGCGGUCGCUGUCCCGACACCACGAGAGACGGCGGCAUCAACAUUGAUCUUCAAAUGACCCUGAACAGCCGGAAUCCAUCUCCUUGGUGCUGCUACUGCUGUAUUACAUACCCAGUUCCCACUAGAGGGGUGAAUCUCUCCCAGCUCCAUAAUGAAGUGGGUAAUGAACAUAUAAGUGGACAGAGGGCUCUGAUCAAUUCCCUCAUGAAUCAGUCUGUGCCGCGCCCACCAUAUAGGCCAGGUAGUGACUGUUAACUUAAUAAAUAUCUCAUGCGAGAGCUGCUCAAACAGAGUAAACAACUAGUCCUCGCGUUCUGUUCAUUAUUUUCCAUCAACUCUUCGAUCAGCUCCUUGUCAACUAAUGACCACACACAACGAGCAGCCGUACAAUCCAGUAGGUUGUGCCUCCAAGAGUCCAGCAUGCCACAAAUAGCGCAAGUACAUGUUGCCGACAUAUUCUGGUGCAUUCUCAUGUCUUCCGUCGGUAUGGAAUGAUGCACUAGUCUCCAUAAAAAUACUCAGAGUUUCGUCUCCAUCAAAAUACUCAGAGUUUCGUUGGAACGUAAGUUUUCCAUAGUUUGACCCAACUCUUAUCCUCUUCCUUCCUACUCUAGGGCCCCGGGCGCUGUUCUAACAAGUCUUCACGCCGGCACUUUGUUUCAACUAUCAUACGAUAAGCAGACCUAAUAGAAAACUUCCCAGAUUUUUCAUGCAUCCAUCACCAGUAAUCAUCCACAACUCAAGCAAAUAGGGAUUUGCAGUAUCUCAGCCGCAUCACAAGGCAGAAAAACAUGGUUUACGAGCUCCAUAUUUCAUCGGGCGUUCACUGUAUCAAUUAAUUUAGAGACAAGUUGCGGUGGAUCCAGCACUCUAGACACCAUCGGCCUCAUGAACUCCGGUCUUGGGAUCCAGUCAGUGUUCCUGAUUUUCAUGGAGGAACCAUCACCCAGUGGCGGAGCUUGGGACACAUCUUAGGAGGGGCAAAUGGGCUGGGGGGAGGGGGGGCAACCAACAUCUGGUUUAGGCUAGAUUUCUAUGAAUCUGUGGGCAGUUUACUCAUGAUAAUAUGAACAAAUCUCCUGGGCAGGGGGGGCGAUGGCCCAGGUUGAUCUUCACUAAGCUCCGCCACUGCCAUCACCUAUGCAUCUAACCAAGCCCUAUUUCAUGAUAUCCCUACCCUCCAAUAUUGAUCUCCAAACCUGGGAAGGGUGAUUUGAUUUCCCAAGUUGGCCUCAAGGAUGGAGCAUGAGGGAAAAAUACACAAUCUUCAGUAUGCGAGCACCGAGAAUGUUGAGGGAAACUAGAAUCCUCCAAGAUUGUUGACCAAGUUGAACAAUUCAAAAUCCCUGAAACCAAGGCCACCCAUGUACCUUGGCAUAGUCAUCUUGUCCCAUGAAACCCAAUAGGGCUUUCUCUUCCCCUGUUUGCUUCCCCACCAAAAGGCCCUAAUAGCUGAAGUUUAUUUUUCACACAACCCACGUGGGAUCUUGAAACACGACAUCGAGAAGACAAGAAUAGCUUGUGCCACUGAUUUGAUUAAAACAUCUUUACCUGCUGCUGAAAGUGUUUUCUCCAUCCACCCUCUAAUCUGUUCCACAGCCGGUCAGCAGAUACUUGAAGGCACCAUUUUUGGAUGAUCCUACAUCCCCAAAUAUUUCUCACUUAGUUGCUCAUUGGGAAAUUGUAAAAUAAUCUUCACCUAUGCUCUUACCACUUUUGGACACCCUUUACUAAAGAAAAUCGAUGAUUUGUCUUUAUUUACUCUCUGUCCAGAUGCUCUAGCAUAGGCAAAAUGGACUCCGCCGACGAGUUCUUUUUCCGUAAAUUCCUUUGCGACUCCGACGAUUCAUCGUCCGAUGAUGAUGAGGAGAUCUUGGUGUUGGGGAACGUUGCAUGAAAAACAAAAAAUUUCUAUGCACACACAAGAUCUAUCCAUGGAGAUGUAUAGCUACGAGAGGGGAGAGUAUCUUCAUACCCUUGAAGAUCGCUAAGCGGAAGCAUUUAUCAACGCGGUUGAUGUAGUCGUAUACCUUCACGAUUCGUCCUGAUCAAGUACUGAAUGUACGGCACCUCCGUAUUCAGCACAUGUUCAGCUCGAUAAUGUCCUCGCCUUCUUGAUCCAGCAAGAGGGGCGAAGUAGUAGAUGAGUUCCGGCAGCAUGACGGCGUGGUGAUGGUGUUGGUGAAGAACAAUCCCGCAGGGCUUUGCCAAGCACAACGGAAACUAGACAGAGGAUAAACUAGAGUGACGGGGUUGCCAGCACACGGCUUAGUGAAUUUCGAUGUGUCCCGUGUGCUAGCCCCGCCUCUCUAUUUAUAUGUUGAGCCCUUGGUUAAAACUUGGAGUAAAAGCCUUCUCGAAGUCGGUUUUGCCCGAUAGGCAAGAGUCCUUCUCGGACUCGAGGACCAGACGCCACAGUCCUUGGCCUCUGGCCCAGACGCCAUGGGCCUCGACAUCUUGCCCAGGGCCAGACGCCAGGGUCUCCGGGAUUUGGUCUCUGACCUCCGCAAAACUUCCUUUUGCACCGACCUAAAGCCCCCUGGGCCUUACCCGUUGGCCUAACCAUAUCAUCAUAUAUAUCAAUCUUUACCUCCGGACCAUUCCGGAGCUCCUCGUCAUUUCUGUGAUCUCAUCCGGGACUCCGAACAACAUCCGGUCCACAACAUACAUAACUCAUAUAAUAUUAUAUCAUCAACGAACGUUAAGUGUGCAGACCCUAUGGGUUCGAGAAUGAUGUAGACAUGACCGAGACGCUUCUCUAGUCAAUAACCAAUAGUGGGACCUGGUGGAUGACCAUAUUGGUUCCUACGGGUUCGGUACUAGAUCGGUUGGAUCGUGAAGACGUUCGACUACAUCAACCACGUUAACCUAACGCUUCCGCUUUUGGUCUACGAGGGUACGUGGACACACUCUCCCCUCUCGUUGCUAUGCAUCUCCUAGAUAGAUCUUGCGUGAGCGCAGAUUUUUUUUUUGAAAUUGCAUGCUACGUUCCCCAACAAUUUGUGCGCUUUACCAAGACCAAUGUCGUGAAACACACCAUGGUAUAUUUUGUAUCUUUUCUCUUUUUUCCUUCAUAGCACUAUAUGGCAAGAUGUCUAACAUUGUGUGCUCUAUUUUGUUUCUAAUCACGGGGAUCAUAGAAAUUUUCUAUGCGACGUGGUUUAUUUGCAAGCUUUAGAUGUCUUGAGCAAGAAUCUAUUAGAUUAAGAUGGUUGCAAAACGGAAUUAAAAAGUAUAUGUGUGAAGCAAUUAUUGUUGAACUAAUAAAAAUACAUAUGCCCAUGUUCCAACACAUGGGUAAUUAACUAGUCUACUAUAGACAAACAUACAUUUAGCAAUCAACACCUUUCUUCUACCAGAUAUGUGUCAACACAUGCCAUUGCCUCCGGGAUUACCUCCAUGCCGCCGCCUUGGUUACCUUCCCCUCUCCAUUCCAACAGCCUUGUCGGUGAUUAGAUAAGUGGGGCAAUGUCCCUUCGUAAUUCUUAGUUAUAGUGAUUCCUUAUAUUUUUACCUUAGGUUUUGGUUUCACCACGGCAUCGAUGAGGUGGCGAUCACAUGGAUGGUUGGAAGAAGGUCUCUUUGGCAUGUCUCUACCUUGAAGACAUAUGAUCUGAUGCUUAUGAAGGGCCAGUGAGGAUAGGUGAUGCGAGAUAUCUUGGCUCCCUUUGGGUCUGGCACUUGAUGUGUGGAUAAAAGAGAGUGGUUGGCUAGCUUUUGGUGCAGUGACUUUGACUUCUUCUUUCAGUUCUAUCUAUGGCAAUCUGAUUUCUUCCACCCUGUAGAUUGGUGGAGUAGGAUUGAAUGUCUGCGCUGUUCAAUGGGUGACUAUUGCAUUCAACGGUUCAAGAAUGCACUAGAUGAUGCUCCUUCAACGGUUACUAUAUUUCUUUGCUAUCAAUGGGUGACACUUGCAUUCUUGAAAGGCUUAUGUGAUGAGGGUGUCCGCAACUCUUCCUUUUCCGUACAAUCUUCUCAGUGCAUUCUUCAAGCUCAAGUAUAUGACAAACUGUCGAAGGAAGAUGUCAAGAAAGGCAUUGAAUAUGAUAUUAUUUUUAGAGGUCGUUUUAUGCCACGUUACCCCUUUUGUACUAACUAUUGUAUUCACUAAUAAAUAUUAUCUGUAAGAUGCCCUUGGGUAUCAUCUCUAAAAAAAUAUAGACACUUCUAUCAAGAUAUUUGUUGGAUACUUCUCUAUAGUUCAAACACUUUGUCAUUAUGUUGCAGGACACAAAAUGCAGUAGGACGUAUACAUGUCUUAAGCCUUAUAUUUACUAUUUAUUAACCAGGAUAUGUUCUUUCUGAUUGUUCAUCCCCACCUCUCACGUAUAUUUUACUGCUAAGGAUAUUCUAAAAAAUGACAAACUAACUUGAAUUCAAGAUAACUAAUCUACAAUAAACAAAACUUAACCACGCCUGUCAAAUCUCUAAAAAAUUAUAAUAAAUAUAUAGAGGCCUGUAAUUUCAUAUUUAUCUUUAGUUUUCUGCAUGCCUAGAAAGAGCCAAUCUAAAAUAUUUUCCUAAAUGCAAAUUUAUCAAGAUGAGAACAAUUCAUGUUAUUUCUAUUGUAAAAUGCAAUUCAGAAUCAGACUAAACGGUUGGAAAUAUUAAACUUAUGUGGUUAAUUUUGUUAGGUGUAAUAAAAAACUGUAUUUACAAAAUAAUCAUAAAACUUCUUCCUGGAAAUACCAAGGGUUCAUCAGUCCAAUCAGACCAGUUUAUGUAUUCAAUGUAAGACCCACCAUGAGAUGCAAGUCUGUCUCUUCAAGCUCUUAGCUGAUGCAUAAGAAAUCGGGGCAGCAAAAAAGUUCUGUCGAAAGGUUUGAUGAUUGGGCAGGAACAAAUUCGUUUGAAUCAACGAGCUACUGGUUAUGGGCAGCAAGUUAGUAUUAUUCUUGCUCAAUAUAAUGCAUGCAUUUUCAUUUUUUGUGUAGGUUGCUAUUUGUGAUUCACCUCAAUGUACUUGGUUUUUUGAUAGUUCAUUUCUCAUACGACAUGAACUUCUGGUUGUUCUUACUGAAAGUGUAAUUCAAUAUGACCUAAGUUAUACAAUAUGAUUUUUUUCUUCAAUUGAAAAUAAUAAUUUCCGGAUUUUACAUUCUUGCAAGGGUAGAAGAGGUUGCAGACAAACCAAUUUAUAUGUGGACACUUCAUAUUGUCAGUGGGCAUACUCUUGGUCAUUUAUGUGCUGCAAUGGUGCCUCUUUUUUUUAUUCUCAUGUUAGCGAAAAGGACAAGGCCAAUUUAACCAGAAAGGUAUGAACUGAUAAUUCCAUAGACUCAUGUGUAAAGUGGAAUUUGAUUCAACCGUGCAUGAUUUUUCUUACCAAACUUAAUGUGGUGAGUACCAGUCCAACAAAUACUUUCCUCGUUCCUUUCCAAAUAUUUGUGUUUCUUCAUCCAGUCUAGUUCUGCUAACAAUUUCACCACAUUAAGGUUGGAUUUGCUCAUGUGACAUGGUUGUUUGUUUGGUUGUGUGGUGAAGGGCAUGUGCUUGGAGAUGGGGAAGUGUCUCAUCCAUGAUCCACACAAUAUAUUUGAUGCAUUUAUUGGAUACAUUUAUUUAACAAUCAUUGAAAAAAUUGCGAACGCCACUGCGUUGCAUCAUUAUGCCAUACAUUAUUUUAUUGCAUUCAUCUGCUUAUGCAUUUUGGCCACCACUAGAGUUUCCAUUGUUUUAUAAGUAUAUUGUAAUUUUUAUGCUGACCAAUAUGUCCAAAUGCUCUUAUAUAUCAACUACUCAACCAUAUGCAGUGCGUGUUUAUGUCUUGUAGGGGUAAAAUCAACAACAAAAACAACAACAACAACGACGACGAUAACAAAGCCUUUAGUCCCAAACAAGUUGGGGUAGGCUAUGCUGAAACCCAUAACAUCUCACAACGAACUCAUGGAUCUGGCACAUGGAUAGCUAGCUUUUACGCACCUCUGUUCAUGGUUAGUUCUUUGGUGAUACUCCAGUCAUUCAGAUCUCACUUUACGGACUCCUCCUAUGUCAAGUUUGGUCUACACCGACCUCUCUUGACAUUAUACUCCUUAAUGACCCUCUCUUUGGAUGGUUGAGCUACCCCCGGGCUUCCACCACUUCGUUCUAGUGACUUUGGCACGCUUAUCCUGUUGGGACAUGAAUCCGAAAGAGAAAGUCAUUCACCACAAGCUUAUGCUGAGGGACAACACUCUCUCCAGGUAUCACCUUACAAUCAAGACAAGCACGCCAGUCUUCUCUUCUCAAGAGGAUGAAAUCAAUCUCACUAGAGUGUUGACCACUACUAAGAGUCACUAGAUGUGAUUCGUGUUAAAGUGGAUGUUAGCUAUGAUCAUCGUAGGCUAGAGGAAAUCUUAAGACAUCUUCUCCUUCUUGAUUCCUGAUGCGAUAGCCAAAGCCCCGAUGCAUCGCUUCAAAACCUAUGUUAGAUGUAUCCACGUGGCCAUUGAGGUAUCCUCCUAUGAAGAGCUUCUUGCCAAUAGGUACUCCUAACCAUGUUCUCCAUGCCUUCCUAGAACUCCUUGGUGUUCUCAUUGUGGCCUACUUGCGGGGCAUACACGUUGAUAACAUUUAGAACUAAGUCCCCAGCUUGACCAGGACAAUCUGGUCCCCACGCCUCCUGACGUCUACCACUCCACACUUGAGGCUCUUGUUGAUCAAGAUGUCUAUUCCAUUCCUGUUUGUAGUUGUCCCCGUGUACCAUAGCUUGAAGCCGGUAUCUCCACCUCCUUUGCUUUCUAUCCUCUCCAUUUGGUUUCUUGGACUCAAAAUGAUAUCAACACCUCUCCUCACCGCUGUAUGAACUAGCCCCUGAAGUUUACCUGUCAGGGUUCCUAUUUUCCAGCUACCUAAACGAGUCCUCCUAGGCUCGGCUAGCUUCCUUAUUCUUCACAGUCGUCGAGUCAAAUGCGAAGACCCUUCAUUUUUCAUUACACGCGGGCGUCGAUGUAGCGCACCACUAAGGAUGCGAUGUGACGACCUGAUCCUUGCUCACUUGUCACCGUAUCCAGAUCAAGAUACUACGCGCCACCUGGUGGGUGACGGCCCGGCCCUUGCCCAUUUGACACAACACCAGGGUUCUGAUAUGGCGCAUCGCUGAGAGGGUUACGCCCCAAAGAUUUUAUUCUAGGUUCAUCUCCAUUAAGAGUGGCUGAGUUCUUGAUGUUGGCUCGCCAAGCCUAUCACAACUCUCGUUUACUCGGGCUUGGGACCGGCUAUGUUGAGACAACAUAGGCAGAGUUGUCUUGUAGGGUACACACAAAGAGUAUAAUUUUGAUUACAUGAUCUGACAAUUUCCCUCGUUUCAGACACAUGAUUCUAGUGCAUCAUCAAUUAAUGCUUGCUUUCAUGGUCUGCUUAUUGGUGCCCAAGAUGAUCUGCCUAUGGAUGCCCAAGUUACAAGUAUGAUAAUCUUCUGAUCCAUGUCCAAGCAAAUAAGAGUCACUCCACAUAUUGACCAUGUUGCUGCUUUGUCUAGAGGCCUGACACUACAUAAUUACUAACCUCCCUUGACAAUUGACUCAUUCCAUACCAUACUAUGUGCAUUAUGUUAUUAUGGAGGUAAUUAUACAAUGAUAACUUUACUACCAUGUCAUGCUUUCUCCACAAUUUUAGAAAGUAAAAUCUGUCUCUAGCAUGCAUGUGAUUCUUGCAUUGAUAUUUAUUUAUUUGGAUAACCUAAUUAACUUCUUCCACACUCGUGAAAAUUAGAUAAGUUCUUUUUCAUGUGUGACUUAUUGACUGUGUUGUUGCUCUAAAUCAGGUUAGUGCCAAAAUGUAUGAAAUCAACAUUUUGAUGUGGGAGUUUAGUGCUCGUCAUGUGGCUAAUCAGGCAAAGACCUCAGAGGAGCGAGGAAUGUUAGAAACCCCAAUUUGUGCUCCGCAAAUAGUCCCGCGUAUUCGUGGCCUUUAUGGGAUGGACAUUCUUACAAAGUGAACGAUCGGAUGAGUCCAUAUUUGGAUUAUGGGGCACGUCCGCUGUUGGCAAGACACGGCUUCUUUCGCUUAUCGCUGAUAGCUAUGCUGAUUCAUUUCAUCACGUCAUAUUUCUUGAUGGUGGCAGUUGCCUGAGAGUCAUGCAAAAUCAUUUCGCAUAUUUUUUGAAAUUGGAUUGGGAGACAAUCUCAUUGUUAGAGGAGCAUUACCGAGCUAAAAUCAUUAUGGAGUACCUAAGAGCAUGUCAGUUUUUUGGUUCUGUUAGACGAUGUGCAAGAUGAAGUCUACCCAGAUUUAACAGCUCUUGGUUUGCCGAUGGCUGUUGGGCAUCGGCAAAAAGUUGUUCUUACGGCGAGGAGUCAGGUAGUAUGUGCUCGCAUGGAAUGCACCAUAUCAAACACUCUGGAGAUGAAGUGUCUUGGGGAUGAAGAUGCUUGGAGUCUUUUCGAGUAUAAUGCGGGAGUAAAAAUCACAGAAGCUAAUACUGAAAUUUAUGAAUAUGCAAAACAAGUAUUAUAUAUUUCUACAUAAUAACUUUUCAGAUAUACGUUUAACCUACAAAUAAAAACUGUGCACUAUAAUUUAUAGUUUAUAUUGGUUAUUAGAUGGUUUCAGCAUGUGGAGGGUUGCCUAGAGCCAUAUGUGCUAUUGGCCUGGGCAUUCGGUUACACCGAACCGAUCGGUUCGGUGCCUCGGUCUAUUUUUAAUUUCGGUUUCCAAAUUUUAUGGACCGAUCGGUCUUUUGAGAAUUCACUAACCGAGGCUUUCGGUCCAGCGAGAAUUCGGCUCGGUCCUCGGUUAUAACCGAAGGGGACUUGUUUUCUACGGAAACACUAACGCCCACAUGUGUGGGCGUUCUCCAACUCGCCCACACAUCUAGAUGGUCGUUGAUUGUCUUUUGCACGAAUCUUGACACGAAAAGGUGGAUUUGAUGUGCCACAUAGGACGGGGCUAGUGUGUGGGCGUUGGAGAGUUUGCCCACACGCCCCGCAUCACGCUGUUGCCAGCUGCGAUGUGUGGGUGAACUAGUUUCUGCCCACACAGCCACCACCUAGUCCAUGCGCGUGUGGGCGAACUGAUUUUCACCCACACAACAAUCCUACAUUAUGGAUGGCAACUGCAGUUACGUGAACAUGGCAACUAGGUAAACAAACAUGGUAACUGUGAUUCUUUUGCUAGACGGCAACUGCAGUUGCGCGUGUGUGGCAAACAGAUAAACACACAUGGCAACUGCGAUUAACUGUGCAUGGCAACUAUGGUUGGACCACACGUGGCAACUAGGUAAACACACAUGGCAACUACUGUUUGAGCAUGUGUGGCAAGUAGUUAAUCACACACGGCAACUACGAUUUUAAUUACACGCGGCAACUACCAUAAAUUAGACAUGGCAACUAUAAUUGAUCAAAACAAAUAGAGUUGCCAUGCUUUUACAACUACACUUGCCAUCCCGGAUAACUACAUCUGCCAACCAGGAUGGCAACUAAAUCGUCAUCCCGCGGGUACCUAACGUUGCUGCGCUAGGACGUGUGGGCAUUUUUGCUUCGUGCCACACGCGUGGGGUGGAGAUGAGUAGUACUUGUUGGGCGUGUGGCACGAAGUAGCCGCGCCCACACGUGUGUGCAAUUCUAAUGUCCGCCCACACACAACCCGUGUGGGCUGCCUCCUGCUCACACCACACAUGGUGUGUGGCCAGACCCUUUAACGCCCACACGUGUGGGCGUUAUCGACGUCCUUUUUCUAACUUGAAGAGAGAACAUACUGGAUUGGAAGGAAUAAAUCGGAAGGCAAAUUCUAAGCGAGAAACAAGUUCGGAAAAGGAAUCGAUCCAAACAUGCAUUGCGCUGCCUAAUAUGGCUCAAUCAGGCCGCUCGUGGCAACCUUUGCAUAGCAUACAUGAAUGGUACAAGGAAAGACAUACAAUAGGAUACUAGAUAGGGAUCGCGCCGUGGCGCGAGGGUGCUGGUCAAAAUGUUUGUAUGCACAUAAUAAGAAGCUACUUAACAAUGCAUGAACAUAGAAAGCAUUUUUCACGAUAGGUUAGCACCAAAUAUCUUAGGCAUAGAAGAUACGACAACACGUCGCUUAAAGACAAUUUACAACUAUGCAUAGAUAACUUUAAGUUUUAGGCAUAACGUAGACGUUUAGGCAUAGAAGAUACGACAACACGUCGCUUACAGACAUUUUAGGCAUAGAAGAUACGGUAACACGUCUCUUACAGACAAUUUACAACAUGGGUCUUGCCGUCCUCAUGAACAACGCGUUCAUACUGAGCCGGUGAUAGUCCAAGGUGUGCCAGGAGCAUGCCAAGAAUUGCCGUGUGUGGGAUCCUAAGCACUCGCUUGGUGUCCUGCAGUUCCCAAUAAUAUAAAACAUAAGGCCUUGGGGAAUUGCCCAAAACAAUUGCGGAUAAAAGCAACCAUAGUGAUAAAAAAGAUAUGCCAAGCCUAUCCUUUAAUCAGGAUUUUGUUUAGGAUGUGCCAAGCAUUUAAAAAAACAGACUAUGAAUCAGGAUUUUGUUGCAAACAUACUGAAUGAUGGAAUGAGAAGAGGAAUAUAUUCAUGAAAUAAAGCAAGAGAGAUAAAGUUGAAAGGAAAGAAGUGCAGAGCUUGCAGGUGAAAAACAUCAUAUAAAAUGUAUAAUCACCAAUCAGGCAAUUUCAAGAUAUCAUGACUUAUUGCUGUGAUUAAAACAAAGCUUGUUGAUGAAUGAUUGGAAUCAGCUAUUCACUGAAUAAAUAUAUUCAUGGCGUAGUUUCAGUUUUGUGCCAUGAAGAGAGGCCGUCGAGUGUGAUAUCUAGAACAGAGAUGACCAUAUAUAUCAAGAAUGGUGAGGUAUGAAGAAAACAAACUCUCUAAGGAACACAUGCAGGUAGGUAUUUUUUUCUUGGAUUCUAUUGCUUCUACCUGAAUCUCAAGGUAUACAGUGACAUCCACGAUUAGCGGAAUUAAGCAACAACGACAUGCUCUCUGAUUUCAAUGUAACAUGUUUCAAUUCCUCUAUAACCCCUGUGUUUUAUCAAAACAAGCGCACAAACAAGAUAAUCAUCGAAACAAUAUUAUGUUCUCAACAAGGCUAUGUGCAUUCUUCUCAAGUCUGAGAUAUGCACGUACUGUGGUCUUAGAUCAAUUGAUAAUCACCAGAACUAACUACAGUACAUAGUUUGUGAAUCAAAAGUGAGAAAAUACCAGGAAGAUGAUUUGUGUAGUUGCAAGAGCUCAGGGGAAAGGAGAGUAGGCGGACCUGCUUGCUGGAGCUCCUUGACUGGCCAGUUGAACGUGCAGCCACAGUCGAGAGAGUGCUACUACCUUACAUGAGAGCAUGUUAAAUGGAAAAAACUCAAAUCCCUAACAAGAACAUUUUUUGAAAGAUCCAUAAAAUCCAGAUCGGGAUAGCGGGACUAACACGAACUCAUCCUUCACGCGAGCACCGCCACUCGAUGGAGAUGGUCGGUACCCCACGCCACUCCACGCAUCAUCAUAUUCCUCCUUCACGCGAGCACCGCUGCUCGGCAGCCUCCACAUCUGCCGGCUCGGCUCCCUCGGCGGCCGCUGUGCCCCACGCCGACAUAAGCGCCCAUCCAAAGGGAAAUAAAGAAGUAGACAACAAAACAAAGAGCGAUGUUAAUAUAACCACAUCAUUCAAUUCACGUGUCAAGAUACAAUAGGAAGUCUUUCCACCAAGCGGCUUGAUACAUACAAUUAAACUCAGGAAAAUAAUUUUCACCACUCAUAGAUAAUAAGCAGCUGUAAGGGGGCACACAGACAACCGCAUACCAGUAUACAUGCAAAUAACUUCAAAUAAACGUAUGCCACAGGAAAAGUAAACUCCAACAUAUUACCAAAGAGACAAUAAAAGCUCUGAGCCGAAAAAUCUAAGAAAUGCUCAAAUCAGUUUACUUAAUAGUUACGAAAUUAAUUAUUCUCGGUCAGGUGGUUCUGGUAUACUUAAGAAAACACUUGUAGACUUCAAGUACAGAUAAAUACUCAAGCUACAUGGAACUAUAGUCAACAACAUAGUUCUAUAAUAACAAGUGAUUCCAAUUAAACACAAGUGCUCAGAACCAUGGAACUGGAGCUUUAUAAAAUCAUGCUACUAAUUAUCUUAGAGACCAAUUAAACUCAUAUGCGGACCAUGGUCAACUGUGGGUUUAUACACUCGUCAGAAAUAUUGGCCACGAAAAACAUAACAGCAUUAAUACAGUCAACACAUACCUCAAGUACUGAAGGACUGAGGCACUGAUCAUCUGUUUGACUCAUUUUCACUUCUGCAUACGCUACUUUUAUAAAGUGAUCGAGCAGGGGUGCAGCAUCGUCGAGCAGGGGCGGCGGCGACAGCCAGACCACCUUGAGCACCACGGUCCGGAAGCCAAGAGGAUGAGCAGACGAAAAUCAGAAUGGAUUAACCAGGAAACCCUAGACAAAUCCCAAAAAAACAACAAAUCCCUUGAUGAGCACAUACACAUCACAAAGGGAAAGACAAACAAGGGAGCAAAUAAUCACCUCAGCCAUCUUAGAAGCCCACUCGGUGUGCUCCCUCUCUGGCCGACCCGCAAGACAGCCCCAACGCCACGCCACCGUCCCAACCGUGAAACAGCCAGAGAAGCAAGGAAGAUGGUAAGAAACAAGCGAAAUAAAAGGUAGUGGGAUCCAAUACAAACAUUAACCAUCCUAAAGACGUUGUUAUUAGAAACAUGACACUGUGGUUUCUGAUGGUUUAUCAUCAAAUUAAAACAAGACAUUGAACCGACGACUUGCUUACUCUUAACCAGAUGAAAUCAAGGACCAACAACAAACAAUAAAAGUCAAGAACAACUUAUAUGCAAUAAAGGUAUGAGAGGGAAGAAAUAUUCACAUAAGACGGCUAUAAACACUGGAGCAUAAAUAAGCAACACCUUUAAAUACAAAUAAAAGGGUUCCGGGUUCAAUGCAUAGUGGGCUCAGAUUUGCCUUUCCUCGAUCAUAUAAUCUACCCCCGCCAUCUCUUGUCACCAGAUUAAUUUGUUUAUACAGUGGAGCUGCCCUUGUUAUCACUCAACAAGAAUGACCAUCCAAGGACAGAACAAUAAGUAUCACAUGAUCAAAAAGUAUUCUAGAGACAAGAGGGAGGACCCAACUUGAUACCCACAGGUGCCUUGAUUGCUCAAAGGAACACUUAUUUCAGCCACAGCGAAUCAUCAUCGCCCUAGCAAGGAUGGCUUCCAACUGGUGGCGCACGUGCGAAUAAAAAGGGUUCAGGGUUCAAUGCAUAUGGGCUCAGAUUUUCCUUUCCUCGAUCAUAUAAUCUACCCCCAUCAUCUCUUAUCACCAGAUCAAUCUGUUUAUACAGUGGAGCUGCCCUGAUUAUCACUCAAUAAGAAUGACCAUCCAAAGGACAGAACAAUAAGUAUCAGAGGAUCAAAAAGGAUUCUGGAGACAAGAGGGAGGACCGAACUUGAUACCCACGGCUAAUCAUCAUCGCCCUAGCAAGAAUGGCUUCCGACCGAUGGGGCACGUGAUUCAAACGCGGUGGCACGAGAUAUCUCAUUUUGGGAGUAACUAUACAUUCCCGCGGUAACUUUUUUUAUCCGAUGGACGAGGUCGUUACAGGGAUCGAUCCGACGGCCCAAGAUCCAUCAAGCAACCAGAUCCGACGGCCAGGAAUCCCAAAUCGCUGAGGAGCAGCCUGAGGAGCUUCUAUUCUUAUUUCUGGAUGGACUUAUUUCUGGAUUUCUGGAUGGAUCACCGGAUCGAUAUGUUCUUACGAGGGUUUAACUGCCAUGCUUAUCACUCAUUAGAAAUGACCAUCCAAGGUCAGAGCCACUAAAAUAAGAACGUGAUCAAAACAGCUCAAAGAAACAAGGGAGGAUCCAAAUUAAUACCCACAAGUGCCUCGACUACUUGAGAGCAUGCCUAUCUCAGCCAUAACUGAUCAUCAUAGCCCUGGCCAUGUCCCAUAUAGUCGUCGAAGCAAAGCAGGGGAAGAUGGAGCUCACAGAGGGAGGUUGUAGCCGAGGCAGUACUCAGAGGGCACCAGGGUUGCGCCUAAACGCCAUCCAACUAGUGAGGAACCACGUCGGAGUUGCGCCUUGCACCAUCCCGCCGACGAGCACGAAAGCCAUGGGCACCGAAGUGGCCAAGGAGGCGAGGAGGUGAUGUAUAGCACAUCUAGGAGCACCAUCAGAGACGACCGGGGCAACGAGCAGGCAGGGAGAGAGGCGAGGCGGCAGGGAGAGGAAAGGGCACGAUGUGAGUGCAGGCCUGCAGGGAGCGGAACAUUAGCUAUUUUUUCUUUCGCAGUAUAUAGGAAGUAUCAAACAUAUCAUAUAAGUGCAAUCAUCUUUGAUAAUAUAAGAGAGCAUAAAAAUCACAGAGCUUGUUUAAGAUAUUUUGUCACAUCAAGUAGUUUAGAUAAGAAAAGCCUAACCCAGAGUUACAAAUAAUUGGAGCGAGUGAUAGAUUUAUUAUUCUGAUAAUUUGGUAGUGACUAUACAUAAAUAAUUCAUUCGCCAACAGUAAAAAAUAUGCGAUGCAUUAUUUACACAAAACAAUAUUUUUUUGUAUAGGGUCAGAAAGAUAUUUCAGCAUUCAAAUCAAUAAGGCUGAAAUAAUCUAAGAGUAUUAUCACUAUAGAGCAACAAUUUAUGAACUCGCUGUCAGUCAAAAGUAUUAUCACUACAGAGGAACAAUGAUUUACAGAGAAGGGGAUGAGUAAGGUUUGUUUGCUCAGGACUGUGCAUCAACUAAUCACCUAAAGUAAUUUCAAUAAAUAAAAAUUUACAUAUCGACCAAGAUAAACGUCAUGGUUAAAAAAUACGUUGAUAAUAUAUACAUCAAUGACAUCUCAAAGCUCAUUUCACAACAAGACUAUUGUAAACUUGAUAUAAAUAUAUAAUGGCCCCAUAAAGAUCCCCAUCUGUAGAAACCAAGUGAAAAAUCGUUUGGAAUAUGGUGUUUAGAUAUCACUGCCCAUAAAUAUAUAAUGUCGCAUGAAAAAUGGUGUUUGUUCUAAAUGGUCACUGAAAAUACUUGUUCUUGCGCUGCAAACAUACACAGAUAAAGGGCAAGCCAACAACCGUAGGUAUUCAGUAGGCCUAUACACAUACACCUAUUUUCCUCUAUUCUAGAAUCAAGAUGCACUUUCAUGUAUUGUUAGAUUAUUUCUCAUCGUAAAGAGGAUCGAGCCAAAGCUUGAUUAUAAGUAUGUAAGCAAACAAUAUGGACAGAAGGAACAAACAUUGGGUGUCAAAUGCAAACAGUAAGCUUCAGAGAAUUUACAUCUCCUAAAAUCAUUCAAGGGAUAGUAGCCUUUUGACUACAUGGUAGGUUGGUAGGUAGAAAUACGUUCAUAUACAUUGACAUCAACAUUUUUAACCUGGGAAUAGAUAAAAAAACGGCAAAGACGCAUCUCAUAUAAUCAAAGUAAACAUGGUAGAUCCAAAGCAAUGUAUCUAAGACUUAAAUUAAGGGGAAAAUGCAAACUAAUUAAAGAUUGAAGCCAUCAAUUUCACCCCCACAAUUUGCAAAUUGUAAUGUUCUCAGAUGAACUAACUGAAUAUAUUUACAUAAGGCAAGAGAAAUCAUCAUCACUGAUAUUCCCUACAGACCUAGGUCUCUGCCAAGAAUCACACAAGUUCCUUGAUGCUCCAAAAACCAAGCGAUGUUCGAGCAAGGGAAACACGAAAAGGCGCGAGGAGAGCUCCGUCGGGAGGGAGAGGGGUAGGGUUCGUACCUUGACUACAUGAGUUCACUGUAACUUCACCUCCGGAUCCAGGCGAGGUACUCUGUAAUUUAGAAACAGAGAUUCACUACGGUGGGUCAACUACGGCACAAUCGCUGGUGAGAACAUCAGAAGAACUUAUUUUCAAACUGAAUUAAGGAAAAACAAUUGUUGCAAGUAAAUUUACCCUCUAAUUACUGAUAAAGCGCAACAACAUUCAGCUAAUGAGACAUGAGAAGGAACUUUUCAUACUGUAAUAAGGAAAACUGGGCAACAUCAAAUAUCAUCUCAUUGAUUCUGCUAUAUAACAUAUAUUCACAUAAACCAUAAGAUAUGAUUGGAACUGCAAUCUCUAAACCAAAACGGCAACAAUAGAAUCAAAGUCCACUGUAUUACUAUCUAGAAAUUGAAGAGGACUACAGAAGUAUUUUUAGUGUACAUCAAGCUUACCAGGAAAAAAAAGCAUAGCUCUUGAACUGCACAUACAUGCUUCACUAACAAAUCUUGGCCUAGCCAAAACAAAUUCACCACACCUGUACAUGAACAUUCAGGGAAAGAAAUGAAACACCACACGUGAAAAUGCAUCCUGAUAACUAAUUAACUACUCAGCAAAUCAAAUGGUAUGUUUGAAUGCCUCUUUGAUCCUAUGAAACUGUAUACAAAAGAUAAGUAAUUAUCUACUCGCCAAAUCCAGUAGUAUAUUUGAGUGACUCUUCUUAUCCUUUCUCUGAAACUAAUACAAAAGAGAGCUAAUUAGCCACCCGCAAAUCGAGUGUGAUAUUUGAACGCCUCUUCUGAUCAUUUCUCUUAAACAGUUUAGUUUACACCAACUUUAGUACUGAGCAGAAUAUGUAUGUAAAUAAACCAGAGGAGACUGGAAUUUACAUUCCUAAUUAACAAAAUCAGCUAUGUUACUAAAGGGCAGUGGCAAAGGAUAACCAUAUGCAGUUAAGCCUUGCUUAUCACCCAAUUUCAGAACCAGUCAGCCUUCUAUAAGUAUUAUCAUGCGUGCAAUCUGACACGAAGGCCAAAACAACACUAUCCAUCUUCACAAAAAUCCAUUAUACGCUUCGGUACAUCUGAGAGUUAAGGAUCUUCAUUUUUAUUUAGAUGAAAUUACUUGGUAGCUAACAAACAUACCUCGAGGGAUGUGCACACAUGAGAGAUCGCCGGUGCCCUUUCUAGCUUCGGCGGCAGACAUCCUCCCUUUGCUCUCCUUCCAAUAGAUAUUAGAGUACAUUAAACCAAAAACCAAAAGGGAACAAGGGAGUGGAAGACCAGGAAUUAAUCGGACCACAAGAAAUCUAAGGGAAAAAACUAAAAGAAGGCCAAACAAUACUUGUGCAGGACCAAAUGACGCAUCACAUAGCAAUGAAACUGGAGGUUAGAAAACUACUCAGACUUUCAUGCCAUCAUGGAUUCAAUCUGAUCUAAAUGUAACCAAAUAAUGCAUCGGAACCAUAUUGACUACUAAAAGGGCAAGCACAAGCUUGCCAAAUUUACCACAAAUGUAGCAUUGCAAUCAAAUGGGUCCAAUCUUGAUGAAAGCAAAAAUGUAUCAUAUAGCACGCACGCACACGAACAGUCACAUUAUCCUCAUCUUGCUGAAAGCAAAAAAUGUAUCAUGUACUGUAAAUUCAUACCUUGACCUGCAAAGGGUAUGGUCCAGUUUCAAUCAUGUUGGCCUUUAGAUAAGUUUUUGAACAACAAUUUCACCACCUGAACAAAAAGCAGAGGAAAGCUAGUAAAUACUUCCAACAUGUUCACCUCAGUAUAGUGGUCCUACUUAUCCAACGACCCAUAUAUCUCAAAUAGAACAGCUUAAUAUCUCAAACAACAGUGAACGUCCAGCAUGUUCUCCAAAGUUACAUAAUAUAACAUGUUCAAAGGCUGUCAAGAUCAAAAAAUAGCGAGGGGAUUUUGUAGUCACAUGGCAAAGGUAAUAAAAUUUCUUCUAAUUUAAAUCUCAGACAUCUCAAUGAAAUAAAUAAUUUGAUACAUAAUUGAAACUGAACCCUAAUCUUUUGUUGUUGAGUUGUCUUUUCGUGACUAUCAACACUUUCAGUUUUAGCGUAUGAGAUGUGUCUCUGCGUCCUCCUCCUCCCCAAGAAGUUAGGUAUUAAUUUUGAAAAUUGACAUUUGAGUGGUUUGGCGACAUGGCAUAGUAUCGGGAGGUUUCUGUGAGGAGCGAGGUGAGACGGCCACUGCCGCUGAAGGAGUGGGGAUGAUGCCAGAAUUUGACAAAAUACCAAAUUUGCAAUUCACAUGUAUCGAUUAUCAUCAGACUGUGAGACAGAGGACACCGCAUAACCAAGCUACGGCAAACAUGUAGAAGGGGAACCAUAAGUGAAAAACGAUGAAAGGAAAAAACGUAAUGGUAAAAGGCAUAUAGUAUCUUCAUAUAUGAAAAAUUAUGAAAGGAAAAAAAUGUAAUGGUAUUCUAUGGGGAUGUGUUGUAGCUUGCACCUUGAGAUAAAACUGUUUCUGUCAGCAGCAUGACUGCAUCUUGCAAGAACAUGUAGUCUCUCUUCUCUGUUUUGUCUUCUAUGUUAUGUGAACACAUAAACAGAACAAAUAUUAGACGAAAUAUGAAUUGUCUGGUUGCCUAAGAAAGUGCAUCAGAUUAAACUGUAGUAUAAUAAAUGUUCGCUUAAUGCAUUCAUCAACGGCUAGGGAGACCAAAUCAUAAUAAUCUAGGCAUACCACACCAAACAACAGAGGCCAAUGAACAUGCCAUUCUUCCUAUUCUCUUUCAGAAGCAUCAAUCCAACAGAAAACAAACCGAACCCUUUGUUUUUUCACAUGUCACUCGACAAAGAACAUCAUUUUCGAGCAAGCAAACAUGAAGGUGCCAAGUAAAAACACAAGACUAAACAGACACGAGCCAAGUGGACCAAUCCAAAUGCACCAGGCCAAUCCAAAAGGCACAUGUCCUGCUCCAUUCACCUCUUCCUGAAAGCUCACUACAAUCCUAGAGAAAGAUCCCAAUGAAGGAAAAGGUUUUCGGCCAGUUCAAGGGAUUGACUACGAUGAGACCUUCUCACCCGUAGCGAUGCUUAAGUCCGUCCGAAUCAUGUUAGCAAUUGCCGCAUUUUAUGAUUAUGAAAUUUGGCAGAUGGAUGUCAAAACUGCAUUCCUGAAUGGAUUUCUGAAAGAAGAGUUGUAUAUGAUGCAACCGGAAGGUUUUGUCGAUCCAAAAGGAGCUAACAAAGUGUGCAAGCUCCAGCGAUCCAUUUAUGGACUGGUGCAAGCCUCUCGGAGUUGGAAUAAACGUUUUGAUAGUGUGAUCAAAGCAUUUGGUUUUAUACAGACUUUCGGAGAAGCCUGUAUUUACAAGAAAGUGAGUGGGAGCUCUGUAGCAUUUCUGAUAUUAUAUGUGGAUGACAUAUUGCUGAUUGGAAAUGAUAUAGAAUUUCUGGAUAGCAUAAAGGGAUACUUGAAUAAAAGUUUUUCAAUGAAAGACCUCGGUGAAGCUGCUUACAUAUUAGGCAUUAAGAUCUAUAGAGAUAGAUCAAGACGCUUAAUUGGACUUUCACAAAGCACAUACCUUGACAAGAUUUUGAAGAAAUUCAAAAUGGAUCAAGCAAAGAAAGGAUUCUUGCCUGUAUUACAAGGUGUGAAGUUGAGUAAGACUCAAUGCCCGACCACUGCAGAAGAUAGAGAGAAUAUGAAAGAUGUUCCCUAUGCAUCAGCCAUAGGCUCUAUCAUGUAUGCAAUGCUGUGUACCAGACCUGAUGUGUGCCUUGCUAUAAGUUUAGCAGGGAGGUACCAAAGUAAUCCAGGAGUGGAUCACUGGACAGCGGUCAAGAACAUCCUGAAAUACCUGAAAAGGACUAAGGAUAUGUUUCUCGUAUAUGGAGGUGACAAAGAGCUCACCGUAAAAGGUUACGUUGAUGCAAGCUUUGACACUGAUCCGGACGAUUCUAAAUCGCAAACCGGAUACGUGUUUACAUUAAACGGUGGAGCUGUCAGUUGGUGCAGUUCUAAACAAAGCGUCAUAGCGGGAUCUACAUGUGAAGCGGAGUACAUACCUGCUUCGGAAGCAGCGAACGAAGGAGUCUGGAUGAAGGAGUUCAUAUCCGAUCUAGGUGUCAUACCUAAUGCAUCGGGUCCAAUGAAAAUCUUUUGUGACAAUACUGGUGCAAUUGCCUUGGCAAAGGAAUCCAGAUUUCACAAAAGGACCAAACACAUCAAGAGACGCUUCAACUCCAUCCGGGAUCUAGUCCAAGUGGGAGACAUAGAGAUUUGCAAGAUACAUACGGAUCAGAAUGUUGCAGACCCGUUGACUAAGCCUCUUCCACGAGCAAAACAUGAUCAGCACCAAAGUUCCAUGGGUGUUAGAAUCAUUACAGUGUAAUCUAGAUUAUUGACUCUAGUGCAAGUGGGAGACUGAAGGAAAUAUGCCCUAGAGGCAAUAAUAAAGUUAUUAUUUAUUUCCUUAUAAUCAUGAUAAAUGUUUAUUAUUCAUGCUAGAAUUGUAUUAACGAGAAACAUAAUACAUGUGUGAAUACAUAGACAAAGAAAGUGUCACUAGUAUGCCUCUACUUGACUAGCUCGUUAAUCAAAGAUGGUUAUGUUUCCUGACCAUAAACAAUGAGUUGUUAUUUGAGUAACGAGGUCACAUCAUUAGUUGAAUGAUCUGAUUGACAUGACCCAUUCCAUUAGCUUAGCACCUGAUCGUUUAGUAUGUUGCUAUUGCUUUCUUCAUGACUUAUACAUGUUCCUAUGACUAUGAGAUUAUGCAACUCCCGUUUGCCGGAGGAACACUUUGGGUGCUACCAAACGUCACAACGUACCUGGGUGAUUAUAAAGGAGCAUUACAGGUGUCUCCAAAGGUAGAUGUUGGGUUGGCGUAUUUCGAGAUUAGGAUUUGUCACUCCGAUUGUCGGAGAGGUAUCUCUGGGCCCUCUCGGUAAUGCACAUCACAUAAGCCUUGCAAGCACUGCAACUAAUAUGUUAGUUGUGAGAUGAUGUAUUACGGAACGAGUAAAGAGACUUGCCGGUAACGAGAUUGAACUAGGUAUUGGAUACUGACGAUCGAAUCUCGGGCAAGUAACAUACCGAUGACAAAGGGAACAACGUAUGUCGUUAUGCGGUCUGACCGAUAAAGAUCUUCGUAGAAUAUGUAGGAGCCAAUAUGGGCAUCCAGGUCCCGCUAUUGGUUAUUGACCAGAGACGUGUCUCGGUCAUGUCUACAUUUGUUCUCGAACCCGUAGGGUCCGCACGCUUAAGGUUACGAUGACAGUUACAUUAUGAUUUUAUGCAUUUUGAUGUACCGAAGGUUGUUCGGAGUCCCGGAUGUGAUCACGGACAUGACGAGGAGUCUCGAAAUGGUCGAGACGUAAAGAUUGAUAUAUUGGAAGCCUAUGUUUGGACGUCGGAAGUGUUCCGGGUGAAAUCGGGAUUUUACCGGGUUACCGGGAGGGUUACCGGAACCCCCCGGGAGCUAUAUGGGCCAUAGUGGGCCUUAGUGGAAAAGAUAAGGGGCUGCCCUGGAUGGGCUGCGCGCCUCCCCCCUCCCCUAGUCCUAUUAGGACUAGGAGAGGUGGCCGGCCCCCUCCUCCUCUUUUCCCCCUCCGGGGAAUCCUAAUAGGAAUAGGAUUGGAGGGGAGUCCUACUCCCGGUAGGAGUAGGACUCCUCCUGCGCCUCCCUCCUUGGCCGGCGCCUCCUCCCCCCCUUGGCUCCUUUAUAUACUGAGGUAGAGGCACCCCAAAAGACACAAGUUGAUCCACGUGAUCUAUUCCUUAGCCGUGUGCGGUGCCCCCUGCCACCAUAUACCUCGAUAAUACUGUAGCGGAGUUUAGGCGAAGCCCUGCUGCUGUAGUUCAUCAAGAUCGUCACCACGCCAUCGUGCUGACGAAACUCUUCCCCGACACUUUGCUGGAUCGGAGUCCGGGGAUCGUCAUCGAGCUGAACGUGUGCUCGAACUCGGAGGUGCCGUAGUUUCGGUGCUUGAUCGGUUGGAUCGUGAAGACGUACGACUACUUCCUCUACGUCAUGUCAUCGCUUCCGCAGUCGGUCUGCGUUGGGUACGUAGACAACACUCUCCCCUCGUUGCUAUGCAUCACAUGAUCUUGCGUGUGCGUAGGAAAAUUUUUGAAAUUACUACGAAACCCAACAGUGGUAUCAGAGCCUAGGUUACUUAUGUUGAUGUUAUAUGCACGAGUAGAACACAAGUGAGUUGUGGACGAUACAAGUCAUACUGCCUACCAGCAUGUCAUACUUUGGUUCGGCGGUAUUGUUGGACGAGACGACCCGGACCAACCUUACGCGUACGCUUACGCGAGACCGGUUCCCUCGACGUGCUUUGCACAUAGAUGGCUUGCGGGCGACUGUCUCUCCAAUUUUAGUUGAACCGAGUAUGGCUACGCCCGGUCCUUGAGAAGGUUAAAACGGAGUCUAUUUGACAAACUAUCGUUGUGGUUUUGAUGCGUAGGUGAGACUGGUUCUUACUUAAGCCCGUAGCAGCCACGUAAAACAUGCAACAACAAAGUAGAGGACGUCUAACUUGUUUUUGCAGGGCAUGUUGUGAUGUGAUAUGGUCAAGGCAUGAUGCUGAAUUUUAUUGUAUGAGAUGAUCAUGUUUUGUAACCGAGUUAUCGGCAACUGGCAGGAGCCAUAUGGUUGUCGCUUUAUUGUAUGCAAUGCAAUCGCGAUGUAAUUACUAAACGGUAGUGAUAGUCGUGGAAGCAUAAGAUUGGCGAGACGACAACGAUGCUACGAUGGAGAUCAAGGUGUCGCGCCGGUGACGAUGGUGAUCAUGACGGUGCUUCGGAGAUGGAGAUCACAAGCACAAGAUGAUGAUGGCCAUAUCAUAUCACUUAUAUUGAUUGCAUGUGAUGUUUAUCCUUUUAUGCAUCUUAUCUUGCUUUGAUUGACGGUAGCAUUAUAAGAUGAUCUCUCACUAAAUUAUCAAGAAGUGUUCUCCCUGAGUAUGCACCGUUGCCAAAGUUCGUCGUGCCCAGACACCACGUGAUGAUCGGGUGUGAUAAGCUCUACGUCCAUCUACAACGGGUGCAAGCCAGUUUUGCACACGCAGAAUACUCGGGUUAAACUUGACGAGCCUAGCAUAUGCAGAUAUGGCCUCGGAACACGGAGACCGAAAGGUCGAGCGUGAAUCAUAUAGUAGAUAUGAUCAACAUAACGAUGUUCACCAUUGAAAACUACUCCAUCUCACGUGAUGAUCGGUCAUGGUUUAGUCGAUUUGGAUCACGUAAUCACUUAGAGGAUUAGAGGGACGUCUAUCUAAGUGGGAGUUCUUAAGUAAUAUGAUUAAUUGAACUUAAAUUUAUCAUGAACUUAGUACCUGAUAGUAUCUUGCUUGUUUAUGUUGAUUGUAGAUAGAUGGCUCGUGCUGUUGUUCCGUUGAAUUUUAAUGCGUUCCUUGAGAAAGCAAAGUUGAAAGAUGAUGGUAGCAGUUACACGAACUGGGUCCGUAACUUGAGGAUUAUCCUCAUUGCUGCACAGAAGAAUUACGUCCUGGAAGCACCGCUGGGUGCCAGGCCUGCUGCUGGAGCAACACCAGAUGUUAUGAACGUCUGGCAGAGCAAAGCUGAUGACUACUCGAUAGUUCAGUGUGCCAUGCUUUACGGCUUAGAAUCGGGACUUCAACAACGUUUUGAACGUCAUGGAGCAUAUGAGAUGUUCCAGGAGUUGAAGUUAACAUUUCAAGCAAAAUGCCCGAACUGAGAGAUAUGAAGUCUCCAAUAAGUUCUAUAGCUGCAAGAUGGAGGAGAACAGUUCUGUCAGUGAGGAUAUACUCAAAAUGUCUGGGUAUAAUAAUCACUUGAUUCAAUUGGGAGUUAAUCUUCCAGAUGAUUACGUCAUUGACAGAAUUCUCCAAUCACUGCCACCAAGCUAUAAGAGCUUCGUGAUGAACUAUAAUAUGCAAGGGAUGAACAAGACUAUUCCCGAGCUCUUCGCAAUGCUGAAAGCUGCGGAGGUAGAAAUCAAGAAGGAGCAUCAAGUGUUGAUGGUUAACAAGACCACUAGUUUCAAGAAAAAGGGCAAAGGAAAGAAGAAAGGGAACUUCAAGAAGAACGGCAAGCAAGUUGCUGCUCAAGAGAAGAAACCCAAGUCUGGACCUAAGCCUGAAACUGAGUGCUUCUACUGCAAGCAGACUGGUCACUGGAAGCGGAACUGCCCCAAGUAUUUGGCAGAUAAGAAGGAUGGCAAGGUGAACAAAGGUAUAUGUGAUAUACAUGUUAUUGAUGUGUACCUUACUAGAGCUCGCAGUAGCACCUGGGUAUUUGAUACUGGUUCUGUUGCUAAUAUUUGCAACUCGAAACAAGGACUACGAAAUAAGCGGGCACUGGCAAAGGACGAGGUGACGAUGCGUGUGGGAAAUGGUUCCAAAGUUGAUGUGAUUGCGGUCGGCACGCUACCUCUACAUCUACCUUCGGGAUUAAUAUUAGACCUAAAUAAUUGUUAUUUGGUGCCAGCGUUGAGCAUGAACAUUAUAUCUGGAUCUUGUUUAAUGCGAGAUGGUUAUUCAUUUAAAUCAGAGAAUAAUGGUUGUUCUAUUUAUAUGAGUAAUAUCUUUUAUGGUCAUGCACCCUUGAAGAGUGGUCUAUUCUUAUUGAAUCUCGAUAGUAGUAAUACACAUAUUCAUAAUGUUGAAGCCAAAAGAUGCAGAGUUGAUAAUGAAAGUGAAACUUAUUUGUGGCACUGUCGUUUAGGUCAUAUCGGUAUAAAGCGCAUGAAGAAACUCCAUACUGAUGGGCUUUUGGAACCACUUGAUUAUGAAUCACUUGGUACUUGCGAACCGUGCCUCAUGGGCAAGAUGACUAAAACACCGUUCUCCGGUACUAUGGAGAGAGCAACAGAUUUGUUGGAAAUCAUACAUACCGAUGUAUGUGGCCCGAUGAAUAUUGAGGCUCGUGGCGGAUAUCGUUAUUUUCUCACCUUCACAGAUGAUUUAAGCAGAUAUGGGUAUAUCUACUUAAUGAAACAUAAGUCUGAAACAUUUGAAAAGUUCAAAGAAUUUCAGAGUGAAGUUGAAAAUCAUCGUAACAAGAAAAUAAAGUUUCUACGAUCUGAUCGUGGAGGAGAAUAUUUGAGUUACGAGUUUGGUGUACAUUUGAAAAACUGUGGAAUAGUUACGCAACUCACGCCACCCGGAACACCACAGCGUAAUGGUGUGUCCGAACGUCGUAAUCGUACUUUACUAGAUAUGGUGCGAUCUAUGAUGUCUCUUACUGAUUUACCGCUAUCAUUUUGGGGAUAUGCUUUAGAGACGGCCGCAUUCACGUUAAAUAGGGCACCAUCAAAAUCCGUUGAGACGACGCCUUAUGAACUGUGGUUUGGCAAGAAACCAAAGUUGUCGUUUCUUAAAGUUUGGGGCUGCGAUGCUUAUGUGAAAAAGCUUCAACCUGAUAAGCUCAAACCCAAAUCGGAGAAAUGUGUCUUCAUAGGAUACCCAAAGGAGACUAUUGGGUACACCUUCUAUCACAAAUCCGAAGGCAAGGCAUUCGUUGCUAAGAAUGGAUCUUUUCUAGAGAAGGAGUUUCUCUCGAAAGAAGUGAGCGGGAGGAAAGUAGAACUUGACGAGGUAACUGUACCUGCUCCCUUACUGGAAAGUAGUUCAUCACAGAAAACUGUUUCAGUGACACCUACACCAGUUAGUGAGGAAGCCAAUGAUAAUGAUCAUGAAACUUCAGAUCAAGAUACUGCUGAACCUCAUAGAUCAACCAGAGUAAGAUCCGCACCAGAGUGGUACGGUAAUCCUAUUCUGGAAGUCAUGAUACUAGAUCAUGAUGAACCUACGAACUAUGAAGAAGCGAUGGUGAGCCCAGAUUCCGCAAAGUGGCUUGAAGCCAUGAAAUCUGAGAUGAGAUCCAUGUAUGAGAACAAAGUAUGGACUUUGGUUGACUUGCCCGAUGAUCGGCAAGCAAUUGAGAAUAAAUGGAUCUUUAAGAAGAAGACUGACGCUGAUGGUAAUGUUACUGUCUACAAAGCUCGACUUGUCGCAAAAGGUUUUCGGCAAGUUCAAGGGAUUGACUACGAUGAGACCUUCUCACCCGUAGCGAUGCUUAAGUCCGUCCGAAUCAUGUUAGCAAUUGCCGCAUUUUAUGAUUAUGAAAUUUGGCAGAUGGAUGUCAAAACUGCAUUCCUGAAUGGAUUUCUGGAAGAAGAGUUGUAUAUGAUGCAACCGGAAGGUUUUGUCGAUCCAAAAGGAGCUAACAAAGUGUGCAAGCUCCAGCGAUCCAUUUAUGGACUGGUGCAAGCCUCUCGGAGUUGGAAUAAACGUUUUGAUAGUGUGAUCAAAGCAUUUGGUUUUAUACAGACUUUCGGAGAAGCCUGUAUUUACAAGAAAGUGAGUGGGAGCUCUGUAGCAUUUCUGAUAUUAUAUGUGGAUGACAUAUUGCUGAUUGGAAAUGAUAUAGAAUUUCUGGAUAGCAUAAAGGGAUACUUGAAUAAAAGUUUUUCAAUGAAAGACCUCGGUGAAGCUGCUUACAUAUUAGGCAUUAAGAUCUAUAGAGAUAGAUCAAGACGCUUAAUUGGACUUUCACAAAGCACAUACCUUGACAAGAUUUUGAAGAAAUUCAAAAUGGAUCAAGCAAAGAAAGGAUUCUUGCCUGUAUUACAAGGUGUGAAGUUGAGUAAGACUCAAUGCCCGACCACUGCAGAAGAUAGAGAGAAUAUGAAAGAUGUUCCCUAUGCAUCAGCCAUAGGCUCUAUCAUGUAUGCAAUGCUGUGUACCAGACCUGAUGUGUGCCUUGCUAUAAGUUUAGCAGGGAGGUACCAAAGUAAUCCAGGAGUGGAUCACUGGACAGCGGUCAAGAACAUCCUGAAAUACCUGAAAAGGACUAAGGAUAUGUUUCUCGUAUAUGGAGGUGACAAAGAGCUCACCGUAAAAGGUUACGUUGAUGCAAGCUUUGACACUGAUCCGGAUGAUUCUAAAUCGCAAACCGGAUACGUGUUUACAUUAAACGGUGGAGCUGUCAGUUGGUGCAGUUCUAAACAAAGCGUCGUAGCGGGAUCUACAUGUGAAGCGGAGUACAUACCUGCUUCGGAAGCAGCGAACGAAGGAGUCUGGAUGAAGGAGUUCAUAUCCGAUCUAGGUGUCAUACCUAAUGCAUCGAGUCCAAUGAAAAUCUUUUGUGACAAUACUGGUGCAAUUGCCUUGGCAAAGGAAUCUAGAUUUCACAAAAGGACCAAACACAUCAAGAGACGCUUCAACUCCAUCCGGGAUCUAGUCCAAGUGGGAGACAUAGAGAUUUGCAAGAUACAUACGGAUCUGAAUGUUGCAGACCCGUUGACUAAGCCUCUUCCACGAGCAAAACAUGAUCAGCACCAAAGUUCCAUGGGUGUUAGAAUCAUUACAGUGUAAUCUAGAUUAUUGACUCUAGUGCAAGUGGGAGACUGAAGGAAAUAUGCCCUAGAGGCAAUAAUAAAGUUAUUAUUUAUUUCCUUAUAAUCAUGAUAAAUGUUUAUUACUCAUGCUAGAAUUGUAUUAACCGAAAACAUAAUACAUGUGUGAAUACAUAGACAAAGAAAGUGUCACUAGUAUGCCUCUACUUGACUAGCUCAUUAAUCAAAGAUGGUUAUGUUUCCUGACCAUAAACAAUGAGUUGUUAUUUGAGUAACGAGGUCACAUCAUUAGUUGAAUGAUCUGAUUGACAUGACCCAUUCCAUUAGCUUAGCACCUGAUCGUUUAGUAUGUUGCUAUUGCUUUCUUCAUGACUUAUACAUGUUCCUAUGACUAUGAGAUUAUGCAACUCCCGUUUGCCGGAGGAACACUUUGGGUGCUACCAAACGUCACAACGUAACUGGGUGAUUAUAAAGGAGCAUUACAGGUGUCUCCAAAGGUAGAUCUUGGGUUGGCGUAUUUCGAGAUUAGGAUUUGUCACUCCGAUUGUCGGAGAGGUAUCUCUGGGCCCUCUCGGUAAUGCACAUCACAUAAGCCUUGCAAGCACUGCAACUAAUAUGUUAGUUGUGAGAUGAUGUAUUACGGAACGAUUAAAGAGACUUGCCGGUAACGAGAUUGAACUAGGUAUUGGAUACCGACGAUCGAAUCUCGGGCAAGUAACAUACCGAUGACAAAGGGAACAACGUAUGUCGUUAUGCGGUCUGACCGAUAAAGAUCUUCGUAGAAUAUGUAGGAGCCAAUAUGGGCAUCCAGGUCCCGCUAUUGGUUAUUGACCGGAGACGUGUCUCGGUCAUGUCUACAUUUGUUCUCGAACCCGUAGGUUACAUUAUGAGUUUAUGCAUUUUGAUGUACCGAAGGUUGUUCGGAGUCCCGGAUGUGAUCACAGACAUGACGAGGAGUCUCGAAAUGGUCGAGACGUAAAGAUUGAUAUAUUGGAAGCCUAUGUUUGGACAUCGGAAGUGUUCCGGGUGAAAUCGGGAUUUUACCGGGUUACCGGGAGGGUUACCGGAACCCCCCGGGAGCUAUAUGGGCCAUAGUGGGCCUUAGUGGAAAAGAGAAGGGGCUGCCCUGGAUGGGCUGCGCGCCUCCCCCCUCCCCUAGUCCUAUUAGGACUAGGAGAGGUGGCCGGCCCCCUCCUCCUCUUUUCCCCCUCCGGGGAAUCCUAAUAGGAAUAGGAUUGGAGGGGAGUCCUACUCCCGGUAGGAGUAGGACUCCUCCUGCGCCUCCCUCCUUGGCCGGCGCCUCCUCCCCCCCUUGGCUCCUUUAUAUACUGAGGUAGAGGCACCCCAAAAGACACAAGUUGAUCCACAUGAUCUAUUCCUUAGCCGUGUGCGGUGCCCCCUGCCACCAUAUACCUCGAUAAUACUGUAGCGGAGUUUAGGCGAAGCCCUGCUGCUGUAGUUCAUCAAGAUCGUCACCACGCCAUCGUGCUGACGGAACUCUUCCCCGACACUUUGCUGGAUCGGAGUCCGGGGAUCGUCAUCGAGCUGAACGUGUGCUCGAACUCGGAGGUGCCGUAGUUUCGGUGCUUGAUCGGUUGGAUCGUGAAGACGUACGACUACUUCCUCUACGUCGUGUCAUCACUUCCGCAGUCGGUCUGCGUUGGGUACGUAGACAACACUCUCCCCUCGUUGCUAUGCAUCACAUGAUCUUGCGUGUGCGUAGGAAUUUUUUUGAAAUUACUACGAAACCCAACACCCAACCCUAGCAAGAUCCACACAACUAAGAAAUUGGAGAACACACUAUAUAAAAUUGUCAAGAAUGAUAAUAAGCAUGGAGAACUAAAAUGUACUAUCACUUCCAUGUAGCUGAGAACCUAAAAUUGGCAAGAAUACAACAUACGCAGAUUUAACAAUUUUCCAAAACAAUACAAAUUCUAGUGUACGUGCAUUGAGCAGAAUAUGGCCAACAAGCCAAGCAAGGCAACAAACAUGUACUCUGUAAAUAAUUAGCUAGAUCCAAGGCCUUCGUUGGCAACAAGGUAAAAACAAAACAAGAAAGACAAAGAAAAAUCUCUUCUUUGGAACCUAGCUAAAUCAGAGAAUUGGCUAGAUAAGAUAGAUGUGCAGGGGUAGGAAGAGGGGGUGGAGCUCACCAUGUUCAGGGGGGUAGGAGGAGGGAGGAGCCAUGAGGGCUCGUGCCUCGUCCACCUGCAGCAAUUGCUACUCAUCCAGAUCGGAAUCGACCUUGUCCACCAGAGGAGCAGGGACGCGUCCAUGCACCUGCGUGACCAAAAGCAGCAACAACGUGAGGGGAGGGGAGGGGAUUAGGGUUGGAGCAGGGAGGAGGGCGGCAUCCCGAGCAGGCCAUUGCGUGGGCGCGGAGCAGGCAUAGCACAAGCACUCGGAGGCCAAGGUCGGACGACAUCGCCAGCGAAUCUGCGAGCACCUUGGCCGCCGCCUGACCUGCUCACUCUCCCUCUUCUCUUCCCUUCCCUUCACUUCUGAUGAUGAGAGGGCGAGACGGCGGGCGGCGUGGUGCGAGGGAGACGAGGAGAGAGGUCCAUGGCGGCGCGGUCCGAGCGGCAGCGGUGGCGGCGAGGUCUGCAGGGCGUUGGUGGCGGCGAAGUGAGCGGGGCGGCGAGGUCUGGUGGAGGGAGAGGGCUGGGGCGAGCGGGGCUGGGAUGCGGGAGGACGGGGUUAAGGGCGCGAGUGUGGGGGAGAGGCGGCUAGGUCAUCUACACGGGAGCGGGCCCUUUUAUACCCCGUGCGAGUGAAAUUAUGAAAAUGCCCCCGGCGAGGCAGGCUAUUUACGCGCGGUGGCACGAAACUGGAGUAACUAUUCAUUCCAGCAGUAACUUUUUUUAUCCUACGGAUGAGGUCGUUACAGGGGUUGAUCCGACGGCCCAGAUCCGAUCAAGCAACCAGAUCCGACAGGCAAGAAUCCCAAAUUGCUGUGGUGCGGGAUGAGGAGCUUCUAUUCUUAUUUCUGGAUGGACGCAAGCGGGCCGCCGACCAUGAAGGAGCACGGGCGCUACCGGCCGCCGUAGAGUGGGAGCCAUGGGCACUGCCGGCCGCCACCGCGGGAUAGCCACGGGCGCCGCCAGCCGCCGCUGGGAUUGCGAUAGGUAGAAAAGGAGGCGGCGGCGUUGUAUGCUGCGUGAGUGAUGUCGUGCGUGAAGGAAUUCACCAGCCACCAGGGAUAAGCUGCGAGGGCCGCGCGUGUUGGGCUAAGAAUUGGGCCGAUAAAAGGCUCAGGAUAACUUUCUGUACGUAUCACCUAGGAGGAGAAACUAAUUAACGAGCGCUCCUUCGGGAGACUCGCAAUGAUCAGCGUCACUUGGCGCGCUCUCAGCCAUUCGCCACGUGUCACGUUUUGGGCGCUCCCUUUGGAUUUUUUUUAUUUUUUCGCGCGCGUUUUUGGCUUCUAAACAGUUUUUUUGACGUUUUGGUUUUCCACCGGUUUUCCCUAGCUUUUCGACCAAAAAAAUCGAAUUGUUUUUCUGUGCAAACAAACUUUUUUUCUCGCGAGAGGCACGGUUGUGCUUUCGCGAGAGGCACGUCUGUGCCUCUUGGAAACGGAAAAAACGUGUUUUCUGUUUUUUUCCUUUCGCGAGAGGCACGGUUUUGCUUCCGCGAGAGGCACGGUUGUGCUUUCGCGAGAGUCACGGUCGUGCCUCUUGGAAAUUAAAAAACAAAUUUUUUGUUUUUUUUCUUUCAUGAGAGGCACGGUUUUGCUUCUGCGAGAGCCACGGUUGUGAUUUCGUUAGAGGCACGGGCGUGCCUCUUUCGGAAAGGGCAAAAACCCGUGCUCCCGGUUCGUUUUUUUCGUUCGGUUUUUUUCGUGAAAAAAAAGUUCGUCAAAACCUAUCAACAUGGGAUCUAGUUUUGAAGAUCUCGACACGAGGAAUCCAAGGGCGAAAGCGGUUCGAGAUUUGGAUGCACGGUUUAAGAGAUAAAACGUUUUGAAUAAACGAAUCUAUGAAAAAAGGGAAAACUCCCAGGUUACGACAAGUGGCGCACAUGCAGAGCCACUUGUCACAACCUGAGGAAGUUGAAAUGAUCUUGGCAAGGAGUACUCUUUAAUUAGUGAUUUCGGGAAAAAGGUGUUUUUUUAUCGUGGAUGGGCUAUUGAGUUGGUUAGUUCGGGGAAUUCGGUCACCUGAGUCCAACGACCGAACCCACCCAAGUAAUUUCGGUUUCUGGUAAUUGGUAACCAAACAAAUAACUGAAGUUUCGGUCCUCGGUUAUUUCGACUUCGGUCCUGGUUUUUUCGGCUCCGGUUUUCCGUUCUCAGUUUUUUCGCCCACCUAGGCGUAGCCGGAGCCAUUUGCAGGGGAAAACAUCCAGAUGAUUGGUGGUUUACCUACAAGCGUUUCAAGGGUAAAAAUCUGCCACUGGAACGAAUGGAAGAUAUAGUGCCUGUUCUGGUUUAGGUAAGUGAAAACUCUAAAGUAGUGUGUGAUAGCAGAUUGUACAUGCCUGAGUGCUCAAGAAAUACCCCUGGCAAAAGCAAAUGUAUACUCCCUCCAUGCCAUAUUAGUUAUCGCUCAAACAUAUGUAUCUACUUCUAGAUACAUCCGUCUGAGCGACAAUUAAUAUGAGAUGGAGGGAGUAUUUCUGAACGGAAAAUUACUUGGUAGUAGUUCUCGUUAUGAGGCUUGAAUAAAUUCAAGGCCUUGCACGGAUGCCUUCUUCAUGAUGGUGAAGGAAAUCAUUCCAGAGAUUGCUUAACAUCAAAGUUUAGGAAACCAUUCAGAUUUAUGUCUCUGAACAGUUCUUUGUAAGCAUUUUGCCAUUACCUGCUCAAAUCCCCAGGUUGGGCUCGAGACCAACCAGCCCCUGGGUAUCCUCAGUGUCCAAUGGACAUGCAUCCUCAGUGUCCAAUUGGGGAUUUCCUUUUUAGAGCUUCAGGAGUUGCAUUUGGUAUCAGCUUUUUUUUUGUUGAUAUAUUCUUCUUAGGACAAUUCAAGCCAUUAGAUGUAAAACACUGAGAGACCACAUAACUGAAUAAUCUGUGCUAGGUAUAGCUGUAACUUUAGCUGCACCAGUAUUGCUAGGAUAUGACUCUCUAAGUCUUGCAUCUGAGUCCAGCGGAUAGACUUUGAUGGAAGAUUUGCUCGCACAAGUUGUAGUAUUAGGCGGCACAUUUUAUAUGGCUGAGUGUAAAAUGGAGUAGAUAGCACAAGCCUUGGGAUUUGUGUGACAUCUGCACAGCAAUCAAAGAGGAAUCAAGUGCAUGUAAUUACUAUUUACUCCCUUUUUAAACUAAUAUAAGAUCUUUUAGAUCACUAAAAUAGUGAUCUUAAAAAGAUCUUAUAGUAUUAUCAGUUUACACUUGAUAGGCCUAGCCUCUGCUUUAGCUUUGCAGUUGAUUUCACUCUGGUAGUGUGCGUUUUCCUCGAUAUCUCUUUUAUGCCUACUCAUGUGAAGGACCGCUGCCCUGGUUUCAGGCAACUUGUGCGUGGCUCGUAGGAGCUGUGGAGACAUGGUUGGACUUCAUUACAUGUUGUUGCGACAAUCAAGAGUUGGAAGAGUCCAGAUGGCGGCAGUUUGAUGCUUACCUGUCAGUCUUCUGAUGCGUAAACACAGAGCAGAACACCUUGAUGCUCCAACGGAAUGCAAGAGAAGAACAGACUUGUUGUGGAUGCUAAAUUCUGUGCUUGUUUGUUUUGCUGUCUGUCUCAUUCUGUCAUUCGCCUUGGAGCUUUAGGCCAUAAGCACUCUGGGCGGUUGGCCUUUUCGAAAUUUUAUUAUAUAAUUGGGGCCGUCCGAUCUCUCUUUCCCCUAUCAACCGUCCGAGAAUCGCUGGCCGCUGCCUCGGUAGACUUAGGGCAUCUCCAGCCGCGCCCCCAAGAAGGCCUCCCCAGGCGAUUUUCUCGCGUCGGCGCCGGAAAAACGGCCCAGUCGCGCCCCCAGGACGCCGAAAAUCGCCGGCUUGGGCCGAAAACAGCGCUGGCGGACCCAGCCCGAACCCGGCGCGCUGGGGGGCGCCCGGGGGCGCCGGGGCGAGUUGUUUUGGCGCGAAGAAGCCGCGGGCCAGCCGCGUCAGCGACCCGGCGCCUCGUCUUCCCCCAACGGCCUCGGUUUCCGCGGGAAUCAAUGGCAAGGCUGCCGCCGGUCAGCCUUGCCAUUGAUUCCUUCACGGGCGGCGCGUCACGCGGCGGCGCCGACGCCUCCCCUCCCUCGCACGCGUACACACGGCGCGGCCCCGGCUAUAAAAGCCGGCGGCCUCCACUCCGCUUCCUGUGCACACCAGCCCCGCCCCCGCCCCUCGCCGCCGUCCAGCCCUCCCUCUCCCUGCCUCUCCCGUGCACCGUCGCCGACGCCAUGGCCGAACGCUUCCCAGGGGACGAGGCGGCGGCCAACGGCUUCGGCCGCCGUUCGCUUCGCCUCCAGGAGUCCUGGCUUCUGUUCCAGGCGAACAUCCCGGCGCCGCCGGACAUGCGCGCCGGGCCGUCGGGAUGGAGGCUCAGCACCGGGGGGGUGCCCAUUCCCCCUUUGCCCGACGUCGCGGCGAAGCCGGAGUACUUCGCCGACGAGGUUGACAUCGUCUGCGCGUCCCUCACCGACGCCGAACGCUCCCUCCCCCAGUACGCCGCCGACAACCACGCCGCCUGGGCGCCGUACUUCGAGCGCCGACAGCAGCAGCGUCUCGCGUCCACCAACGGCGCGCCUGUGGUCGCCGGGCGGCAGAACAGCGAGGGGCGCCACCUCUGGUGGGGCGUCCCCGGCCGCACACUCGAGGGCGUGCUCACGCACCUCGAGGGCGGCAACGUCCCGCCGUUGGCAUACCCCCCGGCGACGCACCGGCGCGCCGGGUCAUGGGCGCCUAGGCGGUUCGGGUCAGCCUCUUCCUCUUCCUCCUCCCGAUCCUCCUCACACUCCUCCGGAACUCCGGCCCUACUCGCCGUCAAGGCCGAGCCUGCGUCGGAGUCGCCGCUCGGUCGGCGCAAUCGCAGCGCCGGCAUCGCCAUCCACGAGGGCGGCCGGCGCGCUUCGUCCUCGGUUCCUCCGCGCUUCGUCAAGCCGAAGACGGAGCCGGGAAUGGCGCCGGUGAAGACGGAGCCGGGGCUGGUGCCGGUGAAGACGGAGCCAGGCCUGGCGCUGGCGACGGCGGAGCUCGUCGACGACAACGCGGCCCUGGAAUGGGCGCGCCAGGACUCCAUUGCGAUGGAGAAGGCGCGCCGAGAGAAGGCGAAGGAGCGCCAGCGCGCCGAACUGCGUCGCUUCGCGGAGCGACGACGCGGCCGCGACGAAGGCGGAGUCGUCGUCCUGUGCGACAGCGACGACGACGACGCGCCACCGCCAGUCCACCAUGGCGACGUCGGGUCCAGCCGGGGCGUCCGCGUCAAGGAGGAGAAGGCCGACGACGACGAUGGCAGCGACGGCGCCGACGACUUCAGCGCAUUUCUUUUUUAGAUUAGCUUAGCUUUUAAUAAUGUAAUGAAAAUGGGCGAAUUUGGCCGAAAUUCGCCAUGUUCGGACGAAAUUUAACUGUUCUUCGUCAUAUCUUCGCCGAACGGGCCCUCCCUAUUUUUUUUGCACUCGCCUGUAGGCGGCCCUGGGGGUCGACGGCUGGGCGACGACUCGCCCCCAGGGCCUUUUUUUUCGCCGGCUCACCCCCAGGCGGCGCUUUUAGACGCCCCCUGGGGGGCCAACGGCUGGAGAUGCCCUUACACCUUAAACGCCAGCGCCGUUGACUUGGCUCGAGGUGAAGCACAACGGCCACCCUUGCCGCUGUCUGACAUGCCAACAACGUUGCACAUCUCCGAGUCUGGCUGCUGCCACUUUGAACAUCUACAACUGGAUCCCGCAAACCAUCUCUCAUGACGCGAACCCUCAUAUCUAUAUCAAAUAUGGGGGGAUAUGAGGGCUCGCGGACAAGCCGGGGCGCGCCCGGUCAAUCCGCAACAUAAGACGUGGCCCCAUCUUGAACCAUCUUUUCUCUUUCUUUAAUCAUUCUUUUCUUUCUCCCUUUAUCUACCCCAAUCAUGUGACCGGACAUAUGAGGAAGAAAAUGAGGAUUGUACGUGUGUGGAUGAAUAAAUAGGGGAAAACAUUCAUAAUCAUUCGACUGAUCUUUCUCUCUCGUAAGCCUCCUCCUCCACGCGCCACGUACCCACGUCAAUGACCGAAUAGGAGAGAGAGGGAAAAAAGUAACCCAACUGGACCCCUCAUAUCUUUCCUAUAUGUCUGGUCUGUCCGCGAACCCGUGUAUCUAUCUCAAAUAUGGGGGGAUAUGAGGGCUCGCGGACAAGCCGGGACGCGCCCGAUCAAUCCGUCACAUAAGACGCGGCCUCACCCUCGACCACCUUUUCUCUUCCUUUAAUCAUUCUUUUCUUUCUCCAUCUUUAUCUACCUCAAUCAUGGGCAAGUGAUCGGACAGAUGAGGAAGAAAAUGAGGACUGCGCGGAUGAAUAAAUAGGGGGAGAACGUUCAUCAUCCGACUGAUCUUUCUCUCUCAUAAGCCUCCUUCUCCACGCGCCACGUACCCACGUCAGGCUGCCCACCGCUUCGCCCCAGCCUUAUCCUAUCUCUAACGAAGCUCCUCCACUCAUUUCUUCAUUUUUUUUCUCCCUCUUACAACUCAUCGCCAGAGGAGAUUAGCCAUGGUGAGCACCACCACCAGCAGCUAGAAAAUCAGAAGAGUUUGACGCCGGCCGUAGGCACUAGCGUCGGAGCUCCUCCCUUGCAUUGCUGCAGGCGGCAUAGCUGCAAAGCAGCGUCCAUGGAGCGAAGCCAUGGCGAGCACCACCACAGCAGCGGGGGAACUGGGAGGUGCUGCUGGCAAUCGAAACGGCGCUCGUCGACGAACGCCGGUGCUGCUUUCAUCCAUGGCCGCCGAGAUGGGACACAGCAACUUGUCCACGGCCGUUGCGCUACGUUGCGCUAGGUUGCAAUCUUGUCUGCAUUGCGAUGCAAUCUGGUGUGCCGAUGGAGCGCUCGGCGUCGGCGGCGGAGCUGCAAUGGAGCGCUCGGAGCCGGCGGCGGAGCUGCAAUGGAAGUGCAAGUCGCCGGCGGCGGAGCUGCAAUGGAGCGCUCGGAGCCGGUGGCGGAGCUGCAAGUCGCCGGCUAUGGAGUUGCAAUGGAGCGCUCGUCGGCGGCUCCCCCGUACUGCAUCGCAGCGCUUGCCGACGGCUCAAUGUAGCAUCAUCGGUGGCUCAAUGCAGCGUCGUCCGUGGCUGAUGCAGCUUUGCCGGCAACUCUUGGGGGAGCCCGUGUCGCAAGUCGCAACUGCACGCUUGGAGUCUUCGUUGUUGCCACGACCGGCGACAGUUACGCGUUUGCAAGGCGAGGAACGGCUGGGGCAAGCUUGGUGCUGCAAGCGAGCGGCUGCGAGCUAGUUCAGGGCUGCGACCCAGUGUGUGGGGAUUUUUGGCAAGGCUGCGACACAAGGAAGACGAGGCCACGCUCGGCGUCGUAUUGCGUGAGAGCGACACGGUCAAGUACAAGUUGACUAAUCGUACGUCUGUGAGAGCUUUGAUCGGACGGCUGGGACCCGAUUGAUUUCUCAUGAAAUCAGUCGAAUGAUUUUUAGCAGCCGUCAUAAAUAGGGGUUUAAAAUAAACACGCCCGGUCACUGACCGGACACGGCCGCAGACAUUUGAGGGAUCGAAUUAGAGGUACGUGGCUGAAGAUGCUCUUGCACCUCCAUGCAUGCAGCCCAAAAUGGUACACGGCCGCAUGAAGCACAAUUGUGCUUAAGUGUUUUUUUCUUCAAAAGUGAAAUACGGUAGUGCUUCGGUUUGGAGCGCAAUUGUGUUUUUGUGCUUUUCACAAAAGUGAAGCACAAAUAUGCUUCCGUGUGAAAGCAUAACUGCUUUUCCCGGUAAGUGAAUAACAAAUGUGCUUCCCCGUGAAACAUACUUGUGCUUUUAUGGUUAUUUCCUUUUUCUUUUUACGGUUACCGUUUUUUCAGUAUUUCGUCUUUUGUCUCUAUUUUUUGUUUGGUUUUUGGGAUUGGGCCAAAAAAAUGUUCGUCGAAACCUGUCAAAGUUCGAGGAUCUCAACGUGAGAAAUGCAACGGUAAAACGAUUCAUGAUUUGAACGGAUGGUUCAAGAGAUAAAUUAUUUUGAUGAAACAACUCUACAAAGAAAAGCACAAACAAAUCCACAUGCCUCCCGUGUAUGUGAAGAAAUCUCACCAAAAAAUUCAUAGGUUGUGACAAGAAUCGCACAUAGAUUACGCCACUUGUCACCACAAGAGAAGAUGGGACUGUCCCUUGCAAAAAGUACCCCUUAAGGUUGUAGAGCACAGGGACGAUGCCAUCAUAAGGGCAUGUAUGAUCGACCGCCUCGAGUAGUCGCGUAAUGUGAUCCCCAAGUGGCCAAGUCCAACCAUGAUCCGUUUUGGAGUAGACAUGUCUACCUGGAUAUGGAACAAGAAAACUGGGAACCUCCUAUAUGACGCAUUUUGCCUCGUAUAGGAGCUCGACGCAGACGGGCGACGCUCGACUUGGCCAGCCCACCGACACGAAAGCCACUUGUGUUUCCUAGUGCGCAACCUAAGAAAUCCUAGAAAACAAUAGAGCACGUGAGGAUUGGAUCCCACGAUCUCGCUCACACCAUACUCGCGACUGCGACCAGUUAGCCACUCCACCACACAGUCGCUGCUGAACAUGAAGCGCGAAACUCUAUAGCACACACAUCAGGGUUGAUAUAUGGAAAACAUUUUAGAAACAUUUCUUGAAAAUUGUGAACAAUUUUUAAAUGCCGCAAAUAUUUUUUGAUAUUCCAAAUUUGUUUUCUGAAAAAAUGUGAACAACUUUUGUAAUAUAGAAUUAGAAAACACGGACAUUUUUUGCACAACCCAAACAGUUUAAUGAAGUUGUGAACAAAUUUUGAAAAAAAGAACAUUUUUUGAAUUUCCUGAUUUUUUUUGAAAACACAAACAUAGAAAAAUUCGAAAAUGAGAACAUUUUUGAAAUACCUGAUUUUUUAAAUUGCGAUUUUAGUAAAAGAGAACAUUUUUUGAAACACGGACAUUUUUCGAAAUUGUGAACAAAAUAUGAAAAUAAAACCAUUUUUUGAAAUUCUUGAAAAUUUGUUGAAAUUGGCAACAAAUUUUAAAAAUGAGAAAAUAUUUUGAAAUUCCAAAUAAUUAUUACAAAUUUUCAAACAAAAUAAACAUUUAAAAGGAAAUAGAAAAUAGGAAAUAAAAAAGAAAUAAAAAAAGAAAAUGAGAGAGAAGCAGAACAAGAAAAAAAGAAAAAGAAAAUGAGAGAGAAGGUUCUAGAAGGUUCCCAAAACCGAUAAAAACCGCUAGGAACCCUCUAGAAGAUUCCCAAAACCAUAACGUUGUACAUAUUACAGAUUGGCUGGCCCAAUCGCUCGCUCGGACGCUUCCUAUGUGCGAUUGGUCGGUAGUUUGAUGCAAAAUGCAUUAAACAUGGAUUUCCGGAAAACUUAUCGUGGUCUAGACUUAAGUAACAAAAAAGGGUAGAAGUAGCCCAGUUGUAGCCCAAAUUUGAUAUCUAUAAUUGUGUGAGUGCCGACCGUGUAGGUAAUCCCUAUUUUGCGCUUCAGGCGCCAGUUAUAGGCCAUUUUGCUUUUUUUUGAGGUAAACUGCUAAGUUUUAUUCAUCAAUCCAUAUGUCUACAAGUACUCCCUCCGUUCCUUUUGUGUAAGGUGUAUUAUUUCCGGCACGGUGACCAAGACACAGAAAUAUAUGCAUGUUAGGACGAAAUUACCCUUGACAAAUUUAUUUGUUAGUGCUAAGUAAACCAGUUAGUCAAGGAAAUUAAAGUAUGAGAUACAUGCAAUUGACAGAGAGAUACUUUCCUUCUUUUGUUACAAGGAGAGAUACAGACAAUCAGGAGAGAGAUACUUUCCCUUUUUCUGGAGGGCUAACAAGAGAAUUAUGUGGAAUUAGAAAAAAUGCACCUUACAUUCUACAAUUUUAUCAAAAAACAAAUACACCUUAUAUAAAGGAACAGAGGGAGUAUUACAUAAGGAUCAUGUGGUUGCCCCAACCAAAUGUGGCGGCCUUGAUCCAACUUAAGAGCAUGCGUAGCUAGUUUAUGUGGCUCAACAUUUGAGCUCCUAGAUUAAAAUUUAAAAACACAAGAAAUGAAGAGAUAUUUCCACUCCAAAAUCUCCUUGACUACUCCACCAUAGUUUCCACCCUACACUUCCUUGAUAUGCUUAACAACUGUUUCGCAAUCCGACACGAUCACUAAGUUUGUAGCCCAAGAUCUUCUACUAGUUAUAGUCCCUCCCGGCAUGCUAUAGCUCAAGACUGGCCGGGUCCGUCAGGCCCCGUAUGACAAAAACAAAAGAACCCAAAUAUGCACCUGAGCCAUCUCUACACACCGCGGUCGCAGUCCCGACACCACGAGAGACAGCGGCAUCAACAUUGAUCUUCGAAUGACCCUGAACAGCCGGAAUCCAUCUCCUCGGUGCUGCUACUGCUGUAUUACAUACCCAGUUCCCACUAGAGGGGUGAAUCUCUCCCAGCUCCAUAAUGAAGUGGGUAAUGAACAUAUAAGUGGACAGAGGGCUCUGAUCAAUUCCCUCAUGAAUCAGUCUGUGCCGCGCCCACCAUAUAGGCCAGGUAGUGACUGUUAACUUAGUAAAUAUCUCAUGCGAGAGCUGCUCAAGCAGAGUAAACAACUAGUCCUCGCGUUCUGUUCAUUAUUUUCCAUCAACUCUUCGAUCAGCUCCUUGUCAACUAAUGACCACACACAACGAGCAGCCGUACAAUCCAGUAGGUUGUGCCUCCAAGAGUCCAGCAUGCCACAAAUAGCGCAAGUACAUGUUGCCGACAUAUUCUGGUGCAUUCUCAUGUCUUCCGUCGGUAUGGAAUGAUGCACUAGUCUCCAUAAAAAUACUCAGAGUUUCGUCCCCAUAAAAAUACUCAGAGUUUCGUUGGAACGUAAGUUUUCCAUAGUUUGACCCAACUCUUAUCCUCUUCCUUCCUACUCUAGGGCCCCGGGCGCUGUUCUAACAAGUCUUCACGCCGGCACUUUGUUUCAACUAUCAUACGAUAAGCAGACCUAAUAGAAAACUUCCCAGAAUUUUCAUGCAUCCAUCACCAGUAAUCAUCCACAACUCAAGCAAAUAGGGAUUUGUAGUAUCUCAGCCGCAUCACAAGGUAGAAAAACAUGGUUUACCAGCUCCAUAUUUCAUCGGGCGUUCACUGUAUCAAUUAACUUAGAGACAAGUUGCGGUGGAUCCGGCACUCUAGACACCAUCGGCCUCAUGAACUCCGAUCUUGGGAUCCAGUCAGUGUUCCUGAUUUUCAUGGAGGAACCAUCACCCAGUGGCGGAGCUUGGGACACAUCUUAGGNNNNNNNNNNNNNNNNNNNNNNNNNNNNNNNNNNNNNNNNNNNNNNNNNNNNNNNNNNNNNNNNNNNNNNNNNNNNNNNNNNNNNNNNNNNNNNNNNNNNNNNNNNNNNNNNNNNNNNNNNNNNNNNNNNNNNNNNNNNNNNNNNNNNNNNNNNNNNNNNNNNNNNNNNNNNNNNNNNNNNNNNNNNNNNNNNNNNNNNNNNNCAGGUUUAGGCUAGAUUUCUAUGAAACUGUGGGCAGUAUAAUAUGAACAAAUCUCCUGGGCAGGGGGGCGAUGACCCAGGUUGAUCUUCACUAAGCUCCGCCACUGCCAUCACCUAUGCAUCUAACCAAGCCCUAUUUCAUGAUAUCCCUACCCUCCAAUAUUGAUCUCCAAACCUGGGAAGGGUGAUUUGAUUUCCCAAGUUGGCCUCAAGGAUGGAGCAUGAGGGAAAAAUACACAAUCUUCAGUAUGCGAGCACCGAGAAUGUUGAGGGAAACUAGAAUCCUCCAAGAUUGUUGACCAAGUUGAACAAUUCAAAAUCCCUGAAACCAAGGCCACCCAUGUACCUUGGCAUAGUCAUCUUGUCCCAUGAAACCCAAUAGGGCUUUCUCUUCCCCUGUUUGCUUCCCCACCAAAAGGCCCUAAUAGCUGAAGUUAUUUUUUCACCAACCCACGUGGGAGCUUGAAACACGACAUCGAGAAGACAAGAAUAGCUUGUGCCACUGAUUUGAUUAAAACAUCUUUACCUGCUGCUGAAAGUGUUUUCUCCAUCCACCCUAUAAUCUUGUUCCACAGCCGGUCAACAGAUACUUGAAGGCACCAUUUUUGGAUGUUCCUACAUCCCCAAAUAUUUCUCACUUAGUUGCUCAUUCUGAAAUUGUAAAAUAAUCUUCACCUAUGCUCUUAGCACUUUUGGACACCCUUUACUAAAGAAAAUUGAUGAUUUGUCUUCAUUUACUCUCUGUCCAGAUGCUCUAGCAUAGGCAAAAUGGACUCCGCCGACGAGUUCUUUUUCCGUAAAUUCCUUUGCGACUCCGACGAUUCCUAGUCCGAUGAUGAUGAGGAGAUCUUGGUGUUGGGGAACGUUGCAUGAAAAACAAAAAAUUUCUAUGCACACGCAAGAUCUAUCCAUGGAGAUGUAUAGCUACGAGAGGGGAGAGUAUCUUCAUACCCUUGAAGAUCGCUAAGCGGAAGCAUUUAUCAACGCGGUUGAUGUAGUCGUACACCUUCACAAUUCAUCCUGAUCAAGUACUGAAUGUACGGCACCUCCGUAUUCAGCACAUGUUCAGCUCGAUAAUGUCCUCGCCUUCUUGAUCCAGCAAGAGAGGCGAAGUAGUAGAUGAGUUCCGAUAGCAUGACGGCGUGGUGAUGGUGUUGGUGAAGAACAAUCCCGCAGGGCUUUGCCAACCACAACGGAAACUAGACAGAGGAUAAACUAGAGUGACGGGGUUGCCAGCACACGGCUUAGUGAAUGUUGAGCCCUUGGUUAAAACUUGGAGUAAAAGCCUUCUCGAAGUCGGUUUUGCCCGAUAGGCAAGAGUCCUUCUCGGACUCGAGGACCAGACGCCACAGUCCUUGGCCUCUGGCCCAGAUGCCAUGGGCCUUGGCAUCUUGCCCAGGGCCAGACGCCAGGGUCUCCGGGAUUUGGUCUCUGACCUCCGCAAAACUCCCUUUUGCACCAACCUAAAGCCCCCUGGGCCUUACCCGUUGGCCUAACCAUAUCAUCAUAUAUAUCAAUCUUUACCUCCGGACCAUUCCGGAGCUCCUCUUCAUUUCUGUGAUCUCAUCUGGGACUCCGAACAACAUCCUGUCACCAACAUACAUAACUCAUAUAAUAUUAUAUCGUCAACGAACGUUAAGUGUGCAGACCCUACGGGUUCGAGAAUGAUGUAGACAUGACCGAGGCGCUUCUCUAGUCAAUAACCAAUAGUGGGACCUGGUGGAUGCCCAUAUUGGUUACUACGGGUUCGGUACUAGAUCGGUUGGAUCGUGAAGACGUUCGACUACAUCAACCGCGUUAACCUAACGCUUCCGCUUUCGGUCUACGAGGGUACGUGGACACACUCUCCCCUCUCGUUGCUAUGCAUCUCCUAGAUAGAUCUUACGUGAGCGUAGAUUUUUUUUUGAAAUUGCAUGCUAUGUUCUCCAACAAUUUGUGCGCUUUACCAAGACCAAUGUCAUGAAACACACCAUGGUAUGUUUUGUAUCUUUUCUCUUUUUUCCUUCAUAGCACUAUAUGGCAAGAUGUCUAACAUUGUGUGCUCUAUUUUGUUUCUAAUCACGGGAUCAUAGAAAUUUUCUAUGCGACGUGGUUUAUUUGCAAGCUUUAGAUGUCUUGAGCAAGAAUCUAUUAGAUUAAGACGGUUGCAAAACGGAAUUAAAAAAUAUAUGUGUGAAGCAAUUAUUGUUGAACUAAUAAAAAUACGUAUGCCCAUGUUCCAACACAUGGGUAAUUAACUAGUCUACUAUAGACAAACAUACAUUUAGCAAUCAACACCUUUCUUCUACCAGAUAUGUGUCAACACAUUCCAUUGCCUCCGGGAUUACCUCCAUGCCACCGCCUUGGUUACCUUCCCCUCUCCAUUCCAACAGCCUUGUCGGUGAUUAGAUAAGUGGGGCAAUGUCCCUUCGUAAUUCUUAGUUAUAGUGAUUCCUUAUAUUUUUACCUUAGGUUUUAGUUUCACAACAGCAUCGAUGAGGUGGCGAUAACAUGGAUGGUUGGAAGAAGGUCUCUUUGGCAUGUCUCUACCUUGAAGACAUAUGAUCUGAUGCUUACGAAGGGCCAGUGAGGAUAGGUGAUGCGAGAUAUCUUGGCUCCCUUUGGGUCUGGCACUUGAUGUGUGGAUAAAAGAGAGUGGUUGGCUAGCUUUUGGUGCAGUGACUUUGACUUCUUCUUUCAGUUCUAUCUAUGGCAAUCUGAUUUCUUCCACCCUGUAGAUUGGUGGAGUAGGAUUGAAUGUCUGCGCUGUUCAAUGGGUGACUAUUGCAUUCAACGGUUCAAGAAUGCACUAGAUGAUGCUCCUUCAACGGUUACUAUAUUUCUUUGCUAUCAAUGGGUGACACUUGCAUUCUUGAAAGGCUUAUGUGACGAGGGUGUCUGCAACUCUUCCUUUUUCGUACAAUCUUCUCGGUGCAUUCUUCAAGCUCAAGUAUAUGACAAAUUGUCGAAGGAAGAUGUCAAGAAAGGCAUUGAAUAUGAUAUUAUUUUUAGAGGUCGUUUUAUGCCACGUUACCCCUUUUGUACUAACUAUUGUAUUCACUAAUAAAUAUUAUAUGUAAGAUGCCCUUGGGUAUCAUCUCUAAAAAAAUAUAGACAUUUCUAUCAAGAUAUUUGUCGGAUACUUCUCUAUAGUUCAAACACUUUGUCAUUAUGUUGCAGGACACAAAAUGCAGUAGGACGUAUACAUGUCUUAAGCCUUAUAUUUACUAUUUAUUAACUAGGAUAUGUUCUUUCUGAUUGUUCAUCCCCACCUCUCACGUAUAUUUUACUGCUAAGGAUAUUCUGAAAAAUGACAAACUAACUUGAAUUCAAGAUAACUAAUCUACAAUAAAAAAACUUAACCACGCAUGUCAAAUCUCUAAAAAAUUAUAAUAAAUAUAUAGAGGCCUGUAAUUUCAUAUUUAUCUUUAGUUUUCUGCAUGCCUAGAAAGAGCCAAUCUAAAAUAUUUUCCUAAAUGCAAAUUUAUCAAAAUGAGAACAAUUCAUGUUAUUUCUAUUGCAAAAUGCAAUUCAGAAUGAGACUAAACGGUUAGAAAUAUUAAACUUAUGUGGUUAAUUUUGUUAGGUGUAAUAAAAAACUGUAUUUACAAAAUAAUCAUAAAACUUCUUCCUGGAAAUACCAAGGGUUCAUCAGUCCAAUCAGACCAGUUUCUGUAUUCAAUGUAAGACCAAUCAUGAGAUGCAAGUCUGUCUCUUCAAGCUCUUAGCUGAUGCAUAAGAAAUCGGGGCAGCAAACAAGUUCUGUCGAAAGGUUUGAUGAUUGGGCAGGAACAAAUUCGUUUGAAUCAACGAGCUACUGGUUAUGGGCAGCAAGUUAGCAUUAUGCUUGCUCAAUAUAAUGCAUGCAUUUUCAUUUUUUGUGUAGGUUGCUAUUUGUGAUUCACCUCAAUGUACUUGGUUUUUUGAUAGUUCAUUUCUCAUACGACAUGAACUUCUGGUUGUUCUUACUGAAAGUGUAAUUCAAUAUGACCUAAGUUAUACAAUAUGAUUUUUUUUUCUUCAAUUGAAAAUAAUAAUUUCAGGAUUUUACAUUCUUGCAAGAGUAUAAGAGGUUGCAGACAAACCAAUUUAUAUGUGGACACUUCAUAUUGUCAGUGGGCAUACUCUUGGUCAUUUAUGUGCUGCAAUGGUGCCUCUUUUUUUUAUUCUCAUGUUAGCGAAAAGGACAAGGCCAAUUUAACCAGAAAGGUAUGAACUGAUAAUUCCAUAGACUCAUGUGUAAAGUGGAAUUUGAUCAAAAGUGCAUGAUUUUUCUUACCAAACUUAAUGUGGUGAGUACCAGUCCAACAAAUACUUUCCUCGUUCCUUUCCAAAUAUUUGUGUUUCUUCAUCCAGUCUAGUUCUGCUAACAAUUUCACCACAUUAAGGUUGGAUUUGCUCAUGUGACAUGGUUGUUUGGUUGGUUGUGUGGUGAAGGGCAUGUGCUUGGAGAUGGGGAAGUGUCUCAUCCAUGAUCCACACAAUAUAUUUGAUGCAUUUAUUGGAUACAUUUAUUUAACAAUCAUUGAAAAAAUUGCGAACGCCACUGCGUUGCAUCAUUAUGCCAUACAUUAUUUUAUUGCAUUCAUCUGCUUAUGCAUUUUGGCCACCACUAGAGUUUCCAUUGUUUUAUAAGUAUAUUGUAAUUUUUAUGCUGACCAAUAUGUCCAAAUGCUCUUAUAUAUCAACUACUCAACCAUAUGCAGUGCGUGUUUAUGUCUUGUAGGGGUAAAAUCAACAACAAAAACAACAACAACAACAACGACGCCGACAACAAAGCCUUUAGUCCCAAACAAGUUGGGGUAGGCUAUGCUGAAACCCAUAACAUCUCACAACAAACUCAUGGCUCUGGCACAUGGAUAGCUAGCUUUUACGCACCUCUGUUCAUGGUUAGUUCUUUGGUGAUACUCUAGUCAUUCAGAUCUCACUUUACAGACUCCUCCUAUGUCAAGUUUGGUCUACACCGACCUCUCUUGACAUUAUACUCCUUAAUGACCCUCUCUUUGGAUGCUUGAGCUACCCCCGGGCUUCCACCACUUCGUUCUAGUGACUUUGGCACGCUUAUCCUGUUGGGACACGAAUCCGAAAGAGAAAGUCAUUCACCACAAGCUUAUGCUGAGGGGCAACACACUCUCCAGGUAUCACCUUACAAUCAAGAUAAGCACGCCAGUCUUCUCUUCUCAAGAGGAUGAAAUCAAUCUCACUAGAGUGUUGACCACUACUAAGAGUCACUAGAUGUCAUUCUUGUUAAAGUGGAUGUUCGCUAUGAUCGUCGUAGGCUAGAGAAAAUCUUAAGACAUCUUCUCCUUCUUGAUUCCUGAUGCGAUAGCCAAAGCCCCGAUGCAUCGCUUCAAAACCUAUGUUAGAUGUAUCCACGUGGCCAUUGAGGUAUCCUCCUAUGAAGAGCUUCUUGCCAAUAGGUACUCCUAACCAUGUUCUCCAUGCCUGCCUAGAACUCCUUGGUGUUCUCAUUGUGGCCUACUUGCGGGGCAUACACGUUGAUAACAUUUAGAACUAAGUCCCCAGCUUGACCAGGAUAAUCUGGUCCCCACGCCUCCUGACGUCUACCACUCCACACUUGAGGCUCUUGUUGAUCAAGAUGUCUAUUCCAUUCCUGUUUGCAGUUGUCCCCGUGUACCAUAGCUUGAAGCCGGUAUCUCCACCUCCUUUGCUUUCUAUCCUCUCCAUUUGGUUUCUUGGACUCAAAAUGAUAUCAACACCUCUCCUCACCGUUGUAUGAACUAGCCCCUGAAGUUUACCUGUCAGGGUUCCUAUUUUCCAGCUACCUAAACGAUUCUUCCUAGGCUCGGCUAGCUUCCUUAUUCUUCACAGUCGUCGAGUCAAAUGCGAAGACCCUUCAUUUUUCACUACACGCGGGCGUCGAUGUAGCGCGCCACUAAGGAUGCGAUGUGACGACCUGAUCCUUGCUCACUUGUCACCGUAUCCAGAUCAAGAUACUACGCGCCACCUGGUGGGUGACGGCCCGGCCCUUGCCCAUUUGACACAACACCAGCGUUCUGAUAUGGCGCAUCGUUGAGAGGGUUACGCCCCAAAGAUUUUAUUCUAGGUUCAUCUCCAUUAAGAGUGGCUGAGUUCUUGAUGUUGGCUCGCCAAGCCUAUCACAACCCUCGUUUACUCGGGCUUGGGACCGGCUAUGUUGAGACAACAUAGGCAGAGUUGUCUUGUAGGGUACACACAAAGAGUAUAAUUUUGAUUACAUGAUCUGACAAUUUCCCUCAUUUCAGACACAUGAUUCUAGUGCAUCAUCAAUUAAUGCUUGCUUUCAUGGUCUGCUUAUUGGUGCCCAAGAUGAUCUGCCUAUGGAUGCCCAAGUUACAAGUAUGAUAAUCUUCUGAUCCAUGUCCAAGCAAAUUAGAGUCACUCCACAUAUUGACCAUGUUGCUGCUUUGUCUAGAGGCCUGACACUACAUAAUUACUAACCUCCCUUGACAAUUGACUCAUUCCAUACCAUACUAUGUGCAUUAUGUUAUUAUGGAGGUAAUUAUACAAUGAUAACUUUACUACCAUGUCAUGCUUUCUCCACAAUUUUAGAAAGUAAAAUCUGUCUCUAGCAUGCAUGUGAUUCUUGCAUUGAUAUUUAUUUAUUUGGAUAACCUAAUUAACUUCUUCCACACUCGUGAAAGUUAGAUACGUGCUUUUUCAUGUGUGACUUAUUGACUGUGUUGUUGCUCUAAAUCAGGUUAGUGCCAUAAUGUAUGAAAUCAGCAUUUUGAUGUGGGAGUUUAGUGCUCGUCAUGUGGAUAAUCAGGCAAAGUCCUCAGAGGAGCGAGGAAUGUUAGAAACCCCAAUUCGUGCUCGGCAAAUAGUCCCGCGUAUUCAUGGCCUUUAUGGGAUGGACAUUCUUACAAAGUGAACGAUCGGAUGAGUCCAUAUUUGGAUUAUGGGGCACAUCCGCUGUUGGCAAGACACGGCUUCUUUCGCUUAUCGCUGAUAGCUAUGCUGAUUCAUUUCGUCACGUCAUAUUUCUUGAUGGUGGCAGUUGCCUGAGAUCAUGCAAAAUCAUUUCGCAUAUUUUUUGAAAUUGGAUUGGGAGACAAUCUCAUUGUUAGACGAUGUGCAAGAUGAAGUCUACCCAGAUUUAACAGCUCUUGGUUUGCCGAUGGCUCUUGGGCAUCGGCAAAAAGUUGUUCUUACGUCGAGGAGUCAGGUAGUAUGUGCUCGCAUGGAAUGCACCAUAUCAAACACUCUGGAGAUGAAGUGUCUUGGGGAUGAAGAUGCUUGGAGUCUUUUCGAGUAUAAUGCGGGAGUAAAAAUCACAGAAGCUGAUACUGAAAUUUAUGAAUAUGCAAAACAAGUAAUAUAUAUUUCUACAUAAUAACUUUUCAGAUAUACGUUUAACCUACAAAUAAAAACUGUGCACUAUAAUUUAUAGUUUAUAUUGGUUAUUAGAUGGUUUCAGCAUGUGGAGGGUUGCCUAGAGCCAUAUGUGCUAUUGGCCUAGGCAUUCGGUUACACCGAACCGAUCGGUUCGGUGCCUCGGUCUAUUUUUAAUUUCGGUUUCCAAAUUUUAUGGACCGAUCGGUCUUCUGAGAAUUCACUAACCGAGGCUUUCGGUCUAGCGAGAAUUCGGCUCGGUCCUCGGUUAUAACCGAAGGGGACUUUUUUUCUACGGAAACACUAACGCCCACAUGUGUGGGCGUUCUCCAACUCGCCCACACGUCUAGAUGAUCGUUGAUUGUCUUUUGCACGAAUCUUGACACGAAAAGGUGGAUUUGAUGUGCCACGUAGGAGGGGCUAGUGUGUGGGCGUUGGAAAGUUUGCCCACACGCCCCGCAUCAUGCUGUUGCCAGCUGCGAUGUGUAGGAGAACUAGUUUCUGCCCACACAGCCACCACCUAGUCCAUGCGCGUGUGGGUGAACUGAUUUUCGCCCACACGACACUACUACGUUGUGGAUGGCAAUUGCAGUUACGUGAACGUGGCAACUAGGUACACAAACAUGGUAACUGUGAUUCUUUUGCUAGACGGCAACUGCAGUUGCGCGUGUGUGGCAACCAGAUAAACACACAUGGCAACUGCGAUUAACUAUACAUGGCGACUAUGGUUGGACCACACGUGGCAACUAGGUAAACACACAUGGCAACUACUGUUUGACCAUGUGUGGCAAGUAGUUAAUCACACACGGCAACUACGGUUUUGAUUACACGCGGCAACUACCAUAAAUUAGACAUGGCAACUAUAAUUGAUCAAAACAAAUAGAGUUGCCAUGCUUUUACAACUACACUUGCCAUCCCGGAUAACUACAUCUGCCAAUCAGGAUGGCAACUAAAUCGUCAUCCCGCGGGUACCUAACGUUGCUGCGCUAGGACGUGUGGGCAUUUUUGCUUCGUUCCACACGCGUGAGGUGAAGAUGAGUAGUACUUGUUGGGCGUGUGGCACGAAGUAGCCGCGCCCACACGUGUGGGCAAUUCUAAUGUCCGCCCACAAACAACCCGUGUGGGCUGCAUCCUGCUCACACCACACAUGGUAUGUGGCCAGACCCUUUAACGCCCACACGUGUGGGCGUUAUCGGCGUCCUUUUUCUAACUUGAAGAGAGAACAUAUUGGAUCGGAAGGAGUCAAAUUCUAAGCGAGAAACAAGUUCGGAAAAGGAAUCGAUCCAAACAUGCAUUGCGCUGCCUAAUAUGGCUCAAUCAGGCCGCUCGUGGCAACCUUUGCAUAGCAUACAUGAAUGGUACAAGGAAAGACAUACAAUAGGAUACUAGAUAGGGAUCGCGCCGUGGCGCGAGGGUGCCGGUCAAAACGUUUGUAUGCACAUAAUAAGAAGCUACUUAACAAUGCAUGAACAUAGAAAGCAUGUUUCACGAUAGGUUAGCACCAAAUAUCUUAGGCAUAGAAGAUACGACAACACGUCGCUUAAAGACAAUUUACAACUAUGCAUAGAUAACUUUAAGUUUUAGGCAUAACAUAGACGUUUAGGCAUAGAAGAUACGACAACAUGUCGCUUACAGACGUUUUAGGCAUAGAAGAUACGGCAACACGUCGCUUACAGACAAUUUACAACAUGGGUCUUGCCGUCCUCAUGAACAACGCGUUUAUACUGAGCCGAUAAUAGUCCAAGGUGUGCCAGGAGCAUGCCAAGAACUGCCAUGUGUGGGAUCCUAAGCACUCGCUUGGUGUCCUGCAGUUCCCAAUAACAUAAAACAUAAGGCCUUGGGGAAUUGCCCAAAACAAUUGCAUUACAGCAUGGGGAAAGAAUCAGAGAAAUCAGUUGCGGAUAAAAGCAACCAUAGUGAUAAAAAAGAUAUGCCAAGCCUAUCCUUUAAUCAGGAUUUUGUUAGGAUGUGCCAAGCAUUUAAAAAAAAACAGAUUAUGAAUCAGGAUUUUGUUGCAAACAGACUGAAUGAUGGAAUGAGAAGAGGAAUAUAUUCAUGAAAUAAAGCAAGAGAGAUAAAGUUGAAAGGAAAGAAGUGCAGAGCUUGCAGGUGAAAAACAUCAUAUAAAAUGUAUAAUCACCAAUCAGGCAAUUUCAAGAUAUCAUGACUUAUUGCUGUGAUUAAAACAAAGCUAGUUGAUGAAUGAUUGGAAUCAGCUAUUCACUGAAUAAAUAUAUUCAUGGCGUAGUUUCAGUUUUGUGCCAUGAAGAGAGGCCGUCGAGUGUGAUAUCUAGAACAGAGAUGACCAUAUAUAUCAAGAAUGGUGAGGUAUGAAGAAAACAAACUCUCUAAGGAACACAUGCAGGUAGGUAUUUUUUUCUUGGAUUCUAUUGCUUCUACCUGAAUCUCAAGGUAUACAGUGACAUCCACGAUUAGCGGAAUUAAGCAACAACGACAUGCUCUCUGAUUUCAAUGUAACAUGUUUCAAUUCCUCUAUAACCUCUGUGUUUUAUCAAAACAAGCGCACAAACAAGAUAAUCAUCGAAACAAUAUUAUGUUCUCAACAAGGCUAUAUGCAUUCUUCUCAAGUCUGAGAUAUGCACGUACAAUGGUCUUAGAUCGAUUGAUAAUCACCAGAACUAACUACAGUACAUAGUCUGUGAAUCAAAAGUGAGAAAAUACCAGGAAGAUGAUUUGUGUAGUUGCAAGAGCUCAGGGGAAAGGAGAGUAGGCGGACCUGCUUGCUGGAGCUCCUUGACUGGCCAGUUGAACGUGCAGCCACAGUCGAGAGAGUGCUACUACCUUACAUGAGAGCAUGUUAAAUGGAAAAAACUCAAAUUCCUAACAAGAACAUUUUUUGAAAGAUCCAUAAAAUCCAGAUCAGGAUAGGGGGACUAACACGAACUCAUCCUUCACGCGAGCACCGCCACUCGAUGGAGAUGGUUGGUACCCCACGCCACUCCACGCAUCAUCAUAUUCCUCCUUCACGUGAGCACCGCCGCUCGGCAGCCUUCACAUCCACCGGCUCGGCUCCCUCGGCGGCCACUGUGCCCCACACCGACAUGAGCGCCCAUCCAAAGGGAAAUAAAGAAGUAGACAACAAAACAAAGAGCGAUGUUAAUAUAACCACAUCAUUCAAUUCACAUGUCAAGAUACAAUAGGAAGUCUUUCCACCAAGCGGCUUGAUACAUACAAUUAAACUCAGGAAAAUAAUUUUCACCACUCAUAGAUAAUAAGCAGCUGUAAGGGGGCACGCAGACAACCACAUACGAGUAUACAUGCAAAGAACUUCAAAUAAAGGUAUGCCACAGGAAAAGUAAACUCCAACAUAUUACCAAAGAGACAAUAAAAGCUCUAAACCAAAAAAUCUAAGAAAUGCUCAAUCAGUUUACUUAAUAGUUACGAAAUUAAUUAUUCUCGGUCAGGUGGUUCUGGUAUACUUAAGAAAACACUUGUAGACUUCAAGUACAGAUAAAUACUCAAGCUACAUGGAAUAGUAAACAACAUAGUUCUAUAAUAACAAGUGAUUCCAAUUAAACACAAGUGCUCAGAACCAUGGAACUGGAGCUUUAUAAAAUCAUGCUACUAAUUAUCAUAGAUACCAAUUUAACUCAUAUGCGGACCAUGGUCAACUGUGGGUUUAUACACUCGUCAGAAAUAUUGGCCACUAAAAACAUAACAGCAUUAAUACAGUCAACACAUACCUCAAGUACUAAAGGACUGAGGUACUAAUCAUCUGUUUGACUCAUUUUCACUUCUGCAUACGCUACUUUUAUAAAGUGAUCGAGCAGGGGUGCAGCAUCGUCGAGCAGGGGCGGCGGCGACAACCGGACCACCUUGAGCACCACGGUCCGGAAGCCAGGAGCAUGAGCAGACCAAAAUCAGAAUGGAUUAACUAGGAAACCCUAGACAAAUCCCUAAAAAACAACAAAGCCCUUGAUGAGCACAUACACAUCACAAAGGGAAAGACAAACAAGGGAGCAAAUAAUCACCUCAGCCAUCUUAGAAGCCCACUCGGUGUGCUCCCUCUCCGUCCGACCCGCAAGACAGCCCCAACGCCACGCCACCAUCCCAACCGUGAAACAGCCAGAGAAGCAAGGAAGAUGGUAAGAAACAAGCAAAAUAAAAGGUAGUGGGAUCCAAUACAAACAUUAACCAGCCUAAAGACGUUGUUAUUAGAAACAUGACACCGUGGUUUCUGAUGGUUUAUCAACAAAUUAAAACAAGCCAUUGAACCGACGACUUGCUUGCUCUUAACCAGAUGAAAUCAAGGACCGAAAACAAACAAUAAAAGUCAAGAACAACUUAUAUGCAAUAAAGGUAUGAGAGAGAAGAAAUAUUCACAUAAGGCGGCUAUAAACACUGGAGCAUAAAUAAGCAACACCUUUAAAUACAAAUAAAAAGGGUUCAGGGUUCAAUGCAUAGUGGGCUCAGAUUUGCCUUUCCUCGAUCAUAUAAUCUACCCCCGCCAUCUCUUGUCACCAGAUUAAUCUGUUUAUACAGUGGAGCUGCCCUAGUUAUAACUCAACAAGAAUGACCAUCCAAGGACAGAACAAUAAGUAUCACAUGAUCAAAAAGGAUUCUAGAGACAAGAGGGAGGACCCAACUUGAUACCCACUUGAUUGCUCAAAGGAACACUUAUUUCAGCCACAGCGAAUCAUCAUCGCCCUAGCAAUGAUGGCUUCCUACCGGUGGCGCACGUGCGAAUAAAAAGGGUUCAGGGUUCAAUGCAUAUGGGCUCAGAUUUGCCUUUCCUCGAUCAUAUAAUCUACCCCCAUCAUCUCUUAUCACCAGAUCAAUCUUUUUAUACAGUGGAGCUGCCCUGGUUAUCACUCAAUAAGAAUGACCAUCCAAAGGACAGAACAAUAAGUAUCAGAAGAUCAAAAAGGAUUCUGGAGACAAGAGGGAGGACCGAACUUGAUACCCACGGCUAAUCAUCAUCGCCCUAGCAAGAAUGGCUUCCGACCGAUGGGGCACGUGAUUCGAACGCGGUGGCACGAGAUAUCUCAUUUUGGGAGUAACUAUUCAUUCCCGCGGUAACUUUUUUUAUCCGACGGACGAGGUCGUUACAGGGGUCGAUCCGACGGCCCAAGAUCCAUCAAGCAACCAGACCCGACGGCCAGGAAUCCCAAAUCGCUGAGGAGUAGCCUGAGGAGCUUCUAUUCUUAUUUUUGGAUGGACUUAUUUAUGGAUUUCUGGAUGGAUCACCGGAUCAAUAUGUUCUUACGAGGGUUUAACUGCCCUGGUUAUCACUCAUUAGAAAUGACCAUCCAAGGACAAAGCCACUAAAAUAAGAACGUGAUCAAAACAGCUCAAAGAAACAAGGGAGGAUCCAAAUUAAUACCCACAAGUGCCUCGACUACUUGAGAGCAUGCCUAUAUCAGCCAUAACUGAUCAUCAUAGCCCUGGCCAUGUCCCAUAUAGUCGUCGAAGCAGAGCAGGGGAAGAUGAAGCUCAUAGAGGGAGGUUGUAGCCGAGGCAGUACUCAGAGGGCACCGGGGUUGCGCCUAAACGCCAUCCAACUAGUGAGGAACCACGUCGGAGUUGCGCCUUGCACCAUCCUGCCGACGAGCACGAAAGCCAUGGGCACCGAAGUGGCCAAGGAGGCGAGGAGGUGAUGUAUAGCACAUCUAGGAGCACCAUCAGAGACGACCGGGGCAACGAGCAGGCAGGAAGAGAGGCGAGGCGGCAGGGAGAGGAAAGGGCACGAUGUGAGUGCAGGCCUGUAGGGAGCGGAACAUCAGCUACUUUUUCUUUCAGAGUAUAUAGGAAGUAUCAAACAUAUCAUAUAAGUGCAAUCAUCUUUGAUAAUAUAAGAGAGCAUACAAAUCACAGACCUUGUUUAAGAUAUUUUGUCACAUCAAGUAGUUUAGAUAAGAAAAGCCUAACCCAGAAUUACAAAUAAUUGGAGCGAGUGAUAGAUUUAUUAUUCUGAUAAUUUGGUAGUGACUAUACAUAAAUAAUUCAUUCGCCAACAGUAAAAAAUAUGCGAUGUAUUAUUUACACAAAACAAUAUUUUUUGUAUAGGGUCAGAAAGAUAUUUCAGCAUUCAAAUCAAUAAGGCUGAAAUAAUCUAAGAGUAUUAUCACUAUAGAGAAACAAUUUAUGAACUCGCUGUCAGUCAAAAGUAUUAUCACUACAGAGGAACAAUGAUUUACAGAGAAGGGGAUGAGUAAGGUUUGUUUGCUCAGGACUGUGCAUCAACUAAUCACCUAAAGUAAUUUCAAUAAAUAAAAAUUUACAUAUCGAUCAAGAUAAACGUCACGGUUAAAAAAUACGUUGAUAAUAUAUACAUCAAUGACAUCUCAAAGCUCAUUUCACAACAAGACUACAGUAAACUUGAUAUAUAUAUAUAUAUAUAUAUAUAUAUAUAUAUAUAUAUAUAUAUAUAUAUAUAUAAUGGCCCCAUACAGAUCCCCAUCUGUAGAAACCAAGUGAAAAAUCAUUCGGAAUAUGGUGUUUAGAUAUCACUGCCCAUAAAUAUAUAAUGUCGCAUGAAAAAUGGUGUUUGUUCUAAAUGGUCACUUAAAAUACUUGUUCUAGCGCUGCAAACAUACACAGAUAAAGGGCAAGCCAACAACCGUAGGUAUUAAAUAGGCCUAUACACAUACACCUAUUUUCUUCCAUUCUAGAAUCAAGAUGCACUUUCAUGUAUUGUUAGAUUAUUUCUCAUCGUAAAGAGGAUCGAGCCAAAGCUUGAUUAUAAGUAUGUAAGCAAACAAUAUGGACAGAAGGAACAAACAUUGGGUGUCAAAUGCAAACAGUAAGCUUCAGAGAAUUUACAUCUCCUAAAAUCAUUCAAGGGAUUGUAGCCUUUUGACUACAUGGUAGGUUGGUAGGUAGAAAUACGUUCAUAGACAUUGACAUCAACAUUUUUAACCUGGGAAUAGAUAAAAAAAUGGCAAAGACGCAUCUCAUAUAAUCAAAGUAAACAUGGUAGAUCCAAAGCAAUGUAUCUAAGACUUAAAUUAAGGGGAAAAUGCAAACUAAUUAAAGAUUGAAGCCGUCAAUUUCACUCCCACAAUUUGCAAAUUGUAAUGGUCUCAGAUGAACUAACUGAAUAUAUUUACAUAAGGCAAGAGAAAUCAUCAUCACUGAUAUUCCCUAUAGACAUAGGUCUCUGCCAAGAAUCACACAAGUUCCUUGAUGCUCCAAAAACCAAGCGAUGUUCGAGCAAGGGAAACACGAAAAGGCGUGAGGAGAGCUCCGUCGGGAGGAAGAGGGGUGUUGGGGAACGUAGUAAUUUCAAAAAAAUUCCUACGCACAUGCAAGAUCAUGGUGAUGACAUAGCAACGAGAGGGGAGAGUGUUGUCCACGUACCCUCGUAGACCGUAAGCGGAAGCUUUAUGACAACGCGGUUGAUGUAGUCGUAUGUCUUCACGAUCCGACCGAUCCAAGCACCGAACGUACAGCACCUCCGAGUUCAGCACACGUUCAGCUCGAUGACGAUCCCUGGGCUCCGAUCCAGCAAAGCUUCGGGGUUGAGUUCCGUCAGCAUGAUGGCGUGGUGACGAUGAUGAUGUUCUACCGGCGCAGGGCUUCGCCUAAAUUCCGCGAUGAUAUGACCGAGGUGAAAUAUGGUGGAGGGGGGCACCGCACACGGCUAAGGAACGAUCCGUAGAUCAACUUGUGUGUCCUAGGGUGCCCCCCCGCCCCCGUAUAUAAAGGAGCCAGGGGGGAGGAGGCGGCCGGCCAAGGAGGGCGCGCCAAGGGGGGAGUCCUACUCCCUCCGGGAGUAGGACUCCCUUCUUUCCUAGUUGGAGUAGGAGAAGGGGAAAGAGGAGGAAGAGGAGAAGGAAGGGGGGGCGCCGCCCCCCUCUCCUUGUCCUAUUCGGACUAGGGAGGGGAGGGGGCGCGGCCCACCUCUUGCCUCCUCUCCUCUUCUCCCUUAUGGCCCAUGUAGGCCCAAUAACACCCGGGAGGGUUUCGGUAACCCCCCGGUACUCCGGUAAAAUGCCGAUUUCACCCGGAACACUUCUGAUGUCCAAACAUAGGCUUCCAAUAUAUCAAUCUUUAUGUCUCGACCAUUUCGAGACUCCUCGUCAUGUCCGUGAUCAUAUCCGGGACUCCGAACAAACUUCGGUACAUCAAAACUUACAAACUCAUAAUGAAACUGUCAUCGUAACGUUAAGCGUGCGGACCCUACGGGUUCGAGAACUAUGUAGACAUGACCUAGAACUAUUCUCGGUCAAUAACCAAUAGCGGAACCUGGAUGCCCAUAUUGGUUCCUACAUAUUCUACAAACAUCUUUAUCGGUCAAACCGCAUAACAACAUAUGUUGUUCCCUUUGUCAUCGGUAUGUUACUUGCCCGAGAUUCGAUCGUCGGUAUCCAAUACCUAGUUCAAUCUCGUUACCGGCAAGUCUCUUUACUCAUUACGUAAUGCAUCAUUCCGUAACUAACUCAUUAGUUACAUUUCUUGCAAGGCUUAUAGUGAUGUGCAUUACCGAGAGGGCCUAGAGAUACCUCUCCGACAAUCGGAGUGACAAAACCUAAUCUCUAAAUACGCCAACCCAAACAUCUACCUUUGGAGACACCUGUAGUACUCCUUUAUAAUCACCCAGUUACGGUAGCACCCAAAGUGUUCCUCCGGUAAACGGGAGUUGCAUAAUCUGAUAGUUUCAGGAACAUGUAUAAGUCAUGAAGAAAGCAAUAGCAAUAUACUAAACGAUCAAGUGCUAGGCUAACGGAAUGGGUCAUGUCAAUCACAUCAUUCUCCUAAUGAUGUGAUCCCAUUAAUCAAAUGACAACACAUGUCUAUGGUCAGGAAACAUAACCAUCUUUGAUUAAUGUGCUAGUCAAGUAGAGGCAUACUAGUGACUGUAUGUUUGUCUAUGUAUUCACACAUGUAUCAUGUUUCCGGUUAAUACAAUUCUAGCAUGAAUAAUAAACAUUUAUCAUGAUAAGAGGAAAUAAAUAAUAACUUUAUUAUUGCCUCUAGGGAAUAUUUCCUUCAGUCUCCCACUUGCACUAGAGUCAAUAAUCUAGAUUACAUAGUAAUGAUUGUAACACCCAUGGAGUCUUGGUGCUGAUCAUGUUUUGCUCGUGAGAGAGGCUUAGUCAACGGAUCUGCAACAUUCAGAUCCGUAUGUAUCUUGCAAAUCUCUAUGUCUCUCACUUGGACUUGGUCCCGGAUGGAAUUGAAGCGUCUCUUGAUGUGCUUGGUCCUCUUGUGAAAUCUGGAUUCCUUUGCCAAGGCAAUUGCACCAGUAUUGUCACAGAAGACCUUCAUUGGUCCCGAUGCACUAGGUAUGACACCUAGAUCGGAAAUGAACUCCUUCAUCCAGACUCCUUCAUUCGCUGCUUCCGAAGCAGCUAUGUACUCCGCUUCACAUGUAGAUCCCGCCACGACGCUUUGUUUAGAACUGCACCAACAUACAGCUCCACCAUUUAAUAAAAACACGUAUCUGGUUUGCGAUUUAGAAUCGUCCGGAUCAGUGUCAAAGCUUGCAUCGACGUAACCAUUUACGACUAGCUCUUUGUCACCUCCAUAUACGAGAAACAUAUCCUUAGUCCUUUUUAGGUAUUUCAGGAUGUUCUUGACCGCUGUCCAGUGAUCCACUCCUGGAUUACUUUGGUACCUUCCUGCCAAGCUUAUUGCUAAGCAUACGUCGGGUCUGGUACACAACAUUGCAUACAUGAUAGAGCCUAUGGCUGAAGCAUAGGGAACAUCUUUCAUUUUCUCUCUAUCUUCUGCUGUGGUCGGGCAUUGAGUUUGACUCAACUUCACACCUUGUAGCAUGGGCAAGAAACCUUUCUUUGCCUGAUCCAUUUUGAACUUUUUCAAAAUUUUAUCAAGGUAUGUGCUUUGUGAAAGUCCUAUUAAGCGUCUUGAUCUAUCUCUAUAAAUCUUGAUGCCCAAUAUGUAAGCAGCUUCACCGAGGUCUUUCAUUGAAAAACUUUUAUUCAAGUAUCCCUUUAUGCUAUCCAGAAAUUCUAUAUCAUUUCCAAUUAAUAAUAUGUCAUCUACAUAUAAUAUCAGAAAUGCUACAAAGCUCCCACCCACUUUCUUGUAAAUACAGGCUUCUCCAAAAGUUUGUAUAAAACCAUAUGCCUUGAUCACACUAUCAAAGCGUUUAUUCCAACUCCGAGAUGCUUGCACCAGUCCAUAAAUGGAUCGCUGGAGCUUGCACACUUUGUUAGCACCUUUUGGAUUAACAAAACCUUCUGGCUGCAUCAUAUACAACUCUUCUUCUAGAAAUCCAUUCAAGAAUGCAGUUUUGACAUCCAUUUGCCAAAUUUCAUAAUCAUGAAAUGCAGCAAUAGCUAACAUGAUUCGGACAGACUUAAGCAUCGCUACGGGUGAGAAAGUCUCAUCGUAGUCAACCCCUUGAACUUGUCGAAAACCUUUCGCAACAAGUCGAGCUUUAUAGACAGUUACAUUACCAUCAGCGUCAGUCUUCUUCUUAAAGAUCCAUUUAUUCUCAAUGGCUUGCCGAUCAUCGGGCAAGUCAACCAAAGUACAUACUUUGUUCUCAUACAUGGAUCCCAUCUCAGAUUUCGUGGCCUCUAGCCAUUUUGCGGAAUCUGGGCUCAUCAUCGCUUCCUCAUAGUUCGUAGGUUCAUCAUGGUCAAGUAACAUGACUUCCAGAAUAGGAUUACCGUACCACUCUGGCGCGGAUCUUACUCUGGUAGACCUACGAGGUUCAGUAGAAACUUGAUCUGAAGUUUCAUGAUCAAUAUCAUUAGCUUCCUCACUAAUUGGUGUAGGUGUCACAUGAACUGAUUUCUGUGAUGAACUACUUUCCAAUAAGGGAGCAGGUACAGUUACCUCAUCAAGUUCUACUUUCCUCCCACUCACUUCUUUCGAGAGAAACUCCUUCUCUAGAAAGGAUCCAUUCUUAGCAACGAAUGUUUUGCCUUCGGAUCUGUGAUAGAAGGUGUACCCAACAGUCUCUUUUGGGUAUCCUAUGAAGAAACAUUUCUCCGAUUUAGGUUCGAGCUUAUCUGGUUGAAGUUUCUUCACAUAAGCAUCGCAGCCCCAAACUUUAAGAAACGACAACUUUGGUUUCUUGCCAAACCACAGUUCAUAAGGCGCCGUCUCAACGGAUUUUGAUGGUGCCCUAUUUAACGUGAAUGCGGCCGUCUCUAAAGCAUAACCCCAGAAUGAUAGCGGUAAAUCGGUAAGAGACAUCAUAGAUCGCACCAUAUCUAGUAAAGUACGAUUACGACGUUCGGACACACCAUUUCUUUGUGGUGUUCCAGGUGGCGUGAGUUGCGAAACUAUUCCGCAUUGUUUCAAAUGUAAACCAAACUCGUAACUCAAAUAUUCUCCUCCACGAUCAGAUUGUAGAAACUUUAUUUUCUUGUUACGAUGAUUUUCCACUUCACUCUGAAAUUCUUUGAACUUUUUAAAUGUUUCAGACUUGUGUUUCAUUAAGUAGAUAUACCCAUAUCUGCUCAAAUCAUCUGUGAAGGUGAGAAAAUAACGAUAUCCGCCACGAGCUUCAGCAUUCAUCGGACCACAUACAUCUGUAUGUAUGAUUUCCAACAAAUCUGUUGCUCUCUCUAUAGUGCCGGAGAACAGUGUUUUAGUCAUCUUGCCCAUGAGGCACGGUUCGCAAGUGAUUCAUAAUCAAGUGAUUCCAAAAGUCCAUCAGUAUGGAGUUUCUUCAUGCGCUUUACACCGAUAUGACCUAAACGGCAGUGCCACAAAUAAGUUGCACUCUCAUUAUCAACUCUGCAUCUUUUGGCUUCGACAUUAUGGAUAUGUGUAUCACUACUUUCGAGAUUCAAUAAAAAUAGACCACUCUUCAAGGGUGCAUGACCAUAAAAGAUAUUACUCAUAUAAAUAGAACAACCAUUAUUCUCUGAUUUAAAUGAAUAACCGUCUCGCAUCAAACAAGAUCCAGAUAUAAUGUUCAUGCUCAACGCUGGCACCAAAUAACAAUUAUUCAGGUCUAAAACUAAUCCCGAAGGUAGAUGUAGAGGUAGCGUGCCGACCGCGAUCACAUCGACUUUGGAACCGUUUCCCACGCGCAUCGUCACCUCGUCCUUCGCCAGUGCUCGCUUAUUCCGUAGUCCCUGUUUCGAGUUGCAAAUAUUAGCAACAGAACCAGUAUCAAAUACCCAGGUGCUACUACGAGCUCUAGUAAGGUACACAUCAAUAACUUGUAUAUCACAUAUACCUUUGUUCACCUUGCCAUCCUUCUUAUCCGCCAAAUACUUGGGGCAGUUCCGCUUCCAGUGUCCAGUCUGCUUGCAGUAGAAGCACUCAGUUUCAGGCUUAGAUCCAGACUUGGGUUUCUUCUCUUGAGAAGCAACUUGCUUGCCGUUCUUCUUGAAGUUCCCCUUCUUCUUUCCUUUGCCCUUUUUCUUGAAACUAGUGGUCUUGUUGACCAUCAACACUUGAUGCUCCUUCUUGAUUUCUACCUCCGCAGCUUUUAGCAUUGCGAAGAGCUCGGGAAUUGUCUUGUUCAUCCCUUGCAUAUUAUAGUUCAUCACGAAGCUCUUGUAGCUUGGUGGUAGUGAUUGGAGAAUUCUGUCAAUGACGCUAUCAUUCGAAAGAUUAACUCCCAGUUGAAUCAAGUGAUUAUUAUACCUAGACAUUUUGAGUAUAUGCUCACUGACAGAACUAUUCUCCUCCAUCUUGCAGCUGUAGAACUUAUUGGAGACUUCAUAUCUCUCAGUCCGGGCAUUUUCUUGAAAUAUUAACUUCAACUCCUGGAACAUCUCAUAUGCUCCAUGACGUUCAAAACGUCAUUGAAGACCCGGUUCUAAGCCGUAAAGCAUGGCACAUUGAACUAUCGAGUAGUCAUCAGCUUUGCUCUGCCAGACGUUCUUAACGUCGUCAGUUGCAUCAGCAGCAGGCCUGGCACCCAGCGGUGCUUCCAGGACGUAAUUCUUCUGUGCAGCAAUGAGGAUAAUCCUCAAGUUACGGACCCAGUCCGUGUAAUUGCUAUCAUCAUCUUUCAACUUUGCUUUCUCAAGGAACGCAUUAAAAUUCAACGGAACAACAGCACGAGCCAUCUAUCUACAACAACCAUAGACAAGCAAAAUACUAUCAGGUACUAAGUUCAUGAUAAAUUUAAGUUCAAUUAAUCAUAUUACUUAAGAACUCCCACUUAGACAGACAUCUCUCUAGUCAUCUAAGUGAUCACGUGAUCCAAAUCAACUAAACCAUAACCGAUCAUCACGUGAGAUGGAGUAGUUUUCAGUGAUGAACAUCAGUAUGUUGAUCAUAUCUACUAUAUGAUUCAUGCUCGACCUUUCGGUCUCCGUGUUCCGAGGCCAUAUCUGCAUAUGCUAGGCUCGUCAAGUUUAACCUGAGUAUUCUGCGUGUGCAAAACUGGCUUGCACCCGUUGUAGAUGGACGUAGAGCUUAUCACACCCGAUCAUCACGUGGUGUCUGGGCACGACGAACUUUGGCAACGGUGCAUACUCAAGGAGAACACUUCUUGAUAAUUUUAAGUGAGAGAUCAUCUUAAAAUGCUACCGUCAAACAAAGCAAGAUAAGAUGCAUAAAGGAUAAACAUCACAUGCAAUCAAUAUAAGUGAUAUGAUAUGGCCAUCAUCAUCUUGUGCUUGUGAUCUCCAUCUUCGAAGCACCGUCGUGAUCACCAUCGUCACCGGCGCGACACCUUGAUCUCCAUCGUAGCAUCGUUGUCGUUACGCCAUCUAUUGCUUCUACGACUAUCGCUACCGCUUAGUGAUAAAGUAAAGCAAUUACAGGGCGUUUGCAUUUCAUACAAUAAAGCGACAACCAUAUGGCUCCUGCCAGUUGCCGAUAACUUCGGAUACAAAACAUGAUCAUGUCAUAUAAUAAAAUAUAGCAUCACGUCUUGACCAUAUCACAUUACAACAUGCCCUGCAAAAACAAGUUAGACGUCCUCUACUUUGUUGUUGCAAGUUUUACGUGGCUGCUACGGGCUUAGCAAGAACCGUUCUUACCUACGCAUCAAAACCACAACGAUAGUUCGUCAAGUUAGUGCUGUUUUAACCUUCGCAAGGACCGGGCGUAGCCACACUCGAUUCAGCUAAAUUGAGAGAGACAGACACCCGCCAGUCACCUUUAAGCACGAGUGCUCGUAACGGUGAAACCAGUCUCGCGUAAGCGUACGCGUAAUGUCGGUCCGGGCCGCUUCAUCUCACAAUACCGCCGAACCAAAGUAUGACAUGCUGGUAAGCAGUAUGACUUGUAUCGCCCACAACUCACUUGUGUUCUACUCGUGCAUAUAACAUCAACACAUAAAACCUAGGCUCAGAUGCCACUAUUGGGGAACGUAGUAAUUUCAAAAAAUUUCCUACGCACACGCAAGAUCAUGGUGAUGACAUAGCAACGAGAGGGGAGAGUGUUGUCCACGUACCCUCGUAGACCGUAAGCGGAAGCGUUAUGACAACGCGGUUGAUGUAGUCGUACAUCUUCACGAUCCGACCGAUCCAAGCACCGAACGUACGGCACCUCCGAGUUCAGCACACGUUCAGCUCGAUGACGAUCCCCGGGCUCCGAUCCAGGAGAAGCUUCGGGGAUGAGUUCCGUCAGCACGACGGCGUGGUGACGAUGAUGAUGUUCUAUCGGUGCAGGGCUUCGCCUAAACUCCGCGAUGAUAUGAGCGACGUGAAAUAUGGUGGAGGGGGGCACCNNNNNNNNNNNNNNNNNNNNNNNNNNNNNNNNNNNNNNNNNNNNNNNNNNNNNNNNNNNNNNNNNNNNNNNNNNNNNNNNNNNNNNNNNNNNNNNNNNNNNNNNNNNNNNNNNNNNNNNNNNNNNNNNNNNNNNNNNNNNNNNNNNNNNNNNNNNNNNNNNNNNNNNNNNNNNNAAGGAGGGCGCGCCAAGGGGGGAGUCCUACUCCAGGAGUAGGACUCCCUUCUUUCCUAGUUGGAGUAGGAGAAGGGGGAAAGAGGAGGAAGAGGGGAAGGAUGGGGGGCGCCGCCCCCCUCUCCUUGUCCUAUUCGGACUAGGGAGGGGAGGGGGCGCGGCCCACCUCUUGCCUCCUCUCCUCUUCUCCCUUAUGGCCCAUGUAGGCCCAAUAACCCCCGGGAGGGUUCCGGUAACCCCCCCGGUACUCCGGUAAAAUGCCGAUUCCACCCGGAACACUUCCGAUGUCCAAACAUAGGCUUCCAAUAUAUCAAUCUUUAUGUCUCGACCAUUUCGAGACUCCUCGUCAUGUCCGUGAUAAUAUCCGGGACUCCGAACAAACUUCGGUACAUCAAAACUUAUAAACUCAUAAUGAAACUGUCAUCGUAACGUUAAGCGUGCGGACCCUAUGGGUUUGAGAACUAUGUAGACAUGACCUAGAACUAUUCUCGGUCAAUAACCAAUAGAGGAACCUAGAUGCCCAUAUUGGUUCCUACAUAUUCUACGAACAUCUUUAUCGGUCAAACCGCAUAACAACAUACGUUGUUCCCUUUAUCAUCGGUAUGUUACUUGCCCGAGAUUCGAUCGUCGGUAUCCAAUACCUAGUUCAAUCUCGUUACCGGCAAGUCUCUUUACUCGUUACGUAAUGCAUCAUUCCGUAACUAACUCAUUAGUUACAUUGCUUGCAAGGCUUAUAGUGAUGUGCAUUACCGAGAGGGCCCAGAGAUACCUCUCCGACAAUCGGAGUGACAAAACCUAAUCUCGAAAUACGCCAACCCAAACAUCUACCUUUGGAGACACCUGUAGUACUCCUUUAUAAUCACCCAGUUACGUUGUGACGUUUGGUAGCACCCAAAGUGUUCCUCCGGUAAAUGGGAGUUGCAUAAUCUCAUAGUUUCAGGAACAUGUAUAAGUCAUGAAGAAAGCAAUAGCAAUAUACUAAACGAUCAAGUGCUAGGCUAACGGAAUGGGUCAUGUCAAUCACAUCAUUCUCCUAAUGAUGUGAUCCCAUUAAUCAAAUGACAAUCUAUGGUCAGGAAACAUAACCAUCUUUGAUUAAUGAGCUAGUCAAGUAGAGGCAUACUAGUGACUGUAUGUUUGUCUAUGUAUUCACACAUGUAUCAUGUUUCCGGUUAAUACAAUUCUAGCAUGAAUAAUAAACAUUUAUCAUGAUAAGAGGAAAUAAAUAAUAACUUUAUUAUUGCCUCUAGGGCAUAUUUCCUUCAAGGGGUAGGGUUCGUAGCUUGACUACAUGAGUUCACUGUAACUUCACCUCCGGAUCCAGGCGAGGUACUCUGUAAUUUAGAAACAGAGAUUCACUACGGUGGGUCAAUUACGGCACAAUCGCUGGUGAGAACAUCAGAAGAACUUAUUUUCAAACUGAAUUAAGGAAAAACAAUUGUUGCAAGUAAAUUUACCCUCUAAUUACUGAUAAAGCGCAACAACAUUCAGCUAAUGAGACAUGAGAAGAAAACUGGGCAACAUCAAAUAUCCUCUCAUUGAUUCUGCUAUAUAACAUAUAUUCACAUAAACCAUAAGAUAUGAUUGGAACCGCAAUCUCUAAACCAAAACGGCAACAAUAGAAUCAAAGUCCACUGUAUUACUAUCUAGAAAUUGACGAGGACUACAGAAGUAUUUUUAGUGUACAUCAAGCUUACAAGGAAAAAAAAUCAUAGCUCUUGAACUGCACAUACAUGCUUCACUAACAAAUCUUGGCCUAGCCAAAACAAAUUCACCACACCUGUACAUGAACAUUCAGGGAAAGAAAUGAAACACCACACGUGAAAAUGCAUCCUGAUAACUAAUUAACUACUCAGCAAAUCAAAUGGUAUGUUCGAAUGCCUCUUUUGAUCCUAUGAAACUGUAUACAACAGAUAAGUAAUUAUCUACUCGCCAAAUCCAGUAGUAUAUUUGAGUGACUCUUCUUAUCCUUUCUCUGAAACUAAUACAAAAGAUAACUAAUUAGCCACCCGCAAAUCGAGUGUGAUAUUUGAACGCCUCUUCUGAUCAUUUCUCUUAAACAGUUUAGUUUACACCAACUUUAGUACUGAGCAGAAUAUGUAUGUAAAUAAACCAGAGGAGACUGGAAUUUACAUCCCUGAUUAACAAAAUCAGCUAUGUUACUAAAGGGCAGUGGCAAAGGAUAACCAUAUGCAGUUAAGCCAUGCUUAUCACCCAAUUUCAGAACCAGUCAGCCUUCUAUAAGUAUUAUCAUGCGUGCAAUCUGACACGAAGGCCAAAACAACACUAUCUAUCUUCACAAAAAUCCAUUAUACGCUUCGGUACAUCUGAGAGUUAAGAAUCUUCAUUUUUAUUUAGAUGAAAUUACUUGGUAGCUAACAAACAUACCUCGAGGGAUGUGCACAUGAGAGAUCGCCGGUGCCCUUUCUAGCUUCGGCGGCAGACAUCCUCCCUUUGCUCCCCUUCCAAUAGAUAUUAGAGUACAUUAAACCAAAAACCAAAAGGGAACAAGGGAGUGGAAGACCAGGAAUUAAUCGGACCACAAGAAAUCUAAGGGAAAAAACUAAAAGAAGGCCAAACAAUACUUGUGCAGGACCAAAUGACGCAUCGCAUAGCAAUGAAACUGGAGGUUAGAAAACUACUCAGACUUUCAUGCCAUCAUGGAUUCAAUCUGAUCUAAAUGUAACCAAAUAAUGCAUCGGAACCAUAUUUACUACUAAAAGGGCAAGCACAAGCUUGCCAAAUUUACCACAAAUGUAGCAUUGCAAUCAAAUGGGUCCAAUCUUGAUGAAAGCGAAAAUGUAUCAUAUAGCACGCACGCACACGAACAGUCACAUUAUCCUCAUCUUGCUGAAAGCAAAAAAUGUAUCAUGUACUGUAAAUUCAUACCUUGACCUGCAAAGGGUAUGGUCCAGUUUCAAUCAUGUUGGCCUUUAGAUAAGUUUUUGAACAACAACUUCACCACCUGCACAAAAAGCAGAGGAAAGCUAGUAAAUACUUCCAACAUGUUCACCUCAGUAUAGUGGUCCUACUUAUCCAACGACCCAUAUAUCUCAAAUAGAACAGCUUAAUAUCUCAAACAACAGUGAACGUCCAGCAUGUUCUCCAAAGUUACAUAAUAUAACAUGUUCAAAGGUUGUCAAGAUCAAAAAAAUAGCGAGGGGAUUUUGUAGUCACAUGGCAAAGGUAAUAAAAUUUCUUCUAAUAUAAAUCUCAGACAUCUCAAUGAAAUAAAUAAUUUGAUACAUAAUUGAAACUGAACCCUAAUCUUUUGUUGUUGAGUUGUCUUUUCGUGACUAUCAACACUUUCAGUUUUAGCGUAUGAGAUGUUUCUCUGCGUCCUCCUCCUCCCCAAGAAGUUAGGUAUUAAUUUUGAAAAUUGACAUUUGAGUGGUUUGGCGACAUGGCAUAGUAUCGGGAGGUUUCUGUGAGGAGCGAGGUGAGACGGCCACUGCCGCUGAAGGAGUGGGGAUGAUGCCAGAAUUUGACAAAAUACCAAAUUUGCAAUUCACAUGUAUCGGUUAUCAUCAGACUGUGAGACAGAGGACACCGCAUAACCAAGCCACGGCAAACAUGUAGAAGGGGAACCAUAAGUGAAAAACGAUGAAAGGAAAAAACGUAAUGGUAAAAGACAUAUAGUAUCUUCAUAUAUGAAAAUUUAUGUAAGGAAAAAAAUGUAAUGGUAUUCUACGGGGAUGUGUUGUAACUUGCACCUUGAGAUAAAAUUGUUUCUGUCAGCAGCAUGACUGCAUCUUGCAAGAACAUGUAGUCUCUCUUCUCUGUUUUGUCUUCUAUGUUCUGUGAACACAUAAACAGAACGAAUAUUAGACGAAAUAUGAAUUGUCUGGUUGCCUAAGAAAGUGCAUCAGAUUAAACUGUAUAGAUAGUAUAAUAAAUGUUCACUUAAUGCAUUCAUUAACGGCUAGGGAGACCAAAUCAUAAUAAUCUAGGCAGACCACACCAAACAACAGAGGCCAAUGAACAUGCCAUUCUUCCUAUUCUCUUUCAGAAGCAUCAAUCCAACAGAAAACAAACCGAACCCUUCGUUUUUUCACAUGUCACUCGACAAAGAACAUCAUUUUCCAGCAAGCAAACAUGAAGGUGCCAAGUAAAAACACAAGACUAAACAGACACGAGCCAAGUGGACCAAUCCAAAUGCACCAGACCAAUCCAAAAGGCACAUGUCCUGCUGCAUUCACCUCUUCCUGAAAGCUCACUACAAUCCUAGAGAAAGAUCCCAACCCUAGCAAGAUCCAGACAACUAAGAAAUUGGAGAACACACUAUAUAAAAUUGUCAAGAAUGAUAAUAAGCAUGGAGAACUAAAAUGUACUAUCACUUCCAUGUAGCUGAGAACCUAAAAUUGGCAAGAAUACAUCAUAGCAGAUUUAACAAUUUCCCAAAACAAUAUAGAUUCUAGUGUACGUGCAUUGAGCAGAAUAUGGCCAACAAGCCAAGCAAGGCAACAAACAUGUACUCUGUAAAUAAUUAGCUAAAUCCAAGGCCUUCCUUGGCAACAAGGUAAAAACAAAACAAGAAAGACAAAGAACUCUUCUUUGGAACCUAGCUAAAUCAGAGAAUUGGCUAGAUAAGAUAGAUGUGCAGGGGUAGGAAGAGGGGGUGGAGCUCACCAGGUUCAGGGGGGUAGGAGGAGGGAGGAGCCAUGAGGGCUCGUGCCUCGUCCACCUGCAGCAAUUGCUACUCAUCCAGAUCGGAACCGACCUUGUCCACCAGAGGAGCAGGGACGCGUCCAUGCACCUGUGUGACCAAAAGCAGCAACAACGUGAGGGGAGGGGAGGGGAUUAGGGUUGGAGCAGGGGGGAGGGCGGCAUCCCUAGCAGGCCAUUGCAUGGGCGCGGAGCAGGCAUAGCACAAGCACUCGGAGGCCAAGGUCGGACGACAUCGCCAACGAAUCUACGAGCACCUUUGCCGCCGCCUGACCUGCUCACUCUCCCUCUUCUCUUCCCUUCCCUUUCCUUCCCUUCUGAUGACGAGAGGGCGAGGCGGCGGGCGGCAUGGUGCGAGGGAGACGAGGAGAGAGGUCCAUGGCGGCGCGGUCCGAGCGGCAGCGGCGGCGGCGAGAUCUGCGGGGCAUUGGUGGCGGCAAAGUGGGCGGGGCGGCGAGGUGUGGUGGAGGGAGAGGGCUGGGGCGAGCGGGGCUGGGAUGCGGGAGGAUGGGGUUGAGGGCGCGAGUGCGGGGGAGAGGCGGCUAGGUCAUCUUCACGGGAGCGGGCCCUUUUAUAUCCCGUGCGAGUGAAAUUAUGAAAAUGCCCCCAGCGGGGCAGGCUAUUUACGCGCGGUGGCACGAAACUGGAGUAACUAUUCAUUCCAGCAGUAACUUUUUUUAUCCUACGGACGAGGUCGUUACAGGGGUCGAUCCGACGACCCAGAUCCGAUCAAGCAACCAGAUCCGACAGCCAAGAAUCCCAAAUCGCUGUGGUGCGGGAUGAGGAGCUUCUAUUGUUAUUUCUGGAUGGACGCAAGCGGGCCGCCGACCAUGAAGGAGCGCGGGCGCUACCGGCCGCCGUAGAGUGGGAGCCAUGGGCACUGUCGGCCGCCACCGCGGGAUAGCCACGGGCGCCGCCAGCCGCCGCUGGGAUUGCGAUAGGUGGAAAAGUAGGCGGCGGCGUUGUAUGCUGCCUGAGUGAUGUUGUGCGUGAAGGAAUGCACCAGCCACUAGGGAUAAGCUGCGAGCGCCGCACGUGUUGGGCUAAGAAUUGGGCCGAUAAAGGCUCAGGAUAACUUUCUGUAUGUAUCACCUAGGAGGAGAAACUAAUUAACGAGCGCUCCUUCGGGAGCCUCGCAAUGAUCAUCGUCACUUGGCGCGCUCUCAGCCAUUCGCCACGUGUCACGUUUUGGGCGCUUCCUUUGGAUUUUUUUUAUUUUUUCGCGCGCGUUUUUGGCUUUUUAAAUAGUAUUUUAUUGACGUUUUGGUUUUCCAUUGGUUUUCCCUAGCUUUUCGAACAAAAAAAAUCAAAUUGUUUUUCUGUGCAAACAAACUUUUUUUCGCGAGAGUCACGGUUUUGUUUUCGGGAGAGGCACGGUUGUGCUUUCGCGAGAGGCACGUCCGUGCCUGUUGGAAACGGAAAAAAAUGUGUUUUCUGUUUUUUUUCCUUUCGCGAGAGGCACGGUUUUGCUUCUGCGAGAGGCACGGUUGUGCUUUCGCGAGAGUCACGGCCGUGCCUCUUGGAAAUUAAAAAAACGCAUUUUUUGUUUUUUUCUUUCGUGAGAGGCACGGUUUUGCUUACGCGAGAGCCACGGUUGUGAUUUCGUUAGAGGCACGGGCGUGCCUCUUUCGGAAAGGGAAAAAACCCGUGCUUCCGGUUUUUUUUUUCAUCCGGUUUUUUUCGUGAAAAAAAAGUUUGUCAAAACCUAUCAACAUGGGAUCUAGUUUUAAAGAUCUCAACAUGAGGAAUCCAAGGGCGAAAGCGGUUCGAGAUUUGGAUGCACGGUUUAAGAGAUAAAACGUUUUGAAUAAACGAAUCUAUGAAAAAAGGGAAAACUCCCAGGUUACGACAAGUGGCGCACAUGCAGAGCCACUUGUCACAACCUGAGGAAGUUGAAAUGAUCUCCGCAAGGAGUACUCUUUAAUCAGUGAUUUCGGGAAAAAGGUGUGUUUUUAUCGUGGAUGGGCUAUUGAGUCGGUUAGUUCGGGGAAUUCGGUCAGCUGAGUCCAACGACCGAACCCACCCAAGUAAUUUCGGUUUCUGGUAAUUGCUAACCGAACAAAUAACUGAAGUUUCAGUCCUCGGUUAUUCCGGCUUCGGUCCCGGUUUUUUCGGCUCCGGUUUUCGGUUCUCAGUUUUUUCGCCCACCUAGGCUAGCCGGAGCCACUUGCAGGUGAAAACAUCCAGAUGAUUGGUGGUUUACCUACAAGCGUUUCAAGGGUAAAAAUCUGCCACUGGAACGAAUGGAAGAUAUAGUGCCUGUUCUGGUUUAGGUAAGUGAAAACUCUAAAGUAGUGUGUGAUAGCAGAUUGUACAUGCCUGAGUGCUCAAGAAAUACCCCUGGCAAAAGCAAAUGUAUACUCCCUCCAUGCCAUAUUAGUUAUCGCUCAAACAUAUGUAUCUACUUCUAGAUACAUCCGUCUGAGCGACAAUUAAUAUGAGAUGGAGGGAGUAUUUCUGAACGGAAAAUUACUUGGUAGUAGUUCUCGUUAUGAGGCUUGAAUAAAUUCAAGGCCUUGCACGGAUGCCUUCUUCAUGAUGGUGAAGGAAAUCAUUCCAGAGAUUGCUUAACAUCAAAGUUUAGGAAACCAUUCAGAUUUAUGUCUCUGAACAGUUCUUUGUAAGCAUUUUGCCAUUACCUGCUCAAAUCCCCAGGUUGGGCUCGAGACCAACCAGCCCCUGGGUAUCCUCAGUGUCCAAUGGACAUGCAUCCUCAGUGUCCAAUUGGGGAUUUCCUUUUUAGAGCUUCAGGAGUUGCAUUUGGUAUCAGCUUUUUUUUUGUUGAUAUAUUCUUCUUAGGACAAUUCAAGCCAUUAGAUGUAAAACACUGAGAGACCACAUAACUGAAUAAUCUGUGCUAGGUAUAGCUGUAACUUUAGCUGCACCAGUAUUGCUAGGAUAUGACUCUCUAAGUCUUGCAUCUGAGUCCAGCGGAUAGACUUUGAUGGAAGAUUUGCUCGCACAAGUUGUAGUAUUAGGCGGCACAUUUUAUAUGGCUGAGUGUAAAAUGGAGUAGAUAGCACAAGCCUUGGGAUUUGUGUGACAUCUGCACAGCAAUCAAAGAGGAAUCAAGUGCAUGUAAUUACUAUUUACUCCCUUUUUAAACUAAUAUAAGAUCUUUUAGAUCACUAAAAUAGUGAUCUUAAAAAGAUCUUAUAGUAUUAUCAGUUUACACUUGAUAGGCCUAGCCUCUGCUUUAGCUUUGCAGUUGAUUUCACUCUGGUAGUGUGCGUUUUCCUCGAUAUCUCUUUUAUGCCUACUCAUGUGAAGGACCGCUGCCCUGGUUUCAGGCAACUUGUGCGUGGCUCGUAGGAGCUGUGGAGACAUGGUUGGACUUCAUUACAUGUUGUUGCGACAAUCAAGAGUUGGAAGAGUCCAGAUGGCGGCAGUUUGAUGCUUACCUGUCAGUCUUCUGAUGCGUAAACACAGAGCAGAACACCUUGAUGCUCCAACGGAAUGCAAGAGAAGAACAGACUUGUUGUGGAUGCUAAAUUCUGUGCUUGUUUGUUUUGCUGUCUGUCUCAUUCUGUCAUUCGCCUUGGAGCUUUAGGCCAUAAGCACUCUGGGCGGUUGGCCUUUUCGAAAUUUUAUUAUAUAAUUGGGGCCGUCCGAUCUCUCUUUCCCCUAUCAACCGUCCGAGAAUCGCUGGCCGCUGCCUCGGUAGACUUACGCCUUAAACGCCAGCGGCGUUGACUUGGCUCGAGGUGAAGGACAACGGCCACCCUUGCCGUUGUCUGACAUGCCAACAACGUUGCACAUCUCCGAGUCUGGCUGCUGCCACUUUGAACAUCUACAACUGGAUCCCGCAAACCAUCUCUCAUGACGCGAACCCUCAUAUCUAUCUCAAAUAUGGGGGGAUAUGAGGGCUCGCGGACAAGCCGGGGCGCGCCCGGUCAAUCCGUAACAUAAGACGUGGACCCAUCUUGGACCACCUUUUCUCUUUUUUUAAUUAUUCUUUUCUUUCUUCUUUAUCUACACCAAUCAUGUGACCGGACAUAUGAGGAAGAAAGUGAGAAUUGUACCUGCGCGGAUGAAUAAAUAGGGGAAAACAUUCAUAAUCAUUCGACUGAUCUUUCUCUCUCGUAAGCCUCCUUCUCCAUGCGCCACGUACCCACGUCAGGCUGCCCACCGCUUCGCCCCAGCCUUAUCCUUGUUUUGAGUGAAAAGUAAAGAACGAGAGAGUUUGAAUGAAAGAUGAUCCAUCAGUCUUUAUUGAUGAUAAAAGUGGGGUAUUUAUACCCAGGCGGAAGUACACAUGGUGCUUGGCGGUCAAGUAAACACAUAGUUACUUGAGAGCCAAGGAAUUACAUAGUUGCCUUGAGAACCAAGGAAGUACAUGGUUGCUUGAGAACCAAGCAACCUAUCUAACAAUUAACUUAAUCCUAAUUAGCUUAAUUAAUAAGCAACUAUUCUAUUCUUAACACUCCCCCUUGUACAACUCCUCUUCUUUGGUACAUCCAUCAUCUUAACAAAUUCUUUGAAUAAUCUUGAAUGUCUCCUCCAAAAACCCUGUGGGAAAAAUAUGAGGAGAAUAGUGCAGAUAUGUUGCUAAAACUCCUUUAAACCCAGUGGGAAAAAUAAUAAGGAGAAAAUGAUGCAACAUAUAAUGAUUAUUGUCUCUUGUUAACUCAUAUGAGAAAAACCUUUGAAGAAGGAGAAAAAUCAUUGGUGAGUUUAGAGAACAAUUAAUAUGUCUUGAGGACUUCCUUAAAAAACCCCGAUAGGGAAAAUAGAAAGUAUGACGUAUUAUCUUUGAUAAGAUAUUGCCUCAUUAAAAACAAUUAUGAGAAACUUUGAUAGAAAACUCAUAAGGGAAAAGAGUGCGAUAUGACAUGCCAUUGAAAACUCCUUUAAAACCCAGUGGAAAAAAUAUAAGGAGAAAGUUUAUGACAUAUAAGGGCACUUGUGUUUAUAUUGUCUCGUUAAAAACCUUUUAUGAGAAACCAUUAGGGAAAAACUCAUGAAGGGAAAAAGAGUACAACAUAUGCAAUCUUACAAUUGUUAACAGGUUAUAGUUUUGGAGAUUACUCCCCCUGAAGUUUGCAAAUCUGGAGGAUGUGUCAUACCAAUUCCAUUGCCAUGACCAGGGCAUUGUGAAUAAUAUGUAGGAUUUUCACAAUAUUUUGUUUGCAAAUUGUUUCCUCACUUUCUGUAAUUCGUAAGGAUAAGCGAUUUCAAGCAAUGUGCUUUAUGAUAUUGCUCUUCAUAUAACCUGUAGGUAUUGAGUAACACAAGUGGUAGAAUCUUGAUAAAAUCAAGUUAUGUGAUUCUGAUGAAUUUCAACCACAUGAUUUCGAGUGUGGUUAAUCAUUCUACUGAGCCAUGCAUAUUUUGCAAUGCUUUUCAAGAAUGAUAAGUGGAAAUAGUCGUUAAAGUAUAUUUAGAUGACUUUCAUGAGAAGACUAUUAUAGUGAAUUCAGUCAUUGAUAUGGCAUUGUUGGGAUCAAAUAAGGAGCCAAUAUCAUUACAUCAUAUUACGGUCAUAUUUUUAUUUUCCUGAUAGAAUUGUCCAAGAUUUAUUGUGAGCUUGAGAUAUAAGCUAAUAUUUCUUAUAUCAACCAUAUAUCUUUUGUUAGGGGUUGCACUCUGAACAAAGAUAGCAAAUAUAGUGUCAGGCCUGACAAAGUUUGCAAUGAUAUGAGUGCAUUGACAUUAGUGAGAUAUAGAACUUCAGGUCCUGAUAUCACUUCAUUAUCACCCCUAGGUAUGAAUGGAUUUGUACCCUAUCAGGGGUACUAUGACCAUAUUACAUGUCUUUUAUUGGUAUGAUAUAUCCACAUUGAACUUCUCGUACAUGUCUUGGAUAUAUGUAGACUGGUAUGUAUUCUUGAGAGAAUGCUCAAGUUGUAAGCUAAAUUUGGUUAAAUCCAAAUUUCCCGUCUAGAGAUGAUUAUGUGUAUGUUUAGGUCUUGUAUAGACAUUUAUGAUGAGGUCAUCAAUAUACACUGAGGUGAUGAAAGGAUAUCAAAUUUUGCAUUCCUUUAUUAAACACAUAAACAAUCAUCAUUAUUCGAGUAAUCCUUUUGAAGAAGGAACUCAUUUAGUCGGUAGUACCAUAUGAUUUUCAACUAUUUCAAGUCAUAGAGUGACUUAUGAAGUUUUACACAAAACUUGUUGCGAUUUGCUUUUGGAUUUGGAAGUAUAAGCCCUUCAGAGACUUCAAUAGAGACUUCCAAAAUAAGUGACUCAUAUGAGUAUGUAGCCACUUCAUCCAUCAACUGCAUGGAUAUUAUUAUUAUUUUUAUUGCCAACGAUAUUUAGUAUUUAGUAUCGAAACAUAAUUCCACUCAUACCAAGAGGGUAUGUUACAUCGUAAUCGAUGUCGGGUCUCUGCGUGAACCCUUUUGCUACAAGCCUCGCUUUCUCACCACCUCAUUGACUUUAUCUAUGAAUGAGAAGUUUUUUUUUGUAUUCCAUGUGGAAGAUACUUAUGAGGAGUAGGUAUUACUACGGUAAAUACCACUCGUUUGCAGAGCGAGUGCUAUUCUUCAUUACUUGCUUCCUUUUAUGUGAACCAAUAUGAGUGCAAGAGGCACUCUACCAUGGAUUUUGGUUCAGGGCCCAAAAGGUUUUAGCAAUUUGAGAAGAAAUAUAUGUCGACAAAUGUAGUCUUUAGUUUAUAUGAUUCUGAUGGAGUCAUUGAAGUUUGUGGAUAAAAUAUUUAUUCCUUUUUAACUCCUUGUGAUUUCCUAUAACAAACGGAGUCAAAGUGUUUCGAUGUCCCAACACCAAAACAUUUGUGCACAUUUAUGUCGGGCUUUGGAUGAUGAGCAUCCAGUGAGGUGUCCUUCAACUUGAUGUUGAACUACAUUUACUGGUUGAGGAUUUGAUUUCCUCUGUUUCCGCGGAAGCAUAUGAGAAAUUGUAUCUCGUCUUGUCAGAUUUUCUCCCCCUCUUGCUCUCAUUUGGGGAGAAGAGUGGUUUAUCAGGUACCUCCACUCUUUCUAACACUUGCAGCAAUAUAGAAUUUAGUAACACCUUGUUAUCAGUAAAUGUAUGUGGCAGAUUUGCAAUGUGUUGCAAAUAUAUGAUUCUCUAGACUUCUAGUUUAGAUUCUUUGAGUACGUGGAUAUAAGGAUUGAAUGUUAAUAAGAUUUCUAAUUAUUAUUUUUUCGACAUUCCUUGUGGUACUUAUCUCCCCCUAAUGCCGAAAAAUAUCCUUAUUGUUGAUGCAAUCAGCAUACGGGCUAUAAAUAAUUUUGAUUGAUGGAUAAAUUGUUAUUCCUCACAUAGAUCCCUAAUUUUCUGUGAGGGCCCAUUGAUGUAUGCCGGAGUGGUGAUAUCGAUAUGUAACCGAAUUAUCGCAGAUGGGAAAUACUUUGUAGAUUUCCACGUGAUUACUACAAGGGGAAAGUAGUAUGAUAUGCAGUUGGUAUGAUUUAGAUCAUACUUACGGUGUGUAAGGCCGUAUUUAUCCAGCAAGAGGCUGGUAAAUUUACAAUUCUUUGAGAUUGGUCAUGUAAUUAAUUUCACUAUCUUUGAUAAGAAAUUUAGUUAAACCAUUCUGGGUAUGUACAUAGAGUACAAAAUAUAAUCGGACAUUGCUUGUGAAAUGAUUUCAAUGACAUUGUCCAUUCGAAUGGGUUUUUCGAUCCUGUUUACAGGAGAAUUUGCUCCUUCUUUGAUAAGUUGAGAAAUUUAUUUAGUAAGAUCAUGCAUGGUUGUGUGUGAUAAGAGACACACUUGAAAUCAUUUUAUAAAUGUUCCUAUGAGUACCAUGAAGUAUCUAAAUAAUUCCACAUAAUGGUUAACUAAUCCACAUGUAUCUUCUUAAUGUAUUCAAGGAAGAUUGAGUGGCUCAUUUAGAAUUUUAAGGUGAGAGUGCCUUAAAACUGAUUCCCCCUACGACACAUGCGGUGCGCAUAAAAUCUGAUGAUUUGGGAUAUUUUGCAACUUGUUAAGUAGUGACCAACAGAAUUGUCAAUAAUUUUCUAAUCAUCCCCAAACCAGGAUGGAUAAGUCUAUCAAAAUAGAUAUUUAAUUUAUUAAUAUUUAGAAAAUUAUUUCGUACGCAACAAUAGAAGUAUGAAUUUAAACAUACAUACAAAAUUAUCGAAUAUUGUAUCCAAUGGAUAUGAUAUUGGACAUUUUACUACAUGUAGUAGUACAAGUAUAUGCUAAUAAUAUGUUGGGAUAAUUAGGAGAUCACCCGAGGUCUCUGAUAUGUGCAAAUGAGUUUAUCCUCUAUUUUCUGCAUUAGAUUGUGGUCCUCCUUCUGAUGAAGAUUCUGAGAACAAUCCUUUACCAGAAUCUGGUUGUUAUUUGCAAAUUUUUAAGUUUAUCCCAUUGAACUUAUUGGCCUUUUAAUAACUUUGCGAUGUGGUUCGACCAUAUGUUUGAGGGUUUGGAAAUCAUAGGUACAAUAGUUAUAUAACCACACAUUUGACAAACUUGAGAGUUGUCUUUUGAUCAUUUGAAAACGACAGAUUCCUAUUAAGAGAUAAUUCUAUCUUUGGUUGUCUAUGAGCCUCCACUUUACUUCGCAUUCCUCAUGGUUCUCUUUUGUGACCACUAACUUGCAUAGUAUUCUCGGUACGAGCAAGAAUUUCAAAUAAUGGUAUAGCACCCAUUGGGUGAAUCUGAUGAUUUUAAGAAAUUUCAUGUUUCUUCAUCAUAAAAAUGGUAGUACCAUCAUAAGAGGAUCAAGGGAUCUCAGCUUGAAGUUGAUUAAGUGAGAGAGUUGUGAGCUGCGAUAGACUUGAGGUCUUGAAAAACAAAUGAGUGAUCAUUCACGAUGUGCCCAUGGCAGCAUGUUUCUCUUAAGUGAAAUAUUUGAGAUGGAUAAAUAUUCAUCCAUUAUGUACUUAGUUUGAGAACUAAGUGAAGCUGGUGGCAGACUAAAUGCAUAUGAGCGUUGCAACUUUAGAGUCACCACCAAAAACAUAGACGUUGAAUGUUUAACAUUGGUUAGUCACUAUGAAAGUAUAACCACAAUGUGAUGUGGAUACUGCAAAAGUGUUGAGACACUCAACCGUUGCCAUAUAAAUUAUGAGAUCAUCUUGAUGGAUGGACGACACUAUAAUUAUAAAUAGUGACAUAAGCUCAAUUGCCAUGUAUUUUACCAAUGUAAGAGAAGGUAAUCCCUAGGGUAUUAAAAUAUUUGCGUAAUUUUCUAUGAAAUAUUCAAGCAAAGUGAGGCUUGAAUUAGCACAAGAUUACCAUUUGGCAUAUAGUGAUUGCAAAUGAACAAUAUUUACUAUGAGAGUAAAUAAUUUUAGUGAACAACAACAAAUGCUUCUGAGGAGUAAAUUUUAUAAAUGUAGCUGAGGCUAUCGGGGUCUUAUGUGUAUACCACAAAUUAUAUAGGUAACACUUUGAAGAUAAUCACCGAAUGCGGUGUAGAUCUCGCAGUAAUAGAAAACAUAGUCUGACUUUUGUCAGUAGAUGUUCAUAUCUCUAUCACCUUAUGCUAUGCUAUAUUUAAGAAAAUCACCUUGAAGGUAGUCAUAUGUCUCAGUGACAUGAUGUAGACCUUGCAGUAAUAGUGGAUAGUCUGCAAAAUUUUGCAGUAGAUGCCAGUAUUACCUUAUGAUAUCUUGAGGUAGUCACAUAUAAUAUUAAUAUUUGGAAGAGCACUUUGAAGGUAGUCAUCUUGUUAAAAUAACAAGAUGUAGACCUCACAGUAGUGGUGGAUAAUCUGCAAAUGGUGCAGUAGAUACCACCAAUACCUUGUGAUUCACAAAUAACAUUUGGGCUAGUCAUAUUAAGUAUGACACUUUAUAAUUUUUAUUAGAAUUUCAUUAUGAUUUGCAAGAAAAAUUGAAAAAAUUUCUGUUGCAAGAUCAUAGUUGUUGUCAUAAAUCGCAUCUAAUGCUAGGGGUAAAGAUAUAGAAAAUGUCUCACAUUUCAAAGGAAUAAGGUUUGAAAUGCUAGCAAAACAUUGUUUGCAAUAGUAUUACUGAGGUAAUACAUGUAAAUGCGAAAAUAUUUAUAUUUCAACAAUAUUUAAAGACCCGAGGUUUUAAAAUAGCAAAUUUUACAUGUUGUAAAAUGAUGCAUAAUUAUAUUUUAUGCAAUUGAGGAGAUUUGUUCUAAGGCCAAGGGCUUAAAAUGUAUUGUAUAUGAGAACAACCAGAAGUCUAAAUUCCUAAAAAAACAAUCAGUAUUAGGGCUAUGCUAUGAAGUUCAAAUGAACCAAUGGUAAGGCUGUAAACUACAGGUCCUCUUCGUUAAUGAAUAAAUUAGGAAGGGCAUAAAUGCAAAUGCGAUGAAGGGAUAAGGUUUCCCCAAUUUCUCCCGUGCAGUACGGUUGGACAUUGGAGCAACCAUGGUUGCAUCCGCCGGACCGCCGCCGACCGUGCGCUGUAGUCGCGGAUCUUCUGCGGGGAGCCGCGUAAGAGAGGAGAAGGGAGGAGGACCGAGGGUGGACGGGCCGUGGCUGUGCGCCGGAGGCGCCACCGCCAUCGCGCGUGGAGGCGCAUCCGUGUUGAGGCCGAAGGCCAUGGCUGAUUGGACCGCCGCCACCAUUUGAACAAGUGCGCGGUUCCACGUCCAAUGCAAUUUAGAGGUAUGAACAUGACGAAUUGAAGAAAUACCAUAUGGGUGUUGACGGUUCUUGGGUUGGAUUUUCAAUCAAUUGACCGUGGAUGUCAAUUCCCAUGUCUGUUCGUCUUUUUCUCUGCCGAUGUCUCGCUGAUGGAAGGAUGUGAACAUUCCCAAUUCCUGGUCACACAGAUUAAACAAGGAUCAAUCCAUUGCAGUUUUCCGCUGCUUACCUUUGUUGACUGAAAAUUGUGGCGAAUUUCCAGUUUCUAUUUUUUUUUCUUGAUUAUAAUGAAUCUGUUUCUUCUUGAGCGUGCGUUUAAUCUAUUGUUUCCUCUCCCGUAGGAGUUCAUGUUGACACACGCUUGACACACGCUUGUGUCUCUCUUGCCGUGAACAGCGUCAUGGCUGCUGAUGUUUCUUCGAUUUCGAUUCCUUUUUUUUCCUUGUGAUGAAAUCACUCGCGCUGGAGGACUGGAGCCGUAGGCGCCGCCAAUCCACGCUCCGGUCAAACACGGACGAAGGCCACGCCGCCGUCGCGCCGGUAGGGGCGGUCGCUUGCCAUCUGAUUCUGCUCCGGGAGGAGCAGGUAUGGGGUCGAGGCCCUCGGUUGUCUCCGUCGGAUGCGCGCCUAUACAUUGCUCGAUUGGAGAGCAGCAAGUGCUGAUAACGUGUUUUGAGUGAAAAGUAAAGAACGAGAGAGUUUGAAUGAAAGAUGAUCCAUCAGUCUUUAUUGAUGAUAAAAAUGGGGUAUUUAUACCCAGGCGGAAGUACACAUGGUGCUUGGCGGUCAAGUAAACACAUGGUUACUUGAGAGCCAAGGAAUUACAUAGUUGCCUUGAGAACCAAGGAAGUACAUGGUUGCUUGAGAACCAAGCAACCUAUCUAACAAAUAACUUAAUCCUAAUUAGCUUAAUUAAUAAGCAACUAUUCUAUUCUUAACAAUCCUAUCUCUAACGAAGCUCCUCCACUCAUUUCUUCUUUUUUUUCUCCCUCUUACAACUCAUCGCCAGAGGAGAUUAGCCAUGGUGAGCACCACCACCAGCAGCUAGAAAAUCAGAAGAGUUUGACGCCGGCCGUGGGCACUAGCAGUCGGAGCUCCUCCCUUGCAUUGCUGCAGGCGGCAUAGCUGCAAAGCAGCGUCCAUGGAGCGGAGCCAUGGCGAGCACCACCACAGCAGCGAGGGAACUGGGAGGUGCUGCUGGCAAUCGAAACGGCGCUCGUCGACGAACGCCGGUGCUGCUUUCAUCCACGGCCGCCGAGAUGGGACACAGCAGCUUGUCCACGGCCGUUGCGCUACGUUGCGCUAGGUUGCAAUCUUGUCUGCAUUGCGAUGCAAUCUGGUGUGCCGAUGGAGCGCUCGGCGUCGGCGGCGGAGCUGCAAUGGAGCGCUCGGAGCCGGCGGCGGAGCUGCAAUGGAAGUGCAAGUCGCCGGCGGCGGAGCUGCAAUGGAGCGCUCGGAGCCGGUGGCGGAGCUGCGACCCAGUGUGUGGGGACUUUUGGCAAGGCUGCGACACAAGGAAGACGAGGCCACGCUCGGCGUCGUAUUGCGUGAGAGCGACACGGUCAAGUUGACUAAUCGUACGUCUGCGAGAGCUUUGAUCGGACGGCUGGGACCCGAUUGAUUUUUCAUGAAAUCAGUCGAAUGAUUUUUAGCAGCCGUCAUAAAUAGGGGUUUAAAAUAAACACGUCCCAUGCAUUUAAGGGAUCGAAUUAGAGGUACGUGGCUGAAGAUGCUCUUGCACCUCCAUGCAUGCAGCCCAAAAUGGUCGAGGGCGAGCAAACGAGGAUUUCUUUCACGAGCCUGAUUUGGCCGUGCCUCCUGGACGCCGUUGUCGAGCCAUGUCCGUCCACCAAGCUACUCCUCGAUUUACUGAGCCAGUGAAUAUCCUGGAACGUUGGGACGUUUUUUAAAUUUUUGUUUUUAUUGGUUCUGAUGUUUUUUUUCUUGUUUUCUCUAUUAUUUCUAUUUCUUUCGUCUUUUUGGUUUCUUUUCAAGAAGCACAGUUGUUCGUCUAUGCUUUUUGUUAAACUGAAACACGCAUGAAGCAUAAUUGUGUUUUCAUAGUCCGCAUGAAGCACAAUUGUGCUUAAGUGUUUUUUUCUUCAAAAGUGAAAUACGGUAGUGCUUCGGCUUGAAGCGCAAUUGUGUUUUUGUGCUUUUCACGAAAGUGAAGCACAAAUGUGCUUCCGUGUGAAAGCAUAAUUGCUUUUCCCGGUAAGUGAAUAACAAAUGUGCUUCCCUGUGAAACAUACUUGUGCUUUUAUGGUUAUUUUCUUUUUCUUUUUAUGGUUACCGUUUUUCAGUAUUUCGUCUUUUGUCUCUAUUUUUUGUUUGGUUUUUGGGAUUGGGCCAAAAAAAUGUUCGCCGAAACCUGUCAAAGUUCGAGGAUCUCAACGUGAGAAAUGCAACGGUAAAACGAUUCAUGAUUUGAACGGAUGGUUCAAGAGAUAAAUUAUUUUGAUGAAACAACUCUACAAAGAAAAGCACAAACAAAUCCACAUGCCUCCCGUGCAUGUGAAGAAAUCUCACCAAAAAAUUCAUAGGUUAUGACAAGAAUCGCACAUAGAUUACGCCACUUGUCACCACAAGAGAAGAUGGGACUGUCCCUUGCAAAAAGCACCCCUUAAGGUUGUAGAGCACAGGGACGAUGCCAUCAUAGGGCAUGUAUGAUCGACCGCCUCGGGUAGUCGCGUAAUGUGAUCCCCAAGUGGCCAGGUCCAACCAUGAUCCGUUUUGGAGUAGACAUGUCUACCUGGAUAUGGAACAAGAAAACUGGGGACCUCCUAUAUGACGCAUUUUGCCUCGUAUAGGAGCUCGACGCAGACGGGCGACGCUCGACUUGGCCAGCCCACCGACACGAAAGCCACUUGGGUUUCCUAGUGCGCAACCUAAGAAAUCCUAGAAAACAAUAGAGCACGUGAGGAUUGGAUCCCACGAUCUCGCUCACACCAUACUUGCGACUGCGACCAGUUAGCCACUCCACCACACAGUCGCUGCUGAACAUGAAGCGCGAAACUCUAUAGCACACACAUCAUGGUUGAUAUAUGGAAAACAUUUUAGAAACAUUUCUUGAAAAUUGUAAACAAUUUUUAAAUGCCGCAAAUAUUUUUUGACAUUCCAAAUUUGUUUUCUGAAAAAAUGUGAACAACUUUUGUAAUAUAGAAUUAAAAAACACGGACAUUUUUUGCACAACCCAAACAGUUUAAUGAAGUUGUGAACAAAUUUUUAAAAAAAGAACAUUUUUUGAAAUUUCUGUUUUUUUUGAAAGCACAAACAUAGAAAAAUUCGAAAAUGAGAACAUUUUUGAAAUACCUGAUUUUUUAAAUUGCGAUUUUAAUAAAAGAGAACAUUUUACGAAACACGGACAUUUUUCAAAAUUGUGAACAAAAUAUGAAAAUAAAACAUUUUUUGAAAUUCUUGAAAAUUUGUUGAAAUUGGCAACAAAUUUUAAAAAUGAGAACAUAUUUUGAAAUUCCAAAUAAUUAUUACAAAUUUUCAAACAAAAGAAACAUUUAAAAGGAAAUAGAAAAUAGGAAAUAAAAAAGAAAUAAAAAAAGAAAAUGAGAGAGAAGCAGAACAAGAAAAAAAGAAAAAGAAAACGAGAGAGAAGGUUUUAGAAGGUUCCCAAAACCAAUAAAAACCGCUAGGAACCCUCUAGAAGAUUCCCAAAACCAUAACGUUGUACAUAUUACAGAUUGGCUGGCCCAAUCGCUCGCUCGGUCGCUUCCUAUGUGCGAUUGGUCAGUAGUUUGAUGCAAAAUGCAUUAAACAUGGAUUUCCGGAAAACUUAUCGUGGUCUAGACUUAAGUAACAAAAAAGGUGUAGAAGUAGCCCAGUUGUAGCCCAAAUUUGAUAUCUAUAACAGUCUGAGUGCCGACCGUGUAGGUAAUCCUUAUUUUGCGCUUCAGGCGCCAGUUAUAGGCCAUUUUGCUUUUUUUUAGGUAAACUGCUAAGUUUUAUUCAUUAAUCCAUAUGUCUACAAGUACUCCCUCCGUUCCUUUUAUGUAAGGUGUAUUAUUUCCGGCACGGUGACCAAGACACAGAAAUAUAUGCAUGUUAGGACGAAAUUACCCUUGACAAAUUUAUUUGUUAGUGCUAAGUAAAUCAGUUAGUCAAGGAAAUUAAAGUAUGAGAUACAUGCAAUUGACAGAGAGAUACUUUCCUUCUUUUGUUACAAGGAGAGAUACAGACAAUCAGGAGAGAGAUACUUUCCCUUUUUCUAGAGGGCUAACAAUAGAAUUAUGUGGAAUUAGAAAAAAUGCACCUUACAUUUUACAAUUUUAUCAAAAAACAAAUACACCUUAUAUAAAGGAACAGAGGGAGUAUUACAUAAGGAUCAUGUGGUUGCCCCAACCAAAUGUGGCGGCCUUGAUCCAACUUAAGAGCAUGCGUAGCUAGUUUAUGUGGCUCAACAUUUGAGCUCCUAGAUUAAAAUUUAAAAACACAAGAAAUGAAGAGAUAUUUCCACUCCAAAAUCUCCUUGACUACUCCACCAUAGUUUCCACCCUACACUUCCUUGAUAUGCUUAACAACUGUUUCGCAAUCCGACACGAUCACUAAGUUUGUAGGCCAAGAUCUUCUGCUAUUUAUAGUCCCUCCCGGCAUGCUAUAGCUCAAGACUGGCUGGGUCCGUCAGGCCCCGUAUAAAAAAAACAAAAGAACCCAAAUAUGCACCUGAGCCAUCUCUACACACCGCGGUCGCUGUCCCAACACCACGAGAGACGGCGGCAUCAACAUUGAUCUUCAAAUGACCCUGAACAGCCGGAAUCCAUCUCCUCGGUGCUGCUACUGCUGUAUUACAUACCCAGUUCCCACUAGAGGGGUGAAUCUCUCCCAGCUCCAUAAUGAAGUGGGUAAUGAACAUAUAAGUGGACAGAGGGCUCUGAUCAAUUCCCUCAUGAAUCAGUCUGUGCCGCGCCCACCAUAUAGGCCAGGUAGUGACUGCUUAAUAAAUAUCUCAUGCGAGAGCUGCUCAAACAGAGUAAACAACUAGUCCUCGCGUUCUGUUCAUUAUUUUCCAUCAACUCUUCGAUCAGCUCCUUGUCAACUAAUGACCACACACAACGAGCAGCCGUACAAUCCAGUAGGUUGUGCCUCCAAGAGUCCAGCAUGCCACAAAUAGCGCAAGUACAUGUUGCCGACAUAUUCUGGUGCAUUCUCACGUCUUCCGUCGGUAUGGAAUGAUGCACUAGUCUCCAUAAAAAUACUCGGAGUUUCGUCUCCAUAAAAAUACUCAGAGUUUCGUUGGAACGUAAGUUUUCCAUAGUUUGACCCAACUCUUAUCCUCUUCCUUCCUACUCUAGGGCCCUGGGCGCUGUUCUAACAAGUCUUCACGCCGGCACUUUGUUUCAACUAUCAUACGAUAAGCAGACCUAAUAGAAAACUUCCCAGAUUUUUCAUGCAUCCAUCACCAGUAAUCAUCCACAACUCAAGCAAAUAGGGAUUUGCAGUAUCUCAGCCGCAUCACAAGGCAGAAAAACAUGGUUUACGAGCUCCAUAUUUCAUCGGGCGUUCACUGUAUCAAUUAAUUUAGAGACAAGUUGCGGUGGAUCCAGCACUCUAGACACCAUCGGCCUCAUGAACUCCGGUCUUGGGAUCCAGUCAGUGUUCCUGAUUUUCAUGGAGGAACCAUCACCCAGUGGCGGAGCUUGGGACACAUCUUAGGAGGGGCAAAUGGGCUGGGGGGAGGGGGGGCAACCAACAUCAGGUUUAGGCUAGAUUUCUAUGAAUCUGUGGGCAGUUUACUCAUGAUAAUAUGAACAAAUCUCCUGGGCAGGGGGGGCGAUGGCCCAGGUUGAUCUUCACUAAGCUCCGCCACUGCCAUCACCUAUGCAUCUAACCAAGCCCUAUUUCAUGAUAUCCCUACCCUCCAAUAUUGAUCUCCAAACCUGGGAAGGGUGAUUUGAUUUCCCAAGUUGGCCUCAAGGAUGGAGCAUGAGGGAAAAUACACAAUCUUCAGUAUGCGAGCACCGAGAAUGUUGAGGGAAACUAGAAUCCUCCAAGAUUGUUGACCAAGUUGAACAAUUCAAAAUCCCUGAAACCAAGGCCACCCAUGUACCUUGGCAUAGUCAUCUUGUCCCAUGAAACCCAAUAGGGCUUUCUCUUCCCCUGUUUGCUUCCCCACCAAAAGGCCCUAAUAGCUGAAGUUAUUUUUUCACACAACCCACGUGGGAGCUUGAAACACGACAUCGAGAAGACAAGAAUAGCUUGUGCCACUGAUUUGAUUAAAACAUCUUUACCUGUUGCUGAAAGUGUUUUCUCCAUCCACCCUCUAAUCUGUUCCACAGCCGGUCAGCAGAUACUUGAAGGCACCAUUUUUGGAUGAUCCUACAUCCCCAAAUAUUUCUCACUUAGUUGCUCAUUGGGAAAUUGUAAAAUAAUCUUCACCUAUGCUCUUACCACUUUUGGACACCCUUUACUAAAGAAAAUUGAUGAUUUGUCUUUAUUUACUCUCUGUCCAGAUGCUCUAGCAUAGGCAAAAUGGACUCCGCCGACGAGUUCUUUUUCCGUAAAUUCCUUUGCGACUCCGACGAUUCCUCGUCCGAUGAUGAUGAGGAGAUCUUGGUGUUGGGGAACGUUGCAUGAAAAACAAAAAAUUUCUAUGCACACACAAGAUCUAUCCAUGGAGAUGUAUAGCUACGAGAGGGGAGAGUAUCUUCAUACCCUUGAAGAUCGCUAAGCGGAAGCAUUUAUCAACGCGGUUGAUGUAGUCGUACACCUUCAUGAUUCGUCCUGAUCAAGUACUGAAUGUACGGCACCUCCGUAUUCAGCACAUGUUCAGCUCCAUAAUGUCCUCGCCUUCUUGAUCCAGCAAGAGGGGUGAAGUAGUAGAUGAGUUCCGGCAGCAUGACGGCGUGGUGAUGGUGUCGGUGAAGAACAAUCCCGCAGGGCUUUGCCAAGCACAACGGAAACUAGACAGAGGAUAAACUAGAGUGACGGGGUUGCCAGCACACGGCUUAGUGAAUUUCGAUGUGUCCCGUGUGCUAGCCCAGCCUCUCUAUUUAUAUGUUGAGCCCUUGGUUAAAACUUGGAGUAAAAGCCUUCUCGAAGUCGGUUUUGCCCGAUAGGCAAGAGUCCUUCUCAGACUCGAGGACCAGACGCCACAGUCCUUGGCCUCUGGCCCCGACGCCAUGGGCCUCGGCAUCUUGCCCAGGGCCAGACGCCAGGGUCUCCGGGAUUUGGUCUCUGACCUCCGCAAAACUUCCUUUUGCACCGACCUAAAGCCCCCUGGGCCUUACCCGUUGGCCUAACCAUAUCAUCAUAUAUAUCAAUCUUUACCUCCGGACCAUUCCGGAGCUCCUCGUCAUUUCUGUGAUCUCAUCCGGGACUCCGAACAACAUCCGGUCACCAACAUACAUAACUCAUAUAAUAUUAUAUCGUCAACGAACGUUAAGUGUGCAGACCCUAUGGGUUCGAGAAUGAUGUAGACAUGACCGAGACUAGGGGUGGAAAGUGGUAGCGGAUAAUCCGAAAUAUCCGAUAUUCGUAUUCGAGAAAAUGCCUAUUCGUAUCCGAAACAUCCGCAUCCGAACCAAAAUGGAAAUGGAAAUUAUUUGUAUCCGAAUUUAUUAAACAAAUAAAAAAUAAAAUAUGGUAGGAGACUUUAACACAAAUAUGGAUAUGGAAGUGCAUAUAUCCGUAUCCGAAUAAGAUUAUGAGAGGUAAUUUUCAAAAUUCUGGACCAAAUAUUCCAAUUAUCCAACAUAAAAGCCAAAUAAGUGGUCAAAUUUUACUCUUUAUAUGAUUAAACUUAUAAAUUAUUAUGCAUUACAACAGUAUUUAUUCAUAAACCUAUUUAUCAUUGACUUAUUGUAUGUCACAAGUUGAUUAUUUCAGGUCACACAGCUAUCGACUAAUAUACUUAAGCAAUAUGUUGAUAUUAUUCGUAUCCGUUCCGAAUCAAGAAAAUAACCGAUACAUAUACGUAUUCGAAUAAUAUCCGAGCCGCAUCCGUAUCUGAUAACAUCCAUAUUCGGAUUCGUAUUCGUUUUGAAAAUAUGGAAAUGGAAGUGGUAAGAGCACUAUCCGAUCCGCAUCCGAUCCGUUUCCACCCCUAACCGAGACGCUUCUCUAGUCAAUAACCAAUAGUGGGACCUGGUGGAUGACCAUAUUGGUUCCUACGUGUUCGGUACUAGAUCGGUUGGAUCGUGAAGACGUUCAACUACAUCAACCAAGUUAACCUAACGCUUCCUCUUUAGGUCUACGAGGGUACGUGGACACACUCUCCCCUCUCGUUACUAUGCAUCUCCUAGAUAGAUCUUGCGUGAGCGCAGAUUUUUUUUUGAAAUUACAUGCUACGUUCCCCAACAAUUUGUGCGCUUUACCAAGACCAAUGUAGUGAAACACACCAUGGUAUGUUUUGUAUCUUUUCUCUUUUUUCCUUCAUAACACUAUAUGGCAAGAUGUCUAACAUUGUGUGCUCUAUUUUGUUUCUAAUCACGGGGAACAUAGAAAUUUUCUAUGCGACGUGGUUUAUUUGCAAGCUUUAGAUGUCUUGAGCAAGAAUCUAUUAGAUUAAGAUGGUUGCAAAACGGAAUUAAAAAGUAUAUGUGUGAAGCAAUUAUUGUUGAACUAAUAAAAAUACAUAUGCCCAUGUUCCAACACAUGGGUAAUUAACUAGUCUACUAUAGACAAACAUACAUUUAGCAAUCAACACCUUUCUUCUACCAGAUAUGUGUCAACACAUGCCAUUGCCUCCGGGAUUACCUCCAUGACGCCGCCUUGGUUACCUUCCCCUCUCCAUUCCAACAGCCUUGUCGGUGAUUAGAUAAGUGGGGCAAUGUCCCUUCGUAAUUCUUAGUUAUAGUGAUUCCUUAUAUUUUUACCUUAGGUUUUGGUUUCACGACGGCAUCGAUGAGGUGGCGAUCACAUGGAUGGUUGGAAGAAGGUCUCUUUGGCAUGUCUCUACCUUGAAGACAUAUGAUCUGAUGCUUACGAAGGGCCAGUGAGGAUAGGUGAUGCGAGAUAUCUUGGCUCCCUUUGGGUCUGGCACUUGAUGUGUGGAUAAAAGAGAGUGGUUGGCUAGCUUUUGGUGCAGUGACUUUGACUUCUUCUUUCAGUUCUAUCUAUGGCAAUCUGAUUUCUUCCACCCUGUAGAUUGGUGGAGUAGGAUUGAAUGUCUGCGCUGUUCAAUGGGUGACUAUUGCAUUCAACGGUUCAAGAAUGCACUAGAUGAUGCUCCUUCAACGGUUACUAUAUUUCUUUGCUAUCAAUGGGUGACACUUGCAUUCUUGAAAGGCUUAUGUGACGAGGGUGUCCGCAACUCUUCCUUUUCCGUACAAUCUUCUCAGUGCAUUCUUCAAGCUCAAGUAUAUGACAAACUGUCGAAGGAAGAUGUCAAGAAAGGCAUUGAAUAUGAUAUUAUUUUUAGAGGUCGUUUUAUGCCACGUUACCCCUUUUGUACUAACUAUUGUAUUCACUAAUAAAUAUAAUAUGUAAGAUGCCCUUGGGUAUCAUCUCUAAAAAAAUAUAGACACUUCUAUCAAGAUAUUUGUCGGAUACUUCUCUAUAGUUCAAACACUUUGUCAUUAUGUUGCAGGACACAAAAUGCAGUAGGACGUAUACAUGUCUUAAGCCUUAUAUUUACUAUUUAUUAACCAGGAUAUGUUCUUUCUGAUUGUUCAUCCCCACCUCUCACGUAUAUUUUACUGCUAAGGAUAUUCUGAAAAAUGACAAAGUAACUUGAAUUCAAGAUAACUAAUCUACAAUAAACCAAACUUAACCACGCCUGUCAAAUCUCUAAAAAAUUAUAAUAAAUAUAUAGAGGCCUGUAAUUUCAUAUUUAUCUUUAGUUUUCUGCAGGCCUAGAAAGAGCCAAUCUAAAAUAUUUUCCUAAAUGCAAAUUUAUCAAGAUGAGAACAAUUCAUGUUAUUUCUAUUGCAAAAUGCAAUUCAGAAUGAGACUAAACGGUUGGAAAUAUUAAACUUAUGUGGUUAAUUUUGUUAGGUGUAAUAAAAAACUGUAUUUACAAAAUAAUCAUAAAACUUCUUCCUGGAAAUACCAAGGGUUCAUCAGUCCAAUCAGACCAGUUUCUGUAUUCAAUGUAAGACCAACCAUGAGAUGCAAGUCUGUCUCUUCAAGCUCUUAGCUGAUGCAUAAGAAAUCGGGGCAGCAAACAAGUUCUGUCGAAAGGUUUGAUGAUUGGGCAGGAACAAAUUCGUUUGAAUCAACGAGCUACUGGUUAUGGGCAGCAAGUUAGUAUUAUUCUUGCUCAAUAUAAUGCAUGCAUUUUCAUUUUUUGUGUAGGUUGCUAUUUGUGAUUCACCUCAAUGUACUUGGUUUUUUGAUAGUUCAUUUCUCAUACGACAUGAACUUCUGGUUGUUCUUACUGAAACUGUAAUUCAAUAUGACCUAAGUUAUACAAUAUGAUUUUUUUUCUUCAAUUGAAAAUAAUAAUUUCUGGAUUUUACAUUCUUGCAAGGGUAGAAGAGGUCGCAGACAACCAAUUUAUAUGUGGACACUUCAUAUUGUCAGUGGGCAUACUCUUGGUCACUUAUGUGCUGCAAUGGUGCCUCUUUUUUUAUUCUCAUGUUAGCGAAAAAGACAAGGCCAAUUUAACCAGAAAGGUACGAACUGAUAAUUCCAUAGACUCAUGUGUAAAGUGGAAUUUGAUUCAACCAUGCAUGAUUUUUCUUACCAAACUUAAUGUGGUGAGUACCAUUCCAACAAAUACUUUCCUCGUUCCUUUCCAAAUAUUUGUGUUUCUUCAUCCAGUCUAGUUCUGCUAACAAUUUCACCACAUUAAGGUUGGAUUUGCUCAUGUGACUUGGUUGUUUGUUUGGUUGUGUGGUGAAGGGCAUGUGCUUGGAGAUGGGGAAGUGUCUCAUCCAUGAUCCACACAAUAUAUUUGAUGCAUUUAUUGGAUACAUUUAUUUAACAAUCAUUGAAAAAAUUGCGAAUGCCACUGCGUUGCAUCAUUAUGCCAUACAUUAUUUUAUUGCAUUCAUCUGCUUAUGCAUUUUGGCCACCACUAGAGUUUCCAUUGUUUUAUAAGUAUAUUGUAAUUUUUAUGCUGACCAAUAUGUCCAAAUGCUCUUAUAUAUCAACUACUCAACCAUAUACAGUGCGUGUUUAUGUCUUGUAGGGGUAAAAUCAACAACAAAAACAACAACAACAACGACGACGACAACAAAGCCUUUAGUCCCAAACAAGUUGGGGUAGGCUAUGCUGAAACCCAUAACAUCUCACAACGAACUCAUGGCUCUGGCACAUGGAUAGCUAGCUUUUACGCACCUCUGUUCAUGGUUAGUUCUUUGGUGAUACUCCAGUCAUUCAAAUCUCACUUUACGGACUCCUCCUAUGUCAAGUUUGGUCUACACCGACCUCUCUUGACAUUAUACUCCUUAAUGACCCUCUCUUUGGAUGGUUGAGCUACCCCCGGGCUUCCACCACUUGUUCUAGUGACUUUGGCACGCUUAUCCUGUUGGGACACGAAUCCGAAAGAGAAAGUCAUUCACCACAAGCUUAUGCUGAGGGACAACACUCUCUCCAGGUAUCACCUUACAAUCAAGACAAGCACGCCAGUCUUCUCUUCUCAAGAGGAUGAAAUCAAUCUCACUAGAGUGUUGACCACUACUAAGAGUCACUAGAUGUGAUUCGUGUUAAAGUGGAUGUUAGCUAUGAUCAUCGUUGGCUAGAGGAAAUCUUAAGACAUCUUCUCCUUCUUGAUUCCUGAUGCGAUAGCCAAAGCCUCGAUGCAUCUCUUCAAAACCGAUGUUAGAUGUAUCCACGUGGCCAUUGAGGUAUCCUCCUAUGAAGAGCUUCUUGCCAAUAGGUACUCCUAACCAUGUUCUCCAUGCCUUCCUAGAACUCCUUGGUGUUCUCAUUGUGGCCUACUUGCGGGGCAUACACGUUGAUAACAUUUAGAACUAAGUCCCCAUCUUGACCAGGACAAUCUGGUCCCCACGCCUCCUGACGUCUACCACUCCACACUUGAGGCUCUUGUUGAUCAAGAUGUCUAUUCCAUUCCUAUUUGUAGUUGUCCCCGUGUACCAUAGCUUGAAGCCGGUAUCUCCACCUCAUAUGCUUUCUAUCCUCUCCAUUUGGUUUCUUGGACUCAAAAUGAUAUCAACACCUCUCCUCACCGCUGUAUGAACUAGCCCCUGAAGUUUACCUGUCAGGGCUCCUAUUUUCCAGCUACCUAAACGAUUCCUCGUGGGCUCGGCUAGCUUCCUUAUUCUUCACAGUCGUCGAGUCAAAUGCGAAGACCCUUCAUUUUUCACUACACGCGGGCGUCGAUGUGACGACCUGAUCCUUGCUCACUUGUCACCAUAUCCAGAUCAAGAUACUACGCACCACCUGGUGGGUGACGGCCCGGCCCUUGCCCAUUUGACACAACACCAGGGUUCUGAUAUGGCGCAUCGCUGAGAGGGUUACGCCCCAAAGAUUUUCUUCUAGGUUCAUCUCCAUUAAGAGUGGCUGAGUUUUUGAUAUUGGCUCGCCAAGCCUAUCACAACCCUCGUUUACUCGGGCUUGGGACUGGCUAUGUUGAGACAACAUAGGCGGAGUUGUCUUGUAGGGUACAUGUCGGUGUCAAAAACGGCAGAUCUCGGGUAGGGGGUCCUGAACUGUGCGUCUAGGCGGAUGGUAACAGGAGACAAGGGACACGAUGUUUUACCCAGGUUCGGGCCCUCUUGAUGGAGGUAAAACCCUACGUCCUUCUCGAUUAAUAUUGAUGAUGUGUAUUACAAGAGUGGAUCUACCACGAGAUCAAGGAGGCUAAACCCUAGAAGCUAGCCUAUGGUAUGAUUGUUGUAAUGGAGGUUAUGUCCUACGGACUAAAGCCCUCCGGUUUAUAUAGACACCGGAGAGGGCUAGGGUUACACAGAGACGGUUACAAUGGUAGGAGAUCUACAUAUCCGUAUUGCCAAGCUUGCCUUCCACGCCAAGGAAAGUCCCAUCCGGACACGGGAUGGAGUCUUCAAUCUUGUAUCUUCGUAGUCUUGGAGUCCGGCGGACGAUGAUAUUCCGGUUGUCCGGACACCCCCUACUCCAGGACUCCCUCAGUAGCCCCUGAACCUGGCUUCAAUGACGAUGAGUCCGGCGCGCAUAAUGUCCGGCAUUGCAAGGCGGGUUCCUCCUCCAAAUAAUCCAUAGAAGAUUGUGAACACCAAGAUAGUGUCCGGCUCUGCAAAAUAAAUUCCACUUUCCACCGUAGAGAGAAUAAAAUGUACACAAGUUCAAUCUGCUGACGUAUUUUGCGGCAUGACGUCACACCACUACCAAGCGUUUACUUGAAUCGUUUUUUAUUAUACCGCCUCAGCGCGUUUAGCGAAGCGGUUUCCUUGGCACGUCUUGUCGAAGCAGAGAUCGUGUUCCCCUUAUUCUGGGAUUCUCGUCAAUACGGACGUGGGUAACCCAAUCGCGCCAUUGAUGGUGGCACUUGGGAGAUAAGCGAGUUUUACCAGGCUAGUGGGGACGCAUAGUCUUCGUCCGCCUAUAUAUAAGGGAUAAGGAUUCACCUUUUCACCUACGCCUUCUUCCUCCUUUGCUUAUCCAUCUCCGCGCACUCGAGCUCCAGCGCCCAAGUUUGCGCAUCUCGUCUCAACCUUCUCCGACCAUGUCCGGAGCGGGAGGCAAGUGGUUGGCCUGCACCGUUAAGGAGGAGCACAUCACAAAGUUGCACAGCGCCGGAUACCUUUCCGGCGACGUCACGCACCGGCUGCCCGACGAGGGGCAGCUCAUCCCCACCCCCAGGCCCCAUGAGAGGGUCGUUUUCCUCCCCCACUUCCUCCGCGGACUGGGCUUUCCACUUCACCCCUUUGUUCGGGGGCUCAUGUUCUACUAUGGCCUGGAUUUCCAUGACCUGGUGCCGAACUUCAUCCUCAACAUCUCGGUGUUUAUCGUCGUGUGCGAGGCCUUCCUCUGCAUCCAGCCCCACUUCGGCUUGUGGCUCAAGACCUUCAAUGCCAAGCCGAAGGUAGUGAAGGGCACUCAAGCGGAGUGCGGAGGCGCCAUGUUGGGCAAGAUGCCCAACGUCCUUUGGUUCGAAGGGGCCUUCGUGGAAUCCGUCAAGGGGUGGCAAUCGGGGUGGUUCUAUAUCACCGAGCCGUGCGACCCUACGUGGGCGGCGGCCCCCGAGUUCAGAUCCGAUAUCCCUACGCAGCUCACCUCCUGGAAAGAGAAGGGCUUGCUGUGGGGUAAUUCGAAGGAGCUUACGGGACUCCAAGCCUGUAUCCAAAAGCUGGUGAAUAAGAAGCUCAGGCUGGUUAACAUGGUCCAAGUCAUGCUCGUCCGCCGGAUUCUCCCAUGCCAAGAACGGGCAUUCAAUCUGUGGGAGUUCGAUCCGGAACAGCACCAAGUGUUGAGCGGGCUCUUCGACACGACAUACGAAGGCGCCUGGAGGGUGCUGUUUAAGGGCGCCGAAGCCCCCGCAUCCGCGACGGAAGAUCGCGGAUUUCACUCGCGGCGUCCAGCUGACGAGGUAAGUGAUUCUACCCCUUUACAGGACACUUAUUGUUAAUAGAUUGAUUCUAAGCGGGUUUCAAUCUCCCUUUUCCUUUGACAGGAAUGGAUGAAGAAGGCCGAGCAGCUCAUCUGCCCGGCUCCCAUGCUAGAAGACCCAGUGGACGCCCGUCUAGCGGGGCUGCUGGUUCCGGCACCGCAUGUGGUGCUGGAGAAGAAGGCCAAGAAGGUGGCCGCGGGCACUCGAAAGAGUUCCCGUUUUCAGGUCUCCGACGACUCCGAGGCGGACUCCUCCCCCGAAGAUGAGGAGGAGGAAGAAGACUCUCUCCCAGAGGAGGGAGAGAGAAAGAGGAAGGCCUCCCCAACAGGGAAGGCCGAAGGGUCCAAGAGGGGAAGAACUAUUCCCCCGGACAGCUCCGCCAACACCAACGUUGGCGAUGAAGAGUGGCCCUCAAGGGCCAGGCCUUAGGCGAGAUCGUAAGUAUCCGGAUCCCUGAAUGAUCUGCAAUUUCUUUUGUGUCACAUAGUGUCCUUCUAAUGCCGCAUACUGCCUGCAGUCCGGCCGACGAUGAUCUCCCUGCUUCGUCGAGCGGGUCGUUGGCUGCGUCGGAUGUGGAAUCCAUUCCGACUGCCUCCACCCCUCGCGCCGCUGAGGAUGCAGAGGUGGGAUCCCGGGAAGGGACCCAUGACAGGAGGCUCCGGAGGCGCCGCAAGGCAGCCUCCCGGACUUUAUGCCGGAACCUGCAGUAGUUCCAGAGUCCGGCAGGCGGCCCCUUCGCAAGAAGGGCAAGACCGUGACACCGGCGGCCUCCGUCCAACCGGAGGCGCCAGACAACUUGUUGGAGGCGCUCAAAGGCGCUUCCAUCGAGGAAGAACACCGCACUAUCAUGAGUGCGGUGAUUCAGAAGGUUCAGCUCGCCAAGAGCGGGCUGACCGAAGCCUGCAGUAGCCUUCUAACAGGCUUUGAGGUAAGAAGUUUUAAAUUAUGUAAUGUAAUACCGCAUAGACAGUAGCCCCUGAUGCUCAGUUCGGUGUUCGGAAAGAAAAGUCGGACUGAGGAUCUAAAAAGAUAUAUGCAGGGUUGCUAAAAAAUAUGUCAAUAUGGGUUUGCAGGCUGCGCUGCUGACCUCUGCCGCACUGACUGUGGAGGUCGGUGCGUUGAAGCAGCAUCUCGAGCGGUCCGAGCAAGAGCUCGGCCGUGCCAAGAAGCAGCUCGAGGACAAAAAGGUGAGUAACACCACUUUGAAAAGUUACCUUACAGAAAAGGAUUUAGGUUGCAAUAGGAAAAUAACAAGGAUAACAUGGGUACUGCAGGGGCCACGAACGAGGUGGUAACCUUGAAGGAGGCUGUGUCCGCGGCCGAACGCAAUGCGGCCGCGGAACGGGCAGAGCGAGAAAAGCAGGAGGCACGGGUGGCGGAGGUGCGGCAAGAGCUUCAGGCUCUCAUGGAGAAGCAUGAGAGUUCGGAGCGCGACUCAAAGACUCGAGAGUCCAAGCUCGCCUCGGCUCUUGAAAGUGCCAAGUCCGCCAAGGCCGAGGCCCGUAAGGCCCUUCAGGAGGUUGAAGAUGUGAAGAAGAUAGCGGCGGGUAAGGCAUUUUUCAUGCAAAGCAAGCAUGUUAAUGUAAACUACCUAACACUUGCCCGAAUUCGGAGCUCUCCAGGGGCGUUUGCAGAUCUGCCGCACAGUGUGUCCGAUGCCGCCGCAUUCUAUCGUGGCGAGGAGGGGAGCUCAAUGGAGAAGGUCUUCUGGUCUCAGUACGCUGAGGCCGGCCAUUCGGUGCCCCCUAGCGACCAGCUGAAGCAGCUGGUCGAGCUCCACAAGGCGGCUGAGGAGGCCAUGAAGGGCCUCAUAGUCCGGCUGUGGCCUGGACAGGCCAUGCCUGGGAGCUACUUGGGCCUCGUGCAGCGGCUGGUGGAUGCGUGCCCCCGGGUGGAGGCCAUCAAGCGCUCCGCCUGUAUUGAAGGUGCUCGUCGGGCCCUUGCCCGCGCAAGGUGCACUGGGGCAGGCUAGAUGCGGAGAGGCUUCUUACUGACCCGCCGCCAGCGGGCAAGGAGUAUCGUACGCCCGAAAUGUUUUAUAAGAUCGUCCUGAAGGGUGCCCGCAAUAUUGCGGAUGAGUGCCCCAGAGAUGUAAUUAUUGAGUAAACUCGCUAUGUAUUAUCCUGUGCACUGAAAACUUUGUUCAUAUGCGCUAAGCAACGCUUGUUUAAUUUAAAAUAUUACCUUCUGUGCGGCCGUUUAUAAAAUCUGAGAGAUGACAAGUCGUUGGCUUCAGCCCCCAUGCCACUAGUGCUAGGGUGUUCGGGAUAAACUUGAGCACUCUUGUUCCCAUUUUUGGGUCCAUCUAGGGAGGCGCUCAACACAACGAACAAGGCAACCAGACUUAAAAUGCUUGAACACUCUCACUUAGCCAUAGAAUUCUAUAAUUUUAAAUUUCGGCGAAGCCCCUGGUAUUCGGAAGACCGAAUUCGGGGCGCUAUCCACGCCUUCGUCGGACAUCAUCCGGUACUUCGCUCGAAGCGGCAUAAGUCUUUAGGGACCCGAAAAGACCUCUCGAACAGCGACCAGUCUCUCGCCUUAUCAUGCCAGUCAGUUUUAGCUUUCUCCACUGAGGCGCUCGCCCAGCUCAACCGGGGCGCAUUCGCAGUGGUUCUCCCGGUGCCACCUUAGCCGACAGAACGGAACGUAAGGCACUAAAACGUGGGAGCCGGGCAAUGUUGGGGAACAUUGCAGAAAAUUAAAAUUUUUCCUACGGUUUCACCAAGAUCCGUCUAUGAGUUCAUCUAAGCAACGAGUCAUGGGAGAGAGUUUGCAUCUACAUACCACUUGUAGAUCGCGUGCGGAAGCUUUGCAAGGUGAUGAUGGAGUCGUACUCGACGUGAUUCGAAUCACCGAUGACCAAGUGCUGAAUGGACAGCACCUCCGCGUUCAACACACGUACGGCACGGGCGACGUCUCCUCCAUCUUGAUCCAGCAAGGAGGAAGGAGAGGUUGAGGAAGACAGCUCCACCGGCAGCACGACGGCGUGGUGAUGGUGGAGAAGCAGUACUCCGACAGGGCUCCGCCGAGCACACAACGGAGAAGGAGGAGAGGUGUUGGGGAGGGGAGGGCUGCGCCUUGGCUUGUGGUGCUGCUGCCCUCCCCUCACCCCUCUAUUUAUAGGGGGAAGGGAGAAGGGGGCCGGCCCCUCUAGAUCCCAUCUAGAGGGGGGCGGCGGCCAAGGGGAGGAGGGGAGAGGGUGGCUUGCCCCCCAAGCAAGGGGGGGCGCCUCCUCUAGGGUUCCCCCCUCAACCCUAGGCGCAAGGGCCCAAGGGAGGGGGUGCGUCCAGCCCACCAGGGGCUGGCCAACUCCCCAUGCAGCCCAAGUGGCCCCCCUGGGAGGGGUGGCCCCUCCCGGUGGACCCCCGGAACCCUUCCGGUGGUCCCGGUACAAUACCGGUAUGCCCCCGAAACUUUCCGGUGUCCUUUUAACAACUUCCCAUAUAUAAAUCUUUACCUCCGGACCCUUCCGGAACUCCUCGUGACGUCCGGGAUCUCAUCCGGGACUCCGAACAACAUUCGGUAGUCACAUACUAGUCUUCCUAAUAACCCUAGCGUCACCGAACCUUAAGUGUGUAGACCCUACGGGUUCGGGAUGAAGCGGCCCGGACCAAUGGAUCUGUCAAUCUUCUUGCCGUUACUAGUCCUUUCUUGCUUCAGCAGUAUUGUGGGAUGAAGCGGCCCGGACCAACCUUACACGUACGCUUACGUGAGACUGGUUCCACCGACUAACAUGCACUAGUUGCAUAAGGUGGCUGGCGGGUGUCUGUCUCUCCUACUUUAGUUGGAGCGGAAUCGAUGAACAGGGUCCUUAUGAAGGGUAAAUAGAAGUUGACAAAUCACGUUGUGGCUUUAACGUAGGUAAGAAAACGUUCUUGCUAGAACCCUAAUUUAGCCACGUAAAACUUGCAACAACAAUUAGAGGACGUCUAACUUGUUUUUGCAGCAAGUGGUUUGUGAUAUGAUAUGGCCAAAGUUGUGAUGAAUGAUGAAUGAUCUAUAUGUGAUGUAUGAGAUGUUCAUGCUAUUGUAAUAGGAUUCACGACUUGCAUGUCGAUGAGUAUGACAACCGGCAGGAGCCAUAGGAGUUGUCUUUAUUCUUUUAUAUGACCUGCGUGUCAUCAAGAAACGCCAUGUAAAUUACUUCAUGAAGACACGAUGAUGGAAAUCAUGAUGAUGGAGAUCAUGGUGUCAAGCCGGUGACAAGAUGAUCAUGGAGCCCCAAGAUGGAGAUCAAAGGAGCUGUGUGAUAUUGGCCAUAUCAUGUCACGUUUAUUAUUUGAUUGCAUGUGAUGUUUAUCAUGUUUUGCAUCUUGUUUACUUAGAACGACGGUAGUAAAUAAGAUGAUCCCUCACAAUAAAUUUCAAGAAGUGUUCCCCCUAACUGUGCACCGUUGCGACAGUUCGCUGUUUCAAAACACCACGUGAUGAUCGGGUGUUUUAUUCAGACGUUCACAUACAACGGGUGUAAGACAGAUUUACACAUGCAAACACUUAGGUUGACUUGACGAGCCUAGCAUGUACAGACAUGGCCUCGGAACACAGAAGACCGAAAGGUCGAGCAUGAGUCGUAUAGAAGAUACGAUCAACAUGAAGAUGUUCACCGAUGUUGACUAGUCCGUCUCACGUGAUGAUCGGACACGGUCUAGUUUAACUCGGAUCAUGUAAUACUUAGAUGACUAGAGGGAUGUCUAAUCUAAGUGGGAGUUCACUAAUAAUUUGAUUAGUUGAACUUAAUUAUCAUGAAUUUAGUCUAAAUAUUUUACAAUAUGUCUUGUAGAUCAAAUGGCCAACGUAGUCCUCAACUUCAACGCGUUCCUAGAGAAAACUAAGCUGAAAGACGAUGGCAGCAACUAUACGGACUGGGUCCGGAACCUGAGGAUCAUCCUCAUAGCUGCCAAGAAAGAUUAUGUCCUACAAGCACCGCUUGGUGACGCACACGUUCUCCCUGCAGAACAAGAUGUUAUGAACGCUUGGCAGGCACGUUCCGAUGACUACUCCCUCGUUCAGUGCGGCAUGCUUUACAGCCUAGAGCCGGGGCUCCAAAAGCGUUUUGAGAGACAUGGAGCAUAUGAGAUGUUCGAAGAGCUGAAAAUGGUUUUCCAAGCUCAUGCCCGGGUCGAGAGAUAUGAAGUCUCCGACAAAUUCUUCAGCUGUAAGAUGGAGGAAAACAGUUCUGUCAGUGAGCACAUACUCACUAUGUCUGGGUUGCAUAACCGCUUGACUCAGCUGGGAGUUAAUCUCCCGGAUGAUGUGGUCAUUGACAGAAUCCUCCAGUCGCUUCCACCAAGCUACAAGAGCUUUGUGAUGAACUUCAAUAUGCAGGGGAUGGAAAAGACCAUUCCUGAAGUAUUUGCUAUGCUGAAAUCAGCAGAGGUAGAAGUCAGGAAGGAACAUCAAGUGUUGAUGGUCAAUAAAACCACUAAGUUCAAGAAAGGCAAGGGUAAAAAGAACUUCAAGAAGGACGGCAAGGAGGUUGCCGCGCCCGGCAAGCAAGCUGCCGGGAAGAAGCCAAAGAAUGGACCCAAGCCCGAGACUGAGUGCUUUUAUUGCAAGGGAAGCGGUCACUGGAAGCGGAACUGCCCUAAGUACUUAGCGGAUAAGAAGGCCGGCAAAACCAAAGGUAUAUGUGAUAUACAUGUAAUUGAUGUGUACCUUACUAGUGCCCGUAGUAGCUCCUGGGUAUUUGAUACCGGUGCAGUUGCUCACAUUUGUAACUCAAAGCAGGGGCUGCGGAAUAAGCGGAAACUAGCAAAGGACGAGGUGACGAUGCGCGUCGGGAAUGGUUCCAAGGUCAAUGUGAUCGCCGUCGGCAUGCUACCUCUGCAUCUCCCUUCGGGAUUAGUUUUAAACCUUAAUAAUUGUUAUUUAGUGCCAGCUUUGAGCAUGAACAUUGUAUCGGGAUCUCGUUUAAUUCGAGAUGGCUACUCUUUUAAAUCUGAGAAUAAUGGUUGUUCCAUUUUUAUGAGAGAUAUGUUUUAUGGUCAUGCUCCUAUGGUGAAUGGUUUAUUCCUUAUGAAUCUCGAACGUGAUGCUACACAUAUUCAUAGUGUGAGUACCAAAAGAAGUAAGGUUGAUAAUGAUAGUCCCACAUACUUGUGGCACUGCCGCCUUGGUCACAUAGGUGUCAAACGCAUGAAGAAGCUCCAUGCUGAUGGACUUUUAGAGUCUCUUGAUUAUGAAUCAUUUGACACGUGCGAACCAUGCCUUAUGGGUAAAAUGACCAAGACUCCGUUCUCAGGAACAAUGGAGCGAGCAACCGACUUAUUGGAAAUCAUACAUACUGAUGUGUGCAAUCCAAUGAGUGUUGAGGCUCGCGGUGGCUAUCGUUAUGUUCUCACCCUCACUGAUGAUUUAAGUAGGUAUGGGUAUAUCUACUUAAUGAAACACAAGUCUGAAACCUUUGAAAAGUUCAAGGAAUUUCAGAGUGAGGUUGAAAAUCAACAUGACAGGAAAAUCAAGUUUCUACGAUCAGAUCGUGGAGGAGAAUACUUGAGUCACGAGUUUGGCACGCACUUAAGAAAAUGUGGAAUAGUUUCACAACUCACGCCGCCUGGAACACCUCAGCGUAAUGGUGUGUCCGAACGUCGUAAUCGCACUCUGUUAGAUAUGGUGCGAUCUAUGAUGUCUCUUACCGAUUUACCGCUUUCCUUCUGGGGCUAUGCUUUAGAGACUGCCGCAUUCACUUUAAAUAGGGCUCCGUCGAAAUCCGUUGAGAAGACACCGUAUGAAUUAUGGUUUGGGAAGAAACCUAAGCUGUCGUUUCUAAAAGUUUGGGGAUGCGAUGCUUAUGUCAAGAAACUUCAACCUGAAAAGCUCGAACCCAAGUCGGAAAAAUGCGUCUUCAUAGGAUACCCAAAAGAAACUAUUGGGUACACCUUCUACCUCAGAUCCGAAGGCAAGAUCUUUGUUGCCAAGAAUGGGUCCUUUCUGGAGAAAGAGUUUCUCUCGAAAGAAGUAAGUGGGAGGAAAGUAGAGCUUGAUGAAGUAUUACCUCUUGAACCGGAAAAUGGCGCAACUCAAGAAAAUGUUCCUGAGGUGCCAGCACCGACUAGAGAGGAAGUUAAUGAUAAUGAUCAAGAUACUUCUGAUCAAACUCCUACUGAAAUUCGAAGGUCCACAAGGACACGUUCCGCACCAGAGUGGUACGGCAACCCUGUCUUGGAAAUCAUGUUGUUAGACAACGGUGAACCUUCGAACUAUGAAGAAGCGAUGGCGGGACCGGAUUCCGACAAAUGGCUAGAAGCCAUGAAAUCCGAGAUAGGAUCCAUGUAUGAAAACAAAGUAUGGACUUUGACUGACUUGCCCGUUGAGCGGCGAGCCAUAGAAAAUAAAUGGAUCUUUAAGAGAAAGACAGACGCGGAUGGUAAUGUGACCAUCUAUAAAGCUCGGCUUGUCGCUAAGGGUUAUCACAAGUUCAAGGGGUUGACUACGAUGAGACUUUCUCACCGGUAGCGAAGCUGAAGUCCGUCCGAAUCAUGUUAGCAAUUGCCGCAUUCUACGAUUACGAAAUAUGGCAAAUGGACGUCAAAACGGCAUUCCUUAAUGGAUUCCUUAAGGAAGAAUUGUAUAUGAUGCAGCCGGAAGGUUUUGUCGAUCCUAAGAAUGCUGACAAAGUGUGCAAGCUCCAACGCUCGAUUUAUGGGCUGGUGCAAGCAUCUCGGAGUUGGAACAUUCGCUUUGAUGAGAUGAUCAAAGCGUUUGGGUUUACACAGACUUAUGGAGAAGCCUGCGUUUACAAGAAAGUGAGUGGGAGCUCUGUAGCAUUUCUCAUAUUAUAUGUAGAUGACAUACUUUUGAUGGGAAAUGAUAUAGAACUCUUGGACAGCAUCAAGGCCUACUUGAAUAAAAGUUUUUCAAUGAAGGACCUUGGAGAAGCUGCUUAUAUAUUAGGCAUCAAAAUCUAUAGAGAUAGAUCGAGACGCCUCAUAGGUCUUUCACAAAGCACAUACCUUGAUAAGAUAUUGAAGAAGUUCAAUAUGGAUCAAUCCAAGAAAGGGUUCUUGCCUGUGUUACAAGGUGUGAAAUUGAGCUAAGCUCAAUGUCCGACCACGGCAGAAGAUAUAGAAGAGAUGAGCGUCAUCCCCUAUGCCUCAGCCAUAGGUUCUAUUAUGUAUGCCAUGCUGUGUACCAGACCUGAUGUUAACCUUGCCCUAAGUUUGGUAGGAAGGUAACAAAGUAAUCCCGGCAAGGAACACUGGACAGCGGUCAAGAAUAUCCUGAAGUACCUGAAAAGGACUAAGGAAAUGUUUCUCGUUUAUGGAGGUGACGAAGAGCUCGUCGUAAAGGGUUACGUCGACGCUAGCUUCGACACAGAUCUAGAUGACUCUAAGUCACAAACCGGAUACAUGUAUAUUUUGAAUGGUGGGGCAGUAAGCUGGUGCAGUUGCAAGCAAAGCGUCGUGGCGGGAUCUACAUGUGAAGCGGAGUACAUGGCAGCCUCGGAGGCAGCACAUGAAGCAAUAUGGGUGAAGGAGUUCAUCACCGACCUAGGAGUCAUACCCAAUGCGUCGGGGCCGAUCAAGCUCUUCUGUGACAACACUGGAGCUAUUGCACUUGCCAAGGAGCCCAGGUUUCACAAGAAGACAAGGCACAUCAAGCGUCACUUCAACUCCAUUCGUGAAAAUGUUCAAGGUGGAGACAUAGAGAUUUGUAAAGUACAUACGGACCUGAAUGUAGCAGAUCCGUUGACUAAACCUCUCCCUAGAGCAAAACAUGAUCAACACCAGAAUUCUAUGGGUGUUCGAUUCAUCACAAUGUAACUAGAUUAUUGACUCUAGUGCAAGUGGGAGACUGUUGGAAAUAUGCCCUAGAGGCAAUAAUAAAAGCAUUAUUAUUAUAUUUCCUUGUUCAUGAUAAUUGUCUUUAUUCAUGCUAUAAUUGUGUUAUCUGGAAAUCGUAAUACAUGUGUGAAUAACAGACAUCAACAUGUCCCUAGUGAGCCUCUAGUUGACUAGCUCGUUGAUCAACAGAUAGUCAUGGUUUCCUGACUAUGGACACUGGAUGUCAUUGAUAACAAGAUCACAUCAUUAGGAGAAUGAUGUGAUGGACAAGACCCAAUCCUAAACAUAGCACAAGAUCGUAUAGUUCGUUUGCUAGAGUUUUCCAAUGUCAAGUAUCUUUUCCUUAGACCAUGAGAUCGUGUAACUCCCGGAUACCGUAGGAGUGCUUUGGGUAUGCCAAACGUCACAACGUAACUGGGUGACUAUAAAGGUAGACUACGGGUAUCUCCGAAAGUGUCUGUUGGGUGACAUGGAUCAAGACUGGGAUUUGUCACUCCGUAUGACGGAGAGGUAUCACUGGGCCCACUCGGUAAUGCAUCAUCAUAAUGAGCUCAGAGUGACCAAGUGUCUGGUCACGGGAUCAUGCAUUACGGUACGAGUAAAGUGACUUGCCAGUAACGAGAUUGAACGAGGUAUUGGGAUACCAACGAUCGAAUCUCGGGCAAGUAACAUAUCGAUGGACAAAGGGAAUAGUGUACGGGGUUGAUUGAAUCCUCGACAUCGUGGUUCAUCCGAUGAGAUCAUCGUGGAGCAUGUGGGAGCCAACAUGGGUAUCCAGAUCCCGCUGUUGGUUAUUGACCGGAGAGUCGUCUCGGUCAUGACUGCUUGUCUCCCGAACCCGUAGGGUCUACACACUUAAGGUUCGGUUACGCUAGGGUUGUAGGGAUAUGUAUAUGCAGUAACCCGAAUGUUGUUUGGAGUACCGGAUGAGAUCCCGGACGUCACGAGGAGUUCCGGAAUGGUCCGGAUGUAAAGAUUUAUAUAUGGGAAGUCCUGUUUCGGGCAUCGGGACAAGUUUCGGGGUUAUCGGUAUUGUACCGGGACCACCGGAAGGGUCCCGGGGGUCCACCGGGUGGGUCCACCUGUCCCGGGGGGCCACAUGGGCUGUAAGGGGGUGCGCCUUGGCCUAAUGGGCCAAGGGCACCAGCCCCACAUAGGCCCAUGCGCCUAGGGUUAAGAGGGGGAAGAGUCCUAGGAGGGUAAGGCACCUCCUAGGUGCCUUGGGGGGGAGGGAAACCCCCCUUGGCCGCCGCACCCCCUAGGAGAUUGGAUCUCCUAGGGCCGGCCACCCCCCCUUAGCACCCCUAUAUAUAGUGGGGGAGAGGAGGGACUUCAUACCUGAACGCCUUGGCCUUUGGUUGCCUCCUUCUCCCUCCCCAACACCUCCUCCACCUCCAUAGUGCUUAGCGAAGCUCUGCCGGAGUACUGCAGCUCCAUCAACACCACGCCGUCGUGCUGCUGCUGGUGCCAUCUCCCUCAACCUCUCCUCCCUCCCUUGCUGGAUCAAGAAGGAGGAGACGUGGCUGUUCCGUACGUGUGUUGAACACGGAGGUGCCGUCCGUUCGGCGCUGGUCAUCGGUGAUUUGGAUCACGUCGAGUACGACUACAUCAUCACCGUUCUUUUGAACGCUUCCGCUCGCGAUCUACAAAGGUAUGUAGGUGCAUCUAAUCACUCGUUGCUAGAUGAACUCCUAGAUGAUCUUGGUGAAACGAGUAGGAAAAUUUUGUUUUCUGCAACGUUCCCCAACAGGGAUCUGGAUACCCAUGAUGGCUCCCACAUGCUCCUCGAUGAUUUCAUCGGUUGAACCACGAUGUCGAGGAUUCGAUCAAAAACCCUGUAUACAAUUCCCUUUGUCAAUCGGUACGUUACUUGCCCGAGACUCGAUCGUCGGUAUCCCAAUACCUUGUUCAGUCUCGUUACCGGCAAGUCACUUUACUCGUACCGUAAUGCAUGAUCCCGUGGCCAACACCUUGGUCACCUUGAGCUCAUUAUGAUGAUGCAUUACCGAGUGGGCCCAGAGAUACCUCUCCGUCAUACGGAGUGACAAAUCCCAGUCUCGAUCCGUGUCAACCCAACAGAUACUUUCGGAGAUACCUGUAAUGCACCUUUAUAGUCACCCAGUUACGUUGUGACGUUUGAUACACCCAAGGCACUCAUACGGUAUCCGGGAGUUACACGAUCUCAUGGUCGAAGGAAGAGAUACUUGACAUUGGUAAAGCUCUAGCAAACGAACUAAACGACCUUUGUGCUAUGCUUAGGAUUGGGUCUUGUCCAUCACAUCAUUCUCCUAAUGAUGUGAUCCCGUUAUCAACGACAUCCAAUGUCCAUAGCCAGGAAACCAUGACUAUCUGUUGAUCGCAACGAGCUAGUCAACUAGAGGCUCACUAGGGACAUAGUGUGGUCUAUGUAUUCACACGUGUAUUACGAUUUCCGGAUAAUACGGUUAUAGCAUGAAUAAAAGACAAUUAUCAUGAACGAUGAAAUAUAAUAAUACUUUUAUUAUUGCCUCUAGGGCAUAUUUCCAACAGUCUCCCACUUGCACUAGAGUCACCAAUCUAGUUACAUUGUGAUGAAUCGAACACCCAUAGAGUCCUGGUGUUGAUCAUGUUUUGCUCGCGAGAGAGGUUUAGUCAACGGAUCUGCGACAUUCAGAUCUGUAUGUACUGUGCAAAUCUCUAUGUCUCCAUCUUGAACAUUUUCACGGAUGGAGUUGAAACGACGCUUGAUGUGCCUGGUCUUCUUGUGAAACCUGGGCUCCUUGGCAAGGGCAAUAGCCCCAGUGUUGUCACAGAAGAGUUUGAUCGGCCCCGACGCAUUGGGUAUGACUCCUAGGUCGGUGAUGAACUCCUUCACCCAAAUUGCUUCAUGCGCUGCCUCCGAGGCUGCCAUGUACUCCGCUUCACAUGUAGAUCCCGCCAUGACACUCUGCUUGCAGCUGCACCAGCUUACUGCUCCACCAUUCAACAUAUACACGUAUCCGGUUUGUGACUUAGAGUCAUCCGGAUCUGAGUCGAAGCUAGCGUCGACGUAACCCUUUACGACGAGCUCUUCGUCUCCUCCAUAAACGAGAAACAUGUCCUUAGUCCUUUUCAGGUACUUCAGGAUAUUCUUGACCGCUGUCCAGUGUACCUUGCCGGGAUUACUUUGGUAUCUAGCUACCAAACUCACGGCAAGGUUUACAUCAGGUCUGGUACACAACAUGGCAUACAUAAUAGAUCCUAUGGCUGAAGCAUAGGGGAGGACACUCAUCUCUUCUUUAUCUUUUGCCGUGGUCGGUGACUGAGCCGAGCUCAAUCUCACACCUUGUAACAUAGGCAAGAACCCCUUCUUGGACUGAUCCAUUUUGAACUUCUUCAAAAUCUUAUCAAGGUAUGUGCUUUGUGAAAGACCUAUGAGGCGUCUCGAUCUAUCUCUGUAGAUCUUGAUGCCUAAUAUAUAAGCAGCUUCUCCAAGGUCCUUCAUUGAAAAACACUUAUUCAAGUAGGCCUUAAUGCUGUCCAGAAAUUCUAUAUUAUUUCCCAUCAAGAGUAUGUCAUCUACAUAUAAUAUGAGAAAUGCUACAGAGCUCCCACUCACUUUCUUGUAAACGCAGGCUUCUCCAUAAGUCUGCAUAAACCCAAACGCUUUGAUCAUCUCAUCAAAGCGAAUGUUCCAACUCCAAGAUGCUUGCACCAGUCCAUAAAUGGAUCGCUGGAGCUUGCAUACUUUGUUAGCAUUCUUAGGAUCGACAAAACCUUCCGGCUGCAUCAUAUACAGCUCUUCCUUAAGAUGUUUGUUAAGGAAUGCCGUUUUGACGUCCAUCUGCCAUAUCUCAUAAUCAUAGUAUGCGGCAAUUGCUAACAUGAUUCAGACGGACUUCAGCUUCGCUACGGGAGAGAAUGUCUCGUCGUAGUCAAUCCCUUGAACUUGUCGAUAACCCUUAGCGACAAGUCGAGCCUUAUAAAUGGUAACAUUACCAUCCGCGUCCGUCUUCCUCUUGAAAAUCCAUUUGUUUUCUAUCGCUCGCCGAUCAUCGGGCAAGUCUGUCAAAGUCCAUACUUUGUUUUCAUACAUGGAUUCUAUCUCGGAUUUCAUGGCUUCAAGCCAUUUGUUGGAAUCUGGGCCCGCCAUCGCUUCGUCAUAGUUCGAAGGUUCACCGUUGUCUAACAACAUGAUUUCCAGGACGGGGUUGCCGUACCACUCUGGUGCGGAACGUGUCCUUGUGGACCUACGAAGUUCAGUAGCAACUUGAUCCGAAGUACCUUGAUCAUCAUCAUUGUUUUCCUCUUCAGUUGGUGUGGGCAUCACAGGAACAUUUUCCUGUGCUGCACCACUCUCCCGUUCGAGAGGUAGUACUUCAUCGAGUUCUACUUUCCUCCCACUCACUUCUUUCGAGAGAAACUCUUUUUCUAGAAAGCAUCCGUUCUUGGCAAUAAAGAUCUUGCCUUCGGAUCUUAAGUAGAAGGUAUACCCGACAGUUUCCUUAGGGUAUCCUAUGAAGACGCAUUUUUCCGACUUGGGUUCGAGCUUUUCAGGUUGAAGUUUCUUGACAUAAGCAUCGCAUCCCCAAACUUUUAGAAACGACAGCUUAGGUUUCUUCCCAAACCAUAAUUCAUACAGUGUCGUCUCAACGGAUUUAGACGGUGCCCUAUUUAAAGUGAAUGUAGCUGUCUCUAGAGCGUAUCCCCAAAAUGACAGCGGUAAAUCGGUAAGAGACAUCAUAGACCGCACCAUAUCCAAUAGAGUGCGAUUACGACGUUCGGACACACCGUUUCGCUGAGGUGUUCCAGGCGGCGUGAGUUGUGAAACGAUUCCACAUUUCCUUAAGUGUGUACCAAAUUUGUGACUUAAGUAUUCGCCUCCAUGAUCUGAUCGUAGGAACUUUAUCUUUCGGUCACGUUGAUUCUCCACCUCAUUCUGAAAUUCCUUGAACUUUUCAAAGGUCUCAGACUUGUGUUUCAUUAAGUAGACAUACCCAUAUCUACUUAAGUCAUCAGUGAGAGUGAGAACAUAACGAUAUCCUCCGCGAGCCUCAACGCUCAUUGGACCGCACACAUCGGUAUGUAUGAUUUCCAACAAGUUGGUUGCUCGCUCCAUUGUUCCGGAGAACGGAGUCUUGGUCAUUUUGCCCAUGAGGCAUGGUUCGCAUGUGUCAAAUGAUUCAUAAUCAAGAGACUCUAAAAGUCCAUCAGCAUGGAGCUUCUUCAUGCGCUUGACACCAAUGUGACCAAGGCGGCAGUGCCACAAGUAUGUGGGACUAUCGUUAUCAACUUUACAUCUUUUGGCAUCCACACUAUGAACAUGUGUAAUAUUACGCUCGAGAUUCAUUAAGAAUAAACCAUUGACCAUCAGAGCAUGACCAUAAAACAUAUCUCUCAUAUAAAUCGAACAACCAUUAUUCUCAGACUUAAAUGAGUAGCCAUCUCGUAUUAAACGAGAUCCAAAUACAAUGUUCAUGCUCAAACUUGGCACUAAAUAACAAUUAUUGUGGUUCAAAACUAAUCCCGUGGGUAAAUGUAGAGGUAGCGUGCCGACGGCGAUCACAUCGACUCUGGAACCAUUCCCGACGUGCAUCGUCACCUCGUCCUUCGCCAGUCUCCGUUUAUUCCGCAGCUCCUGCUGUGAGUUACAAAUAUGAGCAACGGCACCGGUAUCAAAUACCCAGGAGUUACUACGAGUACUGGUAAGGUACACAUCAAUUACAUGUAUAUCAAAUAUACCUUUGGUGUUGCCGGCCUUCUUAUCCGCUAAGUAUUUGGGGCAGUUCCGCUUCCAGUGACCCUUCCCCUUGCAAUAAAAGCACUCAGUCUCAGGCUUGGGUCCAUUCUUUGACUUCUUCCCGGUAACUGGCUUACCAGGCGCGGCAACCUCCUUGCCGUCCUUCUUGAAGUUCUUCUUGCCCUUGCCCUUCUUGAACUUAGUGGUCUUAUUGACCAACAACACUUGAUGUUCUUUCUUGAUUUCAGCCUCUGCUGACCUCAGCAUCGAGAACACUUCAGGAAUGGUCUUUUCCAUCCCCUGCAUGUUGUAGUUCAUCACAAAGCUCUUGUAGCUUGGUGGGAGCGACUGGAGGAUUCUGUCAAUGACCGCCUCAUCUGGGAGGUUAAUAUUCAGCUGGGUCAUACGGUUGUGCAACCCAGACAUCUUGAGUAUGUGCUCACUGACAAAACUGUUUUCCUCCAUCUUACAACUGUAGAACUUGUCAGAGAUGUCAUAUCUCUCGACCCGGGCGUGAGCUUGAAAAACUAGUUUCAGCUCUUCGAACAUCUCAUAUGCUUCGUGAUGCUCAAAACGUUUUUGGAGCCCCGGUUCUAAGCUGUAAAGCAUGCCGCACUGAACGAGGGAGUAAUCAUCAGCGCGAGUUUGCCAAGCAUUCAUAAUGUCUUGGUUCUGCGGGAUGGGAGCGUCACCUAGCGGUCCUUCUAGGACAUAUUGCUUCCUGGCAGCUAUGAGGAUAAUCCUCAGGUUCCGGACCCAGUCCGUAUAGUUGCUGCCAUCAUCUUUCAGCUUGGUUUUCUCUAGGAACGCGUUGAAGUUCAUGUUGACAUGAGCGUUGGCCAUUUGAUCUACAAGACAUAUUUGCAAAGGUUUUAGACUAAGUUCAUGAUAAUUAAGUUCUAAUCAAAUUAUGAACUCCCACUUAGAUUAGACAUCCCUUUGGUCAUCUAAGUGUUACACGAUCCGAGUCGACUAGCCCGUGUCCGAUCAUCACGGGAGACGGACUAGUCAUCGUCGGUGAACAUCUUCAUGUUGAUCGCAUCUUCCAUACGACUCGUGUUCGACCUUUCGGUCUCCGUGUUCCGAGGCCAUGUCUGCACAUGCUAGGCUCGUCAAGUUAACCCUAAGUGUUUUCGCUGUGUAAAACUGUCUUACACCCGUUGUAUGUGAACGUAAGAAUCCAUCACACCCGAUCAUCACGUGGUGCUUAGAAGCGACGAACUGUAGCAACGGUGCACAGUUAGGGGAGAACACUUCUUGAUAUUUUGUAAGGGAUCAUCUUAUUUACUAUCGUCGUCCUAAGUAAACAAGAUGCAUAAACAUAAUAAACAUCACAUGCAAUUAUAUAUAGUUGUGACAUGAUAUGGCCAAUAUCAUAUAGCUCCAUUGAUCUCCAUCUUCGGGGCUCCAUGAUCAUCUUGUCACCGGCUUGACACCAUGAUCUCCAUCAUCAUGAUCUCCAUCAUCGUGUCUUCAUGAAGUUGUCACGCCAACGACUACUUCUACUUCUAUGACUAACGCGUUUAGCAAUAAAGUAAAGUAGUUUACAUGGCGUUCUUCAAUGACACGCAGGUCAUACAAAAAAUAAAGAAAACUCCUAUGGCUCCUGCCGGUUGUCAUACUCAUCGACAUGCAAGUCGUGAAUCCUAUUACAAGAACAUGACCUCAUACAUCACAAUUCAUCAUUCAUCACAACUUCUGGCCAUAUCACAUCACAUGAUCAAUCGCUGCAAAAACAAGUUAGACGUCCUCUAAUUGUUGUUGCAUCUUUUACGUGGCUGCAAUUGGGUUCUAGCAAGAACGUUUUCUUACCUACGAAACACCACACGUGAUUUUGUCAACUUCUAUUUACCCUUCAUAAGGGCCCUGUUCAUCGAAUCCGCUCCAACAAAAGUGGGAGAGACAGACAGCCGCCAGCCACCUUAUGCAACUAGUGCAUGUCAAUCGGUGGAACCGGUCUCACGUAAGCGUACGUGUAAGGUUGGUCCGGGCCGCUUCAUCCCACAAUACCGUUGAAGCAAGAAAAGACUAGUAGAGGCAAGUAAGUUGACAAGAUCCACGCCCACAACAAAUUGUGUUCUACUCGUGCAUUAGAGAACUACGCAUAGACCUAGCUCAUGAUGCCACUGUUGGGGAACGUUGCAGAAAAUUAAAAAUUUUCCUACGGUUUCACCAAGAUCCAUCUAUGAGUUCAUCUAAGCAACGAGUCAUGGGAGAGAGUUUGCAUCUACAUACCACUUGUAGAUCGCGUGCGGAAGCUUGCAAGGUGAUGAUGGAGUCGUACUCGACGUGAUUCGAAUCACCGAUGACCAAGUGCUGAACGGACAGCACCUCCGCGUUCAACACACGUACGGCACGGGUGACGUCUCCUCCGUCUUGAUCCAGCAAGGAGGAAGGAGAGGUUGAGGAAGACAGCUCCACCGGCAGCACGACGGCGUGGUGAUGGUGGAGAAGCAGUACUCUGACAGGGCUCCGCCGAGCACAAAACGGAGAAGGAGGAGAGGUGUUGGGGAGGGGAGGGCUGCGCCUUGGCUUGUGGUGCUGCUGCCCUCCCCUCACCCCUCUAUUUAUAGGGGGAAGGGAGAAGGGGGCCGGCCCCUCUAGAUCCCAUCUAGAGGGGGGCGGCGGCCAAGGGGAGGAGGGGAGAGGGUGGCUUGCCCCCCAAGCAAGGGGGGGCGCCUCCUCUAGGGUUCCCCCCUCAACCCUAGGCGCAAGGGCCCAAGGGAGGGGGUGCGCCCAGCCCACCAGGGGCUGGCCAACUCCCCACACAGCCCAAGUGGCCCCCCCGGGAGGGGUGGCCCCUCCCGGUGGACCCCCGGAACCCUUCCGGUGGUCCCGGUACAAUACCGGUAUGCCCCCAAAACUUUCCGGUGUCCUUUUAACAACUUCCCAUAUAUAAAUCUUUACCUCCGGACCCUUCCGGAACUCCUCGUGACGUCCGGGAUCUCAUCCGGGACUCCGAACAACAUUCGGUAGUCACAUACUAGUCUUCCUAAUAACCCUAGCGUCACCGAACCUUAAGUGUGUAGACCCUACGGGUUCGGGAGACACGCAGACAUGACCGAGACGACUCUCGGGCAAUAACCAAUAGCGGGAUCUGGAUACCCAUGAUGGCUCCCACAUGCUCCUCGAUGAUUUCAUCGGUUGAACCACGAUGUCGAGGAUUCGAUCAAAAACCCUGUAUACAAUUCCCUUUGUCAAUCGGUACGUUACUUGCCCGAGACUCGAUCGUCGGUAUCCCAAUACCUUGUUCAGUCUCGUUACCGGCAAGUCACUUUACUCGUACCGUAAUGCAUGAUCCCGUGGCCAACACCUUGGUCACCUUGAGCUCAUUAUGAUGAUGCAUUACCGAGUGGGCCCAGAGAUACCUCUCCGUCAUACGGAGUGACAAAUCCCAGUCUCGAUCCGUGUCAACCCAACAGAUACUUUCGGAGAUACCUGUAAUGCACCUUUAUAGUCACCCAGUUACGUUGUGACGUUUGAUACACCCAAGGCACUCAUACGGUAUCCGGGAGUUACACGAUCUCAUGGUCGAAGGAAGAGAUACUUGACAUUGGCAAAGCUCUAGCAAACGAACUAAACGACCUUUGUGCUAUGCUUAGGAUUGGGUCUUGUCCAUCACAUCAUUCUCCUAAUGAUGUGAUCCCGUUAUCAACGACAUCCAAUGUCCAUAGCCAGGAAACCAUGACUAUCUGUUGAUCGCAACGAGCUAGUCAACUAGAGGCUCACUAGGGACAUAGUGUGGUCUAUGUAUUCACACGUGUAUUACGAUUUCCGGAUAAUACAGUUAUAGCAUGAAUAAAAGACAAGUAUCAUGAACGAUGAAAUAUAAUAAUACUUUUAUUAUUGCCUCUAGGGCAUAUUUCCAACAGGCAAACCCAACUAUUGACCCAAGACAUGAUUCGGAGCCGAUUCAUAUAAUGCUAUAAGUUCGGGGUGCCGCACUUGUGAAAGUGUUCGGACUUAUCACACCAUAAUGCGGGGAACAUAAGCCCCUGGUGUAUUCGGCCGUACCAAAAUAUACGGGUUCAAGAUGUCAUUAGUGAACAUAUACGUAAAGUAAUGCAAUUACAGGCAAAAAGUGCUGCAUUAUUUAUUCAAGGAAUUCUGCUAUAAGUGCGGAAGGAUACAAAUAGUGCGGUAAGCAAGGGAUUGGACUAAAUAAACAUGUCCCCCUCCAUGGGUGGGCUGUGGACUGGUGUAUAUAAUCGAAUUUAAUGCUUGUAAUGGAAACCACCUGAGUGUUCGUCGCAGCCUUUUUCCCUCCCUGGCUAUUGCAUCGUGAGUUCGGCGGGUUCGCCGCCGGACAGGGCCUCUGAUGAACGGAGUCCUGUGUAUAUAAAGAAGGAAAGUAAUAGUAAAAAGAUUGACACACUUGUGAGCCCCUGGUGUGGUCGAGCCACACUAUGGGUCUGUUGUGGUCGUGCCCCUCCUCCUAGGCCCAUGGUAUCUCCAAAGCGUAAUGAUGUACGCGGAGGGUUGGUCUUGCGAUUGUGCAAGGGCUGGGGUUGGGGCCGCAUUGCUACGCGUGCUCGGAACGUGCUACGUGGUCUUGGUUGAUGUUGCUCCGGGCACGUUUGGCCGUGUCCGGCCAUUUAGCGGCCGGACUCGAAAAUUGCCUUAGAAGGCUGCUCUAUACUUCUGCCGCGAGAGCCGCUGUAUGUUCCUCCGUUCGGAGGGAGCGUUCCGUAUUUCCGUUGACCGUGAUGACUCCACGAGGGCCUGACAUCUUGAGCUUGAGGUAUGCGUAAUGCGGCACCGCGUUGAACUUUGCAAACGCGGUUCGUCCGAGCAGCGCGUGAUAGCCGCUGCGGAAUGGGACUAUGUCGAAGAUUAACUCCUCGCUCCAGAAAUUGUCCGGGGAUCCGAAGACCACUUCCAGUGUGACCGAGCCUGUACAAUUGGUCUCAACACCUGGCAUGACGCCUUUGAAGGUCGUUUUUGUAGGUUUAAUCCUUGAGGGGUGAGGGAGUCCUGGACUAGGAGGUGUCCAGACAGCCGGACUAUCAUCGUCCGCCGGACUCCAAGACUACGAAGAUACAAGAUUGAAGACUCCGUCCCGUGUCCGGAUGGGACUUUCCUUGGCGUGGAAGGAAAGCUUGGCGAUACGGAUAUGUAGAUCUCCUACCAUUGUAACCGACUCUGUUUAACCCUAGCCUCCUCCGGUGUCUAUAUAAACCGGAGGGCUUUAGUCCAUAGGAUAACAUACAUUACAACAAUCAUACCAUAGGCUAGCUUCUAGGUUUAGCCUCCUUGAUCUCGUGGUAGAUCCACUCUUGUACUACCCAUAUCAUCAAUAUUAAUCAAGCAGGACGUAGGGUUUUACCUCCAUCGAGAGGGCCCGAACCUGGGUAAAACAUUGUGUCCCUCGUCUCCUGCUACCAUCCGCCUAGACGCAUAGUUCGGGACCCCCUACCCGAGAUCCGCCGGUUUUGACACCGACAUUGGUGCUUUCAUUGAGAGUUCCUCUGUGUCGUCACCGAUAGGCUUGAUGGCAUCUUCAACCAACAACGCUGUCCAGGGUGAGACUUUUCUCCCCGGACAGAUCUUCAUAUUCGGCGGCUUCGCACUGCGGGCUAAUUCGCUUGGCCAUCUGGAGCAGAUCGAAAGCUACGCCCCUGGCCGUCAGGUCAGAUUCGGAAGCCUAAACUUCACGGCCGACGUCCACGGAGACUUGAUCUUCGACGGACCCGAGCCACAGCCAAGCGCGCCGCACUAUUGCGAUGGGCAUGAUCUAGCUCUGCCGCCGAAUAGUGCCUUGGUGGCCGCACAUGAAUCCGCUCCGGCCAUUAGUCCGGAGCCGAUCGCCCGGAUAGAGGAUCGGUGGAUAGACACCGCCUCGGGGGCUUCAACUUCCACGGCGAUGGAGCCGAACAAUAAUCUUGUCCCCCGCGAAAUUUGUGAUUCCGAGGUGCCGGACUCCUUGCCGGACUCCGAACCUCCCGCGCCCCUACCCAUCAAAUCGGAUUGGGCGCCGGUUAUGGAAUUCACCGCCGCGGACAUCUUCCAAUACUCGCCUUUUGGCGAUAUCAUGAAUUCACUAAAGCAUCUCUCGUUAUCAGGAGAGCCCUGGCCGGACUAUGGCCAGGAUGGUUGGGAUACGGACGACGAAGAAAUUCUGAGCCCACCCACCACCCACUUUGUAGCCACUGUCGACGAUCUAACCGACAUGCUAGACUACGACUCCGAAGACAUCGACGCUAUGGACGAUGAUGCCGGAGACGAACAGGAACCAGCGCCCACAGGGCACUGGAAGACCACCUCGUCAUAUGACAUAUACAUGGUGGAUACCCCAAAAGAUGGGGACGGCGAAGAAACAGCGGAGGCAGACUCUCUAAAGAAGCAGCCCAAACGCCGGCGUCAGCGGUGCCGCUCUAAAUCCCGCCACAGCAAGAAUGGAGAUUCCGGCAUAGGAGAUAAUAAUACCCCAGAGAGUGCCGAAGACAAUCCCCUCCAGCAAGACUCAGCACAGGAGGAUGCAGAAGCAAGCCCUCAUGAGAAGGCGGCAGACGAAGAGGUUGAGGAUCAUAACUACAUGCCUCCCUCCGAAGACAAAGCAAGCCUCAACGAUGACGAAUUCGUCGUACCUGAGGAUCCCGUCGAACAAGAGCGUUUUCAACGCAGGCUUAUCGCCACGGCAAACAGCCUAAAGAAAAAGCAGCAGCAGCUUCAAGCUGAUCAGGACCUGCUGGUCGAUUGAUGGACCGAGGUCCUCGCGGCCGAAGAGUAUAAACUCGAACGCCCCUCCAAAAGCUAUCCAAUACGCAAGCUGCUCCCCCGAUUAGAGGAGGAAGCAUACAACCUCCAUCACCAGCGCACGAUAUGGCUGACCGACCACCGCGUGGUCGUGACAGAGAGGCAUCCAGGCCCCCAGCCAAGACCGUACCCCUGCAUCGCUCCAAAAGUACGAAGCCAAGAGGGAAUGCGCCGGACUUGCGAGAUAUAUUGGAGGACAAAGCAAGGCAAUCCAGAUCCAUCUACGGAUCACGUGGGUGCCCCACGACCCAUGACGAAUACCGUCGCGGCGAACACAAUAACCCCGGCCGGGCCGAGCACAGCAGACAGCGCUCUCUCGAGCUGCGUUGCGAUAUUGCUCAAUACAAAGGCGCCGCACACCCACUAUGCUUCACUGACGAAGUAAUGGAUCAUCAAAUCCCUGAAGCGUUUAAACCCGUAAUCAUUGAAUCCUACGAUGGCACAACAGACCCCGCGGUUUGGAUAGAAGAUUAUCUUCUCCACAUCCAUAUGGCCCGCGGCGACGAUCUCCAUGCCAUCAAGUAUCUCCCACUCAAGCUUAAAGGACCAGCUCGGCAUUGGCUUAACAGCUUGCCCGCAGAGUCAAUUUGGUGUUGGGAAGACCUGGAGGCCGCAUUCCUUGAUAACUUCCAAGGCACGUAUGUGCGACCACUAGACGCCGAUGACCUAAGCCACAUCAUUCAGCAGCCAGACGAAUCGGCCAGACAAUUCUGGACACGGUUCUUGACGAAGAAAAAUCAAAUCGUCGAUUGUCCGGAUGCAGAGGCCCUUGCAGCCUUCAAACAUAACAUCCGGGACGAAUGGCUAGCCCGGCACCUGGGGCAGGAAAAGCCGAAAUCCAUGGCAGCCCUCACAUCGUUAAUGACCCGCUUUUGCGCGGGAGAGGACAGCUGGCUAGCUCGCAGCAACAAUCUCCGUAAAAAUUCUGGCAGUCCGGAUACUAAGGACAACAACGGCAGGUCACGUCGAAACAAAAACAAACACCGCAUUAACAGCGACGAUAAGGAGGAUACGGCAGUCAACGCCGGAUUCCGAGGCUCUAAACCCGGUCAGCGGAAAAAGCCAUUCAAAGGAACCACUCCGGGUCCAUCCAAUCUGGACCGAAUACUCGAAUGCUUAUGCCAGAUACAUGGCACCUCUGAAAAGCCAGCUAACCACACUAAUAGAGAUUGCUGGGUGUUCAAGCAGGCCGGCAAGUUAAUUGCCGAAAACAAUGACAAGGGGCUAAACAGCGACGACGAGGAAGAAACCGGACCGCCGAACAAUAGAGGACAGAAGGGUUUUCCCCACAAGUGCGGACGGUGAAUAUGAUAUACGCGACCCAUAUACCCAAAAGGGAAAGGAAACGCGCAUUAAGGGACGUCUAUGCGAUGGAGCCAGUCGCCCUGAAGUUCAAUCCAUGGUCCUCUUGUCUGAUCACUUUCGAUCGAAGAGACCAUCCGACCAGCAUACGCCAUGGCGGAUUCGCCGCAUUGGUUUUGGACCCAAUCGUCGAUGGAUUUCACCUCACGAGAGUCCUGAUGGACGGCGGCAGUAGCCUAAACCUGCUUUAUCAGGAUACAGUGCGCAAAAUGGGCAUAGACCCCUCAAGGAUUAAACCUACAAAGACAACCUUUAAAGGUGUCAUACCAGGAGUGGAAGCCAACUGUACAGGCUCAGUCACACUGGAAGUGGUCUUCGGAUCCCUGGAUAAUUUCCGGAGCGAAGAGUUAAUCUUCGACAUAGUCCCGUUUCGCAGCGGCUAUCACGCUCUGCUCGGACGAACCGCGUUUGCAAAAUUCAACGCGGUGCCGCAUUAUGCAUACCUAAACCUCAAGAUGUCAGGCCCUCGCGGAGUCAUCACGGUCAAUGGGAAUACGGAACGCUCCCUCCAAACGGAGGAACAUACAGCGGCCCUCGCGGUAGAAGUACAGAGUAGCCUCUUAAGGCAAUUCUCCAGUCCAGCCGUUAAACAGCCGGAUACAACAAAAUGCGCCCGAAGCAAUACCAACCAAGACCACCUGGCGCGAUCAGAGCAUGCGUAGCAAUGCGGCCCCAACCCUCGCCCGCGCAUGAUCGCAAUAAUAACACUCCGCGUACAUCAUUACACUUUGGAGAUACCAUGGGCACAGGGGAGGGGGCACGAUCGCAACGGACCCAGAGUGCGGUUCGACCACACCGGGGGCUCACAAGUGUGCCCCCCUUUUUUAUAUUUUUUAUUUUUCUUCUUUUAUGUACACAGUACUCUGUUAACCAGAAGCCCUACCCGGCGGCGAACCUGCCGAACUCAUGAUGCAACAGUCAGGGACUAAAGAAGUCUGCGACGAACACUCAGGUGGUCUCAAUUACGAGCAUUAAAUUCGAUUAUAUACACCAAGUCCGCAGCUCACCCCUGGAGGGGGACAUGUUUACUUAGUCCAAAUCCCUUGCUUACCGCACUAUUUGUAUCAGUCCGCUCUCCUAGCAGACUUUCUUUCAUAAAUAAUGCAGCACCUUUUUGAUUGCAAUUGCAUUACCUUAUAUAUAUAUAUAUGCUCAUUAUAUGACAUCUUGCGCCCGUAUAUUUUGGUACGGCCUAAUACGCCAGGGGCUUAUGUUCCCCACUCUAUGGUGUGAUAAGUCCGAACACUUCCACAAGUGCGGCACCCCGAACUUAUAGCAUUAUAUGAAUCGGCUCCGAAUCAUGUCUUGUGUCAAUAGUUGGGUUUGCCCGGCUCCCACGUUUUGGUGCCUUACGUUCCGUUCUGUCGGCUAAGGUGGCACUGGGAGAACCACUGCGAUUGUGCCCCGGUUGAGUCGGGCGAGCGCCUCAGUGGAGAAAGCUAAAACUGGCCGGCAUGAUAAGGCGAGAGACCGGUCGCUGUUCGAGAGGUUUUUUCGGGUCCUUAAAGACUCACGCCGCUUCGAGCGAAGUUCCGGACAAUGUCCGACGAAGGCGUGGAUAGCGCCCCGGAUUCGGUCUUCCGAAUACCAGGGGCUUCACCGAAAUUUAAAAUUAUAGAAUUCUAUGGCUAAGUGAGAGUGUUCAAGCAUUAUAAGUCCGGUUGCCUUGUUCAUUGUGUUGAGCGCCUCCCUCGAUGGAGCCAACAAUGGGAACAAGAGUGCUCAAGUUUAUCCCGAACACCCCAGCACUCGUGGCUUGGGGGCUGAAGUGUGACACCCCAAAAUUUUGACCUUGUUUCAUUAAUUAAAAUUUUGCCAGGAAACUAAAACUUUGAUUUUCUGGGCUCCCUUUUUGAUUUUUGAACCUUUUCUCCCUUGCUAUUAUGGAGUUUUCCCCAAAGAGAAAACUUUUCAAAUAUGUUAUUGGACUUGUUUAACCUCUCAAGAAAAACUUUUCUUUUAUUAGUAGAACUAAUUACAUAAUUAAUCUGCUUGAUCUUUUUUUUCUUGAAAAAUAGUUUUUCAAGGUUAUAUGGCCAUAUUUGAACUACAACCAUUUGAUAUAUUUAUCUAAAAAUCCAACCAAAAUUUGGAGAUGUCAUGUGAUGUUUUUGAAUCACUUUUAUACAAAAAUAUCUCUUAUUCUUGAAAUAUUUUGAGCUCUACACCCAAUUUUCUUCUCUGGUCCAGAGAGCAACCUUGCACCACAACCCUUUUAAAUAAUUCUUUCUAGCCUCCACCAAAAUUAUGGGAUGUCAGUAGAAGCAUAUUAUUUAGCUUUAUGCAAAAACCCAGCUAUGUUAUUUGAAAAUUUUGAGUGAAUCAUCCUCAUUUCCAUUCUGGUCCAACUUGAGGUUUUGUACUACAACUAUACUUUAACUUGCUCCUUUUGCUGUGAUUCCUUUUCCUACUUGUAGACCACCCUACUAAACCCCUAAGUCCAGGAGAGUGGACCCAUUGGAUGAUUCUAAGUGCUUGCAACAAUGCCUUUUGCUUUCUGUACAGAAUUGAAGUUUUGCAAAACUUGCACUAGCAAGUGUCUCCUUUAUGCAAACUAACUUCACCACUCCCUCUUGCGUCCAAGGAGACACUGACCUGGAAGAUUUGGCCCCUCCAAGAAUAGCCUAGGUGCCUUUGGCAUUUUGACAAACACCUAGAGUGCAUGGGCUGAAUUGGCAUGAUCUCAAGCCUACACUAUGAACUUGCACCUCUGAUCAGACCAGCAUGUCCACUAGACUCCCCGUUGCUCCUAACCUCGAUCUAGUAAAUCCCAUCCUCACCUGCGACUUGUAGCAUGCCUCGGCAUUGUGUCGAACACCUGGUGUGCGUGCACUGGACGCGCCCAGAGCGCGCGUAUUGUAGCCGCGCGCCCGAGCCGACACGCUGGCCCCCACGGCCUUGGCCCGCUCUGCAGCACCACGCCACGCGCUCCCCUCCUCGCAGCAACGCGCCAAGCAGCCCCCGCCGCGCCCGACAGGCCAAGAGCUAGCCGCCGCCGCCGCCCGACAGCCCCUGCUCCGUUCAGCACCGCCCAAGCCACCCCGGCUCGCCACCUGGCCCCGGCACAGCCCAAGCUCAUCCUCAACCUUGUCCGCUAGCUCUUGUCGUCGCCACGACGCCCCGCGGCUACAGAAAGACGGUCGCCGGCGACCUUAUCCGCGGCCACCGUCGGAACCGACCCCGAACGCCUAUUUAAGGAGGCCCCCGAGCACGUUCCGUUCACAGGCGGCCUCAGUACACUCCCCUAGUCUCCCCAUUGCAGCCAAUCGACCUGAGGAGGUCGUCUUCCCCACCUCCGGCAGCAGCGGCCGCCGCCAUGGCCCCAGCUCUCCCAGCGCCACCAGGGCCUCUCCCUCCCAAUUCUCUUCGCCAAGAACACCUCCUCCCCUCCAGGAACCCAACCCCCCACUUGAUUUUGAUCGGGAACCACAUUCACCCCAAAACCACUCCGUCACCAAAGCUCCCUCCGCCGCGGAGCUCGCCGCCGAUGAACCCCUCCGUCCCCGCCGGCCAGCCGACCACCGGGAGAACCGCCUAGGAGAGGUGGAUCCGUCCCUGGCCUCGGAUGCCCUCGAGGAGCCUCCCUUUGCCGGCGACGAUCGCCGGAGCCCCGCCUCGCUCGGGCAGAGGAGGGAGAAGGGGCGCGGCGACUGGUCAAACCUGACCAGUGGGCUAGGCGGGCCCACUGUCAGCGACCCACCCCGCCGCCACGCGUGUUAAGUGAAAGCAUAAAACCACGAAGUACGUUCCCUCCGCUCCGAAACGUUUUCUUUUCUAUUUUUAUUUUAAAAACAGAUUUUGACCAAAUCUUUGACUGGCUUUAUCUUUUUAAAUAUAACUCCAAAUGAAUUAAUUCUUUUUCCUACCUCUCUCAAAUAUUGUCUAGUUUAUUUUAAGAUUUAUUUGAAAAAAAUUUAAAACAACUUUUGGUGCUGUUUUUAUUUUGUGUGUUAAUUCUUUAUAUUGCUAAAAUAGGAUUUUUGAAGAGAGGAGAAACUUUCAAAAGUUUUGAAGUACACCUUGACUUACCACACAUUGAAGGCAAGCAUUCUGAAUCCCGGCAUAAUAUUUUGGUGUGAUCGUUGAUACAUUUUUAACACCACCGCAUUUCGAAGGACUUGUUAUUUCAUGUGAUAUGAUCAUAUGCAUGAGUGCAUAAUAGUGAUUUCCAUGUUGUUGGAAAUAAACACACUUAUGAUGAUAAUCAUCCUCAUGUGUCUUGCAUGCAUGCCGGAAAGGAAUCCGGGAAAGCCUCUGCCUUGGGUAGGUGUGAGCUUGUCGCCGGCCUCCGUCGGGACGGGUAUGUCCGGUAUGGCAUAGUAAGAUAUAAUGAGUGUUGAUUGGAUUGGUUGAAGUAUAUUUGUUAUACAUGUUAUGCAGGAAACUAUAAACCUCCUGAGUCGACCGUAGAUCGAGUCUUGUUCCAGCAACCCCCACACUUGUUUCGUGCUACCACUUGUCCCUGCCACAGGUAGGGUACGGUUCAGUAAUUUGUCAUCCCCUUUCGAGCACACACCGUACAGAGGGGCCGGGAUGAGGGUACCACGGCCAUGGAUUAAAGCCAGUCAUCCGGUCAGGGGGCAUGGGUGUUUCGGUUGUAGCCGAGGGGGUAGCUCCCCCAGUUUUGCGCGCGGUAUAAAUUUUUUUGAUCCCAUGCUAAUCGAGGUUGUAGCCUCCCCACUUAGAGUUUUGCUUAACGGGUGUCGUGGGUGAUUCCAGACACCGGUAAGUUAAGCUGGUGUGUGCAAGUCAGGUGUGUUUUCAUUUAAAAGACCGUAAGCGGAAUUAGUCCCGAUGGACUAAAGGAAAUCCGUUACUUGUGGGUAAAGAGUACACCCUCUGCAGAGAUUAAAACCUAUUCGAAUAGCCGUGUCCAUGGUUAAGGAUUACAGUCUGGGACGGGUCAAGUGUCGGUCUUAGUGUCGGUCUUCGGAGGUGAUAACUGUUAAACCAGAACUGGAAUACUACUGGUGACUUGUGAUAAUUAUGAUUAUUAUUAUUGUUGACUAACCCGUGAUAUUAUUGUUAUUAUCGAGUAUCUCCGGGAUGGUUCUACCUCCGGGAUAUUCACUAUGAUUGUUUAUUUUAAAGCCCUUUAUGCGGUGUCGCUCAGACGCCCGACUGUGGCAUUUCUUUUAAAGCCCUUUAUGUGGUGUCGCUCAGACGCCCGACUGUGGCAUUUCUUUUAAAGCCCUUUAUGUGGUGUCGCCAAGACGCCCGACUGUGGCAUUGCUUGUUAUUUGUUUCAUAUAUUUUAAUACUACUAUGUAAUUGCAUUGUUAUAAAUAACUUGCUUGCAUGCAUCAGAGUUUUAUUUAUCUUUUGUGACUGACAUCAUGAGCAUAAAUAUUUUCAGCACAUCAUGGUUAUAUUAUACCUGUGUUCAUAAUGUUUGCGAGUACAUUCAAAGUACUCACUGGCUUGUCCCUGGCUAUUCUCUUGGCCAGAUUUUCUUGCACGGAGAGGAGUGACGCGAUGACAGCCCCGGAACCUAAGCAAUGGAGAUAGCAGCCUCGCGAAGAUAGGAGUUAACCUGGUCAGCUGUUCCUGUGGGAAUUGGAGUCCCAUAGACACUGAUGAUCCACGAACCGCUUCCGCCAUCAACCACUAGAAACCAUUUGUUGUACUCACAGGCCAGAAUGGUCUUGUACUGCAUAUUUUGUAUGUUGCUUGGAAUUUUUGUAUCAAGUUGGAGCCUCAUCAGCUAACAGUAAUCCUGGGGCUGAUGAGCAUGACUGUCUUUUCUGGAAAUUUAUUACCCGGAAAACCGGUCGUGACAGACUUGGUAUCAGAGCCAGGCUGACCAUUGGCUAAUCCUAUCUUAGCCAGCUCGAAAAACUUAGGCAAACCAACCCAUCAGACCCUAACCAAAAACCCCAGCCAAGCUUCCCGUGCAAGGUAGCCACACAGAGACCCCGACACUUUUGGCAGUCGGUGCCCAGCCUAUCAACCUAGCCUGUCAGUCGCGCGCUAGUAAUCUGUCUUAUUCGCAAGCGUGCGAGGGAAGACUUCGUUCUCUUUUUCUCUAAAAAGGGCACGCUAGCCUCAACACAGCACAGCCCCGGCCAUCAUCCAAAAUACCUUGAUGACCCCAGAAAUACUUCGUCGUCUUUGGGGAGCACACUCCAACGGGAUUGUGGCCAACAAUCCCCACGAUGGUCAUCAUCGCUGCCCCGAGCCUGCAGCCCCUCAACCCUCUCCAGCUGUUUCCGACGGUGUAAACCAUGGAGAAACCUCGGCAUCCGCGAAGCAAGCCCUCUUAGAUAUGAACGAGGUAGACUAAAAUCGCUCGAAGGAUACCGAGCCUUAGAAUGAUCUCGCCUUGCAAUCUUGUGACCCUGUGUCACCAUAAUUAGAUGUUGUCUGCUUGUGCACUCCUGUUUUUAAUAGUAGCCAUGCAUGAGUAUGUUGAUGUGCGAUUGCAUUUUUUUUAUCCCGGGCGUAGCUGCCAACCUCGACGACGCAAGUUUGUGCUAUGGAUGAAUCCUUUGGUUCUAGCUCACAGGAAAGGUAUUUUCAAAACAACUCCUAACAAAUCUCGAGGACGAGAUUUUCUUUUAAGGGGGGUAGUGUUGUGACACCCCAAAAUUUUGACCUUGUUUCAUUAAUUAAAAUUUUGCCAGGAAACUAAAACUUUGAUUUUCUGGGCUCCCUUUUUGAUUUUUGAACCUUUUCUCCCUUGCUAUUAUGGAGUUUUCCCCAAAGAGAAAAUUUUUCAAAUAUGUUAUUGGACUUGUUUAACCUCUCAAGAAAAACUUUUCUUUUAUUAGUAGAACUAAUUACAUAAUUAAUCUGCUUGAUCUUUAUUUUCUUGAAAAAUAGUUUUUCAAGGUUAUAUGGCCAUAUUUGAACUACAACCAUUUGAUAUAUUUAUCUAAAAAUCCAACCAAAAUUUGGAGAUGUCAUGUGAUGUUUUUGAAUCACUUUUAUACAAAAAUAUCUCUUAUUCUUGAAAUAUUUUGAGCUCUACACCCAAUUUUCUUCUCUGGUCCAGAGAGCAACCUUGCACCACAACCCUUUUAAAUAAUUCUUUCUAGCCUCCACCAAAAUUAUGGGAUGUCAGUAGAAGCAUAUUAUUUAGCUUUAUGCAAAAACCCAGCUAUGUUAUUUGAAAAUUUUGAGUGAAUCAUCCUCAUUUCCAUUCUGGUCCAACUUGAGGUUUUGUACUACAACUAUACUUUAACUUGCUCCUUUUGCUGUGAUUCCUUUUCCUACUUGUAGACCACCCUACUAAACCCCUAAGUCCAGGAGAGUGGACCCAUUGGAUGAUUCUAAGUGCUUGCAACAAUGCCUUUUGCUUUCUGUACAGAAUUGAAGUUUUGCAAAACUUGCACUAGCAAGUGUCUCCUUUAUGCAAACUAACUUCACCACUCCCUCUUGCGUCCAAGGAGACAAUGACCUGGAAGAUUUGGCCCCUCCAAGAAUAGCCUAGGUGCCUUUGGCAUUUUGACAAACACCUAGAGUGCAUGGGCUGAAUUGGCAUGAUCUCAAGCCUACACUGUGAACUUGCACCUCUGAUCAGACCAGCAUGUCCACUAGACUCCCCGUUGCUCCUAACCUCGAUCUGGUAAAUCCCAUCCUCACCUGCGACCUGUAGCAUGCCUCGGCAUUGUGUCAAACACCUGGUGUGCGUGCACUGGACGCGCCCAGAGCGCGCGUAUUGUAGCCGCGCGCCCGAGCCGACACGCUGGCCCCCACGGCCUUGGCCCGCUCUGCAGCACCACGCCACGCGCUCCCCUCCUCGCAGCAACGCGCCAAGCAGCCCCCGCCGCGCCCGACAGGCCAAGAGCUAGCCGCCGCCGCCGCCCGACAGCCCCUGCUCCGUUCAGCACCGCCCAAGCCACCCCGGCUCGCCACCUGGCCCCGGCACAGCCCAAGCUCAUCCUCAACCUUGUCCGCUAGCUCUCGUCGUCGCCACGACGCCCCGCGGCUACAGAAAGACGGUCGCCGGCGACCUUAUCCGCGGCCACCGUUGGAACCGACCCCGAACGCCUAUUUAAGGAGGCCCCCGAGCACGUUCCGUUCGCAGGCGGCCUCAGUACACUCCCCUAGUCUCCCCAUUGCAGCCAAUCGACCUGAGGAGGUCGUCUUCCCCACCUCCGGCAGCAGCGGCCGCCGCCAUGGCCCCAGCUCUCCCAGCGCCACCAGGGCCUCUCCCUCCCAAUUCUCUUCGCCACGAACACCUCCUCCCCUCCAGGAACCCAACCCCCCACUUGAUUUUGAUCGGGAACCACAUUCACCCCAAAACCACUCCGUCACCGAAGCUCCCUCCGCCGCGGAGCUCGCCGCCGACGAACCCCUCCGUCCCCGCCAGCCAGUCGACCACCGGGAGAACCGCCUAGGAGAGGUGGAUCCAUCCCUGGCCUCGGAUGCCCUCGAGGAGCCUCCCUUCGCCGGCGACGAUCGCCGGAGCCCCGCCUCGCUCGGGCAGAGGAGGGAGAAGGGGCGCGGCGACUGGUCAAACCUGACCAGUGGGCCAGGCGGGCCCACUGUCAGCGACCCACCCCGCCGCCACGCGUGUUAAGUGAAAGCGUAAAACCACGAAGUACGUUCCCUCCGCUCCGAAAACGUAUUCCAGUCUGAAACGUUUUCUUUUCUAUUUUUAUUUUAAAAACAGAUUUUGACCAAAUCUUUGACUGGCUUUAUCUUUUUAAAUAUAACUCCAAAUGAAUUAAUUAUUUGUCCUACCUCUCUCAAAUAUUGUCUAGUUUAUUUUAAGAUUUAUUUGAAAAAAAUUUAAAACAACUUUUGGUGCUGUUUUUAUUUUGUGUGUUAAUUCUUUAUAUUGCUAAAAUAGGAUUUUUGAAGAGAGGAGAAACUUUCAAAAGUUUUGAAGUACACCCUGACUUACCACACAUUGAAGGCAAGCAUUCUGAAUCCCGGCAUAAUAUUUUGGUGUGAUCGUUGAUACAUUUUUAACACCACCGCAUUUCGAAGGACUUGUUAUUUCAUGUGAUAUGAUCAUAUGCAUGAGUGCAUAAUAGUGAUUUCCAUGUUGUUGGAAAUAAACACACUUAUGAUGAUAAUCAUCCUCAUGUGUCUUGCAUGCAUGCCGGAAAGGAAUCCGGGAAAGCCUCUGCCUUGGGUAGGUGUGAGCUUGUCGCCGGCCUCCGUCGGGACGGGUAUGUCCGGUAUGGCAUAGUAAGAUAUAAUGAGUGUUGAUUGGAUUGGUUGAAGUAUAUUUGUUAUACAUGUUAUGCAGGAAACUAUAAACCUCCUGAGUCGACCGUAGAUCGAGUCUUGUUCCAGCAACCCCCACACUUGUUUCGUGCUACCACUUGUCCCUGCCACAGGUAGGGUACGGUUCAGUAAUUUGUCAACCCCUUUCGAGCACACACCGUACAGAGGGGCCGGGAUGAGGGUACCACGGCCAUGGAUUAAAGCCAGUCAUCCGGUCAGGGGGCAUGGGUGUUUCGGUUGUAGCCGAGGGGGUAGCUCCCCCAGUUUUGCGCGCGGUAUAAAUUUUUUUGAUCCCAUGCUAAUCGAGGUUGUAGCCUCCCCACUUAGAGUUUUGCUUAACGGGUGUCGUGGGUGAUUCCAGACACCGGUAAGUUAAGUUGGUGUGUGCAAGUCAGGUGUGUUUUCAUUUAAAAGACCGUAAGCGGAAUUAGUCCCGAUGGACUAAAGGAAAUCCGUUACUCGUGGGUAAAGAGUACACCCUCUGCAGAGAUUAAAACCUAUUCGAAUAGCCGUGUCCAUGGUUAAGGAUUACAGUUUGGGACGGGUCAAGUGUCGGUCUUAGUGUCGGUCUUCGGAGGUGAUAACUGUUAAACCAGAACUGGAAUACUACUGGUGACUUGUGAUAAUUAUGAUUAUUAUUAUUGUUGACUAACCCGUGAUAUUAUUGUUAUUAUCGAGUAUCUCCGGGAUGGUUCUACCUCCGGGAUAUUCACUAUGAUUGUUUAUUUUAAAGCCCUUUAUGCGGUGUCGCUCAGACGCCCGACUGUGGCAUUUCUUUUAAAGCCCUUUAUGUGGUGUCGCUCAGACGCCCGACUGUGGCAUUUCUUUUAAAGCCCUUUAUGUGGUGUCGCCAAGACGCCCGACUGUGGCAUUGCUUGUUAUUUGUUUCAUAUAUUUUAAUACUACUAUGUGAUUGCAUUGUUAUAAAUAACUUGCUUGCAUGCAUCAGAGUUUUAUUUAUCUUUUGUGACUGACAUCAUGAGCAUAAAUAUUUUCAGCACAUCAUGGUUAUAUUAUACCUGUGUUCAUAAUGUUUGCGAGUACAUUCAAAGUACUCACUGGCUUGUCCCUGGCUAUUGUCUUGGCCAGAUUUUCUUGCACGGAGAGGAGUGACGCGAUGACAGCCCCGGAACCUAAGCAAUGGAGAUAGCAGCCUCGCGAAGAUAGGAGUUAACCUGGUCAGCUGUUCCUGUGGGAAUUGGAGUCCCAUAGACACUGAUGAUCCACAAACCGCUUCCGCCAUCAACCACUAGAAACCAUUUGUUGUACUCACAUGCCAGAAUGGUCUGGUACUGCAUAUUUUGUAUGUUGCUUGGAAUUUCUGUAUCAAGUUGGAGCCUCAUCAGCUAACAGUAAUCCUGGGGCUGAUGAGCACGACGGUCUUUUCUGAACGUGACAUGAAGCCAAUGACUUGCCAUCCCUCAGAUUUUAUAAACGGCCGCACAGAAGGUAAUAUUUUAAAUUAAAAAAGCGUUGCUCAAAGUGCACAUGAACAAAGUUUCAGCGCACAGGAUAAUACAUAGCAAAUUUACUCAAAGAUUACAUUUCUGGGGCACUCAUCCGCAAUAUCACAGGCUCCCUUCAGGACAGAUUUAUAAUACAUUUCCGGUGGCGGUGGGUCCGUGAGAAGCUUCUCCGCAUCCAACCUUCCCCAUUGCACCUUUGUGCGGGCGAGGGCCCGGUGAGCGCCUUCAAUACAGGCGGAGCACUUGAUGACAUCCACCCAGGGGCAUGCAUCCACCAGCCGCCGCACGAGGCCAAAGUAGCUCCCAGGCAUGGCUUGUCCAGGCCACAGCCGGACUAUAAGGCCCUUCAUGGCCUCUUCAGCUACCUUGUGGAGUUCGACCAGCUGCUUCAGCUGGUCGCUUGGGGGCACCGGGUGUCCGGCCUCAGCAUACUGAGACCAGAAGACUUAACGUCGAGCUCCCCUCCUCGCCACGAUAGAAUGCGGCGGCAUCGGAGGCACUACGCGGCAGAUCUGCAAACGCCCCUGGAGAGCUUCGAAUGCGGGUAAGUAUCAGGUAUUUUACAUUAACAUGCUUGCUUUGCAUGAAAAAUGCCUUACCCGCCGCUAUUUUCUUUACAUCUUCAACCUCCUGAAGGGCCUUAUGGGCUUCGGCCUUGGCGGACUUGGCACUUUCGAGAGCCGAGGCAAGCUCGGACUCUCGAGUCUUGGAGUCACGCUCCAACCUCUCAUGUUUCUCCAUGAGAGCCUGGAGCUCUUGCCGUACUUCCGCCACCCAUGCCUCCUGCUUUUCUUUCUCCGCCCGUUCCGCGGCCGCACUGUGUUCGCCGCGGACACAGCCUCCUUCAGGGCUGCCACCUCGUUAGUGGCCCCUGCAAUACACAUAUUAUCCUUGUUAAUUUUAUUGCAACCAAAAUCCUUUUCUGUAAGGUAACCAUUCAAAGUGGUGUUACUCACCGUCUUUGUCCUCGAGCUGCUUCUUCGCACGACCGAGCUCUCGCUCGAAUCGCUCGAGAUCCUGCUUUAGCACAUCGACCUCCGCCGUUAGUGUGGCAGAGGUCAGCAGCGCAGCCUGCAAACCCAUAUUGACAUAUUUUAAGCAACCUUGCGUAUAUCUUGUUAGAUCCUCAGUCCGGCUUUUCUUUCCGAACACCGAACUGAGCAUCAGGGGCUACUGUCUAUGCGGUAUUACAUUACAUAAUUUUAACUUCUUACCUCAAAGCCUGUUAGAAGGCUGCUGCAGGCUUCGGUCAGCCCGCUUUUGGCGAGCUGAACCUUUUGAAUCACCGCACUCAUGAUAGUGCGGUGUUCUUCCUUGAUGGAAGCGCCUUUGAGCGCCUCCAACAAGUUAUCCGACACCUCCGGUUGGACGGAGGCCGCCGGUAUAACGGUCUUGCCCUUCUUUCGAAGUGGCCGCCUGCCGGACUCUGGAACCACUGCGGGUUCCGAUGUAGAGUCCGGCACAAAGUCCGGGAGGCUGCCUGACGGCGCCUCCGGAGCCUCCUCCUGAUGGGUCCCUUUCUGGGAUCCCACCUCGACGUCCUCGUCGGCGCGUGGGGUAGAGGCAGUAAGAAGUGAAUCCACAUCUGACGGGGCCAACGACCCGCUCGAUGAGUCGGGGAGAUCGUCAUCGGCCGGACUACGGACAGAAUGGGGCAUUAAGGACACUACGCGACACGAAAGAAAUUGCAUAUAAAGGAUCCGGAUACUUACGAUCUUGCCGGACGCCUGGCCCUGGGAGGCCAUUCAUCCUCGCCAACGGUGGUGUUGGCGAAACUGUCCGGGGGGAUAGUUCUCCCCCUCUUGGACCCUUCGGCCUCCCCUAUUGGGGAAGCCUUCCUCUUCUUCUCUCCCUCUUCUGGGAGAGAACCCUCCUCGUCUUCGGGGGAGGAGUCCGCCUCGUCGUCGGACACCUGAUUGCGGGAACUCUUUCGAGUCCCCGCGGCCACCUUCUUGGCCUUCUUCUCCGGCACCACAUGCGGUGCCGGAACCAGCAGCCCUGCUAAACGGGCGUCCACUGGGUCUUCUGGCAUGGGAGCCGGGCUAAUAAGCUGCUUGGCCUUCUCCAUCCAUUCCUGUCAAAGGAAAGGGAAGAAUGAAACCCUCUUAUAAUCAAUUUGAUUACUACAAAGUGUCCCGUAAUGGGGUUGAAUCACUUACCUCGUCAGUUGGAUGCUGCGAGCUGAAUCCGUGAUCUUCCGUCGCGGAUGCGGGGGCUUCGGCGCCCUUAAACAGCACCCUCCAGGCGCCUUCGUAUGUCGUAUCGAAGAGCCCGCUCAGCGCCUGGUGCUUUUCCGGAUUGAACUCUCACAGAUUGAAUGCCCGUUCUUGGCAUGGGAGAAUCCGGCGGAUGAGCAUGACUUGGACCACGUCGACGAGCCUGAGCUUACCGCUCACCAGCUUCUGGAUGCAGGCUCGGAGUCCCGUCAGCUCCUUCGAAUUGCCCCACAACAAGCCCUUCUCUUUCCAGGAGGUGAGCUGCGUGGGGACGCCAGAUCUAAACUCGGGGGCCGUCGCCCAUGUGGGCUUGCGCGGCUCGGUGAUGUAGAACCACCCUGAUUGCCACCCCUUGACGGAGUCCACGAAGGCCCCUUCGAGCCAAAGGACGUUGGGUAAUUUACCCAACAUGGCGCCUCCGCAUUCCGCUUGCGUGCCCAGCACAACCUUCGGCUUGACGUUGAAGGUCUUGAGCCACAGGCCGAAGUGGGGCCGGAUGCAGAGGAAGGCCUCGCACAAGACGAUGAACGUCGAGAUGUUGAGGAUGAAGUUCGGCGCCAGAUCGUGGAAAUCCAGGCUGUAAUAGAACAUGAGCCCCCGGACAAAGGGAUGGAGCGGAAAGCCCAGUCCGCGGAGGAAGUGGGGAAGGAAGACGACCCUCUCGUGAGGCCCGGGGGUAGGGACGAGCUGCCCCUCGUCGGGCAGCCGAUGCGCGAUAUCGCCGCAAAGGUAUCCGGCGCUGUGCAGUCUGGUGAUGUGCUCCUCCUUAACGGUGGAGGCCAACCAUUUGCCUCCCACUCCUGACAUAUUCGGAGAAGGUCGAGGCGAGAUGUGCGAGCUUGGGCGUUGGAGCUUGAGUACGCGGAGGUGGAUAAGCAAAGGAGGAAGAAGGCGUAGGUGAGAAGGUAAAUCCUUAUCCCUUAUAUGUAGGCGGACGAAAACUAUGCGUCCCACUGGCCUGAUAAAAAUCGCUUAUCUCCCAAGCGCCACCAUCAAUGGCGCGGUUGGGUUACCCACGUCCGUAUUGAUGAGAAUCCCGGAAUAAGGGGAACACGAUCUCUGCUUCAACAAGACGUGCCAAGGAAACCGCUUCGCUAAACGUGCUGAGGUGGGAUAGUAAAAAACGAUUCAAACAAAGGCUUGGUAGCGGUGUGAUGUCACGCCGCAUAAUACGUCAGCAGAUUGGACUGGUGUACAUUUUAUUCUCUCUACGGUGGAAUGUGGAAUUUAUUUUGCAGAGCCGGACACUAUCCUGGUGUUCAUGAUCUUCCUCUGGAUUAUUCAAGGGAGGAACCCGCCUUGCAAUGCCGAACAUUAUGCGUGCCGGACUUAUCGUCAUUGAAGCCUGGUUCAGGGCCUACUGAGGGAGUCCUGGACUAGGGGGUGUCCGGACAGCCGGACUAUCAUCGUCCGCCGGACUCCAAGACUACGAAGAUACAAGAUUGAAGACUCCGUUCCGUGUCCGGAUGGGACUUUCCUUGGCGUGGAAGGCAAGCUUGGCGAUACGGAUAUGUAGAUCUCCUACCAUUGUAACAGACUCUGUGUAACCCUAGCCUCCUCCGGUGUCUAUAUAAACCGGAGGGCUUUAGUCCGUAGGACAACAUACAUUACAACAAUCAUACCAUAGGCUAGCUUCUAGGGUUUAGCCUCCUUGAUCUCGUGGUAGAUCCACUCUUGUACUACCCAUAUCAUCAAUAUUAAUCAAGCAGGACGUAGGGUUUUACCUCCAUCGAGAGGGCCCGAACCUGGGUAAAACAUCGUGUCCCUCGUCUCCUGUUACCAUCCGCCUAGACGCACGGUUCGGGACCCCCUACCCGAGAUCCGCCGGUUUUGACACCGACAAGGGGUCUAUGCCCAUCUUGCGCACUGUAUCCUGAUAAAGCAGGUUCAGGCUACUGCCGCCGUCCAUCAGGACUCUCGUGAGGUGAAAUCCAUCGACAAUUGGGUCUAAUACCAAUGCGGCGAAUCCGCCAUGGCGGAUACUGGUUGGAUGGUCUCUUCGAUCGAAAGUGAUCAGGCAAGAGGACCAUGGAUUGAACUUCGGGGCGACUGGCUCCAUCGCGUAUACGUCCCUUAGUGCAUGCUUCCGCUCCCUCUUAGGUAUAUGGGUUGCGUAUAUCAUGUUCACCGUCCAUACUUGUGGGGGGAAACCCUUCUGUCCUCUACUGUUCGGUGGUCGGGUCUCUUCCUCGUCAUCGCUAUGCAGCCCCUUGUCAUUGUUUUUGGCAAUUAACUUGCCUGCCUGCUUGAAUACCCAACAGUCUCUGUUGGUGUGAUUAGCUGGCUUUUCGGGGGUGCCAUGUAUCUGGCAUAAGCAGUCGAGUAUUCGGUCCAAAUUGGACGGACCCGGAGUGGUUCUUUUGAAUGGCUUCUUCCGCUGACCGGGUUUAGAGCUUCAGAAUCCGGCGUUGACUGCCGUAUCCUCCUUGUCAUUGCCGUUAAUGCGGCGUUUAUUUUUGCUUCGACGCGACCUGCCAUUGUGGUCCUUAGUAUCCGGACUGCCAGAAUUUUUACUGAGGUUGUUGCUGCGAGCUAGCCAGCUAUCCUCUCCCGCACAGAAGGGGGUCAUUAAUGAUGUGAGGGCUGCCAUGGAUUUCGGCUUUUCCUGUCCUAGGUGCCGGGCUAGCCAUUCGUCGCCGAUGUUGUGUUUGAAGGCUGCGAGGGCCUCCGCAUCCGGACAGUCGAUGAUUUGAUUUUUCUUUGUUAAGAACCGUGUCCAGAACUGUCUGGCCGAUUCGUCUGGCUGCUGAAUUAUGUGGCUUAGGUCAUCGGCGUCUGGUGGUCGCACAUAUGUGCCCUGGAAGUUGUCGAGGAAUGCGGCUUCCAGGUCUUUCCAACACCCAAUUGACUCUGCGGGCAAGCUGUUAAGCCAAUGCCGAGCUGGUCCUUUAAGCUUGAGUGGGAGAUACUUGAUGGCGUGGAGAUCGUCGCCGCGGGCCAUAUGGAUGUGAAGGAGAUAAUCUUCAAUCCAAACCACGGGGUCUGUUGUGCUAUCGUAGGGUUCAAUGUUUACGGGUUUAAACCCUUCAGGGAUUUGAUGACCCAUUACUUCGUCAGUGAAGCAUAGCGGGUGUGCGGCGCCUCUAUAUUGAGCAAUGUCACAACGUAGCUCGAGUGAGCGUUGUCUGCUGUGUUCGGCCCGGCUGGGGUUGUUGUAUCCAGCGCGACGGUAUUCGUCGUGGGUCGUGGGGUGCCCACGUGAUCCGUAGAUGGAUCUGGAUUGCCUUGCUUUCUCCUCCAAUAUAUCUCGCAAGUCCGGCGCAUUCCCACUUGGCUUCGCACUUUUGGAGCGAUGCCGGGGUACGGUCUUGGUGGAGGGCCUGGAUGCCUCUCUGUCGCGACCACGAGGUGGUCGGUCGGCCGUAUUGUGCGCAGGUGAUGAAGGUAUGUAUGCUUCUUCCUCUAAUCGGGGGAGCAACUUGCGUUUUGGGUAACUCUUGGAGGGACGUUCGAGUUCAUACUCUUCGGCCGCGAGGACCUCAGUCCAUCUGUCGGCUAGCAGGUCUUGAUCAGCUUGAAGCUACUGCUGCUUUUUCUUUAGGCUAUUUGCCGUGGCGAUAAGCCUGCGUUUAAAACGCUCUUGUUCGACGGGAUCCUCUGCCACGACGAAUUCAUCGUCGUUGAGGCUUGCCUCGUCUCCGGAGGGAGGUAUGUAAUUAUCAUCCUCGACCUCUUCGUCUGCCGCUCUCUCGUGAGGGCUUGCUUCUGCAUCCUCCUGCGCUGAAUCUUGCUGGAGGGGAUUGUCUUCGGCACUUUCUGGGGUGUUGUUAUCUCCUGUGCCGGAAUCUCCAUUCUUGUUGUGGCGGGAUUUCGAGCGGCGCCACUGACGUCGGCGCUUGGGUUGUUUCUUUAGGGAAUCUGCCUCUGCUGUUUCUUCGCCGUCCCCAUCUUUUGGGGUGUCCACCAUGUAUAUGUCAUAUGAUGAGGUGGUCUUCCAGUGCCCUGUAGGCGCUGGUUCUUGAUCGUCUCCGGCACCGUCGUCCAUACCGUCGAUGUCUUCGGAGUCAUAGUCUAGCAUGUCGGUUAGAUCGUCGACAGUGGCUACAAAGUGGGUGGUGGGUGGGCUCUGAAUUUCUUCGUCGUCCGCAUCCCAGCCAUCCUGGCCAUAGUCCGGCCAGGUCUCUCCGGAUAGCGAGUGAUGUUUUAGCGAAUUUAGGAUGUCGCCAAAGGGCGAGUGUUGGAAGAUGUCCGCGGCGGUGAACUCCAUGACCGGCGCCCAAUCAGACUCAAUUGGCAGGGGCGCGGGAGGUUCGGAGUCCGGCAGGGAGUCCGGCACCUCGGAGUUACGAGCUUGGCAGGGGACAAGGUUAGUGUUCGGCUCCAUCGCCGUGGCAGUUGCAGCCCCCAAGGCGGUGUCCAGCCACCGGUCCUCGAUCUGGGCGAUCGGCUCCGGACUGAGGGCCGGAGCGGAUUCGUGUGCGGCCACCAAGGCACUGUCCGGCGGCAGAGCUAAAUCAUGCCCAUCGUGACAGCGCGGCGCGCUCGGCUGUGGCUCGAGUCCGUCGAAGAUUGAGUCCCCGCGGAUGUCGGCCGUGAAGAUUAGGCCUUCGAACCUGACCUGACGGCCAGGGGCGUAGCUUUCGAUAUGCUCUAGACGGCCAAGUGAAUUAGCCUGCAGUGCGAAGCCGCCGAAUACGAAGAUCUGUCCGGGGAGAAAAGUCUCACCCUGGACGGCGUUGUUGUUGAUUGAAGAAGCCAUCGAGCCUAUCGGUGACGACACAGAGGAACUCUCAAUGAAAGCACCAAUGUCGGUGUCAAAACUGGCAGAUCUCGGGUAGGGGGUCCUGAACUGUGUGUCUAGGCGGAUGGUAACAGGAGACAAGGGACACGAUGUUUUACCCAGGUUCGGGUCCUCUUGAUGGAGGUAAAACCCUACGUCCUGCUCGAUUAAUAUUGAUGAUGUGUAUUACAAGAGUGGAUCUACCACGAGAUCAAGGAGGCUGAACCCUAGAAGCUAGCCUAUGGUAUGAUUGUUGUAAUGGAGGUUAUGUCCUACAGACUAAAGCCCUCCGGUUUAUAUAGACACCGGAGAGGGCUAGGGUUACACAGAGUCGGUUACAAUGGUAGGAGAUCUACAUAUCCGUAUUGCCAAGCUUGCCUUCCACGCCAAGGAAAGUCCCAUCCGGACACGGGACGGAGUCUUCAAUCUUGUAUCUUCGUAGUCUUGGAGUCCGGCGGACGAUGAUAGUCCGGCUGUCCGGACACCCCCUAGUCCAGGAUUCCCUCACUACACACAAAGAGUAUAAUUUUGAUUACAUGAUCUGACAAUUUCCCUCAUUUCAGACACAUGAUUCUAGUGCAUCAUCAAUUAAUGCUUGCUUUCAUGGUCUGCUUAUUGGUGCCCAAGAUGAUCUGCCUAUGGAUGCCCAAGUUACAGGUAUGAUAAUCUUCUGAUCCAUGUCCAAGCAAAUAAGAGUCACUCCACAUAUUGACCAUGUUGCUGCUUUGUCUAGAGGCCUGACACUACAUAAUUACUAACCUCCCUUGACAAUUGACUCAUUCCAUACCAUACUAUGUGCAUUAUAUUAUUAUGGAGGUAAUUAUACAAUGAUAACUUUACUUCCAUGUCAUGCUUUCUCCACAAUUUUAGAAAGUAAAAUCUGUCUCUAGCAUGCAUGUGAUUCUUGCAUUGAUAUUUAUUUAUUUGGAUAACCUAAUUAACUUCUUCCACACUCGUGAAAAUUAGAUAAGUGCUUUUUCAUGUGUGACUUAUUGACUGUGUUGUUGCUCUAAAUCAGGUUAGUGCCAUAAUGUAUGAAAUCAACAUUUUGAUGUGGGAGUUUAGUGCUCGUCAUGUGGCUAGUCAGGCAAAGACCUCAGAGGAGCGAGGAAUGUUAGAAACCCCAAUUCGUGCUCGGCAAAUAGUCCUGCGUAUUCGUGGCCUUUAUGGGAUGGACAUUCUUACAAAGUGAACGAUCGGAUGAGUCCAUAUUUGGAUUAUGGGGCACGUCCGCUGUUGGCAAGACACGGCUUCUUUCGCUUAUCGCUGAUAGCUACGCUGACUCAUUUCAUCACGUCAUAUUUCUUGAUGGUGGCAGUUGCCUGAGAGUCAUGCAAAAUCAUUUCGCAUAUUUUUUGAAAUUGGAUUGGGAGACAAUCUCAUUGUUAGAGGAGCAUUACCGAGCUAAAAUCAUUAUGGAGUACCUAAGAGCAUGUCAGUUUUUUGGUUCUGUUAGACGAUGUGCAAGAUGAAGUCUACCCAGAUUUAACAGCUCUUGGUUUGCCGAUGGCUCUUGGGCAUCGGCAAAAAGUUGUUCUUACGUCGAGGAGUCAGGUAGUAUGUGUUCGCAUGGAAUGCACCAUAUCAAACACUCUGGAGAUGAAGUGUCUUGGGGAUGAAGAUGCUUAGAGUCUUUUCAAGUAUAAUGCGGGAGUAAAAAUCACAGAAGCUGAUACUGAAAUUUAUGAAUAUGCAAAACAAGUAUUAUAUAUUUCUACAUAAUAACUUUUCAGAUAUACGUUUAACCUACAAAUAAAAACUGUGCACUAUAAUUUAUAGUUUAUAUUGGUUAUUAGAUGGUUUCAGCAUGUGGAGGGUUGCCUAGAGCCAUAUGUGCUAUUGGCCUGGGCAUUUGGUUACACCGAACCGAUCGGUUCGGUGCCUCGGUCUAUUUUUAAUUUCGGUUUCCAAAUUUUAUGGACCGAUCGGUCUUUUGAGAAUUCACUAACCGAGGCUUUCGGUCCAGCGAGAAUUCGGCUCGGUCCUCGGUUAUAACCGAAGGGGACUUUUUUUCUACGGAAACACUAACGCCCACAUGUGUGGGCGUUCUCCAACUCGCCCACACGUCUAGAUGGUCGUUGAUUGUCUUUUGCACGAAUCUGGACACAAAAAGAUGGAUUUGAUGUGCCACGUAGGACGGGGCUAGUGUGUGGGCGUUGGAGAGUUUGCCCACACGCCCCGCAUCACGCUGUUGCGAGCUGCGAUGUGUGGGUGAACUAGUUUCUGCCCACACAGCCACCACCUAGUCCAUGCACGUGUGGGCGAACUGAUUUUCACCCACACGACACUCCUAUGUUGUGGAUGACAACUGCAGUUACGUGAACGUGGCAACUAGGUAAACAAACAUGGUAACUGUGAUUCUUUUGCUAGACGGCAACUGCAGUUGCACGUGUGUGGCAAACAGAUAAACACACAUGACAACUGCGAUUAACUAUGCAUGGCAACUAUGGUUGGACCACACGUGGCAACUAGGUAAACACACAUGGCAACUACUGUUUGAGCAUGUGUGGCAAGUAGUUAAUCACACACGGCAACUACGAUUUUGAUUACACGCGGCAACUACCAUAAAUUAGACAUGGCAACUAUAAUUGAUUAAAACGGAUAGAGUUGUCAUGCUUUUACAACUACACUUGCCAUCGCGGAUAACUACAUCUGCCAACCAGGAUGGCAACUAAAUCGUCAUCCCGCGGGUACCUAACGUUGCUGCGCUAGGACGUGUGGGCAUUUUUGCUUCGUGCCACACGCGUGGGGUGGAGAUGAGUAGUACUUGUUGGGCGUGUGGCACGAAGUAGCCGCGCCCAUACGUGUGGGCAAUUCUAAUGUCCGCCCACACACAACCCGUGUGGCUGCCUCCUGCUCACACCACACAUGGUGUGUGGCCAGACCCUUUAACGCCCACACGUGUGGGCGUUAUCGGUGUCCUUUUUCUAACUUGAAGAGAGAACAUACUGGAUUGGAAGGAAUAAAUCGGGAGUCAAAUUCUAAGCGAGAAACAAGUUCGGAAAAGGAAUCGAUCCAAACAUGCAUUGUGCUGCCUAAUAUGGCUCAAUCAGGCCGCUCGUGGCAACCUUUGCAUAGCAUACAUGAAUGGUACAAGGAAAGACAUACAAUAGGAUACUAGAUAGGGAUCGCGCCGUGGCGUGAGGGUGCUGAUCAAAACGUUUGUAUCCACAUAAUAAGAAGCUACUUAACAAUGCAUGAACAUAGAAAGCAUGUUUCACGAUAGGUUAGCACCAAAUAUCUUAGGCAUAGAAGAUAUGACAACACGUCGCUUAAAGACAAUUUACAACUAUGCAUAGAUAACUUUAAGUUUUAGGCAUAACGUAGAUGUUUAGGCAUAGAAGAUACGACAACACGUCGCUUACAGACGUUUUAGGCAUAGAAGAUACGGCAACACGUCGCUUACAGACAAUUUACAACAUGGGUCUUGCCGUCCUCAUGAACAACGCGUUCAUACUGAGCUGGUGAUAGUCCAAGGUGUGCCAGGAGCAUGCCAAGAACUGCCGUGUGUGGGAUCCUAAGCACUCGCUUGGUGUCCUGUAGUUCCCAAUAACAUAAAACAUAAGGCCUUGGAGAAUUGCCCAAAACAAUUGCAUUACAGCAUGGGAAAAGAAUCAGAGAAAUCAGUUGCGGAUAAAAGCAACCAUAGUGAUAAAAAAGAUAUGCCAAGCCUAUCCUUUAAUCAGGAUUUUGUUUAGGAUGUGCCAAGCAUUUAAAAAAAAGAGACUAUGAAUCAGGAUUUUGUUGCAAACAGACUGAAUGAUGGAAUGAGAAGAGGAAUAUAUUCAUGAAAUAAAGCAAGAGAGAUAAAGUUGAAAGGAAAGAAGUGCAGAGCUUGCAGGUGAAAAACAUCAUAUAAAAGGUAUAAUCACCAAUCAGGCAAUUUCAAGAUAUCAUGACUUAUUGCUGUGAUUAAAACAAAGCUAGUUGAUGAAUGAUUGGAAUCAGCUAUUCACUGAAUAAAUAUAUUCAUGGCGUAGUUUCAGUUUUGUGCCAUGAAGAGAGGCCGCCGAGUGUGAUAUCUAGAACAGAGAUGACCAUAUAUAUCAAGAAUGGUGAGGUAUGAAGAAAACAAACUCUCUAAGGAACACAUGCAGGUAGGUAUUUUUUUUCUUGGAUUCUAUUGCUUCUACCUGAAUCUCAUGGUAUACAGUGACAUCCACGAUUAGCGGAAUUAAGCAACAAUGACAUGCUCUCUGAUUUCAAUGUAACAUGUUUCAAUUCCUCUAUAACCCCUGUGUUUUAUCAAAACAAGCGCACAAACAAGAUAAUCAUCGAAACAAUAUUAUGUUCUCAACAAGGCUAUGUGCAUUCUUCUCAAGUCUGAGAUAUGCACGUACAGUGGUCUUAGAUCGAUUGAUAAUCACCAUAACUAACUACAGUACAUAGUCUGUGAAUCAAAAGUGAGAAAAUACCAGGAAGAUGAUUUGUGUAGUUGCAAGAGCUCAGGGGAAAGGAGAGUAGGCGGACCUGCUUGCUGGAGCUCCUUGACUGGCCAGUUGAACGUGCAGCCACAGUCGAGAGAGUGCUACUACCUUACAUGAGAGCAUGUUAAAUGGAAAAAACCUCCAAACCCUAACAAGAACAUUUUUUGAAAGAUCCAUAAAAUCCAGAUCGGGAUAGGGGGACUAACACGAACUCAUCCUUCACGCGAGCACCGCCACUCGAUGGAGAUGGUUGGUACCCCACGCCACUCCACGCAUCAUCAUAUUCCUCCUUCACGCGAGCACCGCCGCUCGGCAGCCUCCACAUCCGCCGGCUCGGCUCCCUCGGCGGCCGCUGUGCCCCACGCCGACAUGAGCGCCCAUCCAAAGGGAAAUAAAGAAGUAGACAACAAAACAAAGAGCAAUGUUAAUAUAACCACAUCAUUCAAUUCACAUGUCAAGAUACAAUAGGAAGUCUUUCCACCAAGCGGCAUGAUACAUACAAUUAAACUCAGGAAAAUAAUUUUCACCACUCAUAGAUAAUAAGCAGCUGUAAGGGGGCAAGCAGACAACCGCAUACCAGUAUACAUCCAAAUAACUUCAAAUAAACGUAUGCCACAGGAAAAGUAAACUCCAACAUAUUACCAAAGAGACAAUAAAAGCUCUGAACCGAAAAAUCUAAGAAAUGCUCAAUUCAGUUUACUUAAUAGUUACGAAAAUAAUUAUUCUCGGUCAGGUGGUUCUGGUAUACUUAAGAAAACACUUGUAGACUUCAAGUACAGAUAAAUACUCAAGCUACAUGGAACUAUAGUCAACAACAUAGUUCUAUAAUAACAAGUGAUUCCAAUUAAACACAAGUGCUCAGAACCAUGGAACUGGAGCUUUAUAAAAUCAUGCUACUAAUUAUCUUAGACACCAAUUAAACUCAUAUGCGGACCAUGGUCAACUGUGGGUUUAUACACUCGUCAGAAAUAUUGGCCACUAAAAACAUAACAGCAUUAAUACAGUCAACACAUACCUCAAGUACUGAAGGACUGAGGCACUGAUCAUCUGUUUGACUCAUUUUCACUUCUGCAUAUGCUACUUUUAUAAAGUGAUCGAGCAGGGGUGCAACAUCGUUGAGCAGGGGCGGCGGCGACAGCCAGACCACCUUGAGCACCACGGUCUGGAAGCCAAGAGCAUGAGCAGACCAAAAUCAGAAUGGAUUAACCAGGAAACCCUAGACAAAUCCCUAAAAAACAACAAAGCCCUUGAUGAGCACAUACACAUCACAAAGGGAAAGACAAACAAGGGAGCAAAUAAUCACCUCAGCCAUCUUCGAAGCCCACUCGGUGUGCUCCCUCUCCGGCCGACCCGCAAGACAGCCCCAACGCCACGCCACCGUCCCAACCGUAAAACAGCCAGAGAAGCAAGGAAGAUGGUAAGAAACAAGCGAAAUAAAAGGUAGUGGGAUCCAAUACAAACAUUAACCAGCCUAAAGACGUUGUUAUUAGAAACAUGACACCGUGGUUUCUGAUGGUUUAUCAACAAAUUAAAACAAGCCAUUGAACCGAUGACUUGCUUACUCUUAACCAGAUGAAAUCAAGGACCAACAACAAACAAUAAAAGUCAAGAACAACUUAUAUGCAAUAAAGGUAUGAGAGAGAAGAAAUAUUCACAUAAGACGGCUAUAAACACUGGAGCAUAAAUAAGCAACACCUCUAAAUACAAAUAAAAAGGGUUCAGGGUUCAAUGCAUAGUGGGCUCAGAUUUGCCUUUCCUCGAUCAUAUAAUCUACCCCCGCCAUCUCUUGUCACCAGAUUAAUCUGUUUAUACAGUGGAGCUGCCCUGGUUAUCACUCAACAAGAAUGACCAUCCAAGGACAGAACAAUAAGUAUCACAUGAUCAAAAAGGAUUCUAGAGACAAGAGGGAGGACCCAACUUGAUACCCACAGGUGCCUUGAUUGCUCAAAGGAACACUUAUUUCAGCCACAGUGAAUCAUCAUCACCCUAGCAAGGAUGGCUUCCAACCGGUGGCACACGUGCGAAUAAAAUGGGUUCAGGGUUCAAUGCAUAUGGGCUCAGAUUUGCCUUUCCUCGAUCAUAUAAUCUACCCCCAUCAUCUCUUAUCACCAGAUCAAUCUGUUUAUACAGUGAAGCUGCCCUGGUUAUCACUCAAUAAGAAUGACCAUCCAAAGGACAGAACAAUAAGUAUCAGAGGAUCAAAAAGGAUUCUGGAGACAAGAGGGAGGACCGAACUUGAUACCCACAGCUAAUCAUCAUCGCCCUAGCAAGAAUGGCUUCCGACCGAUGGGGCACGUGAUUCAAACGCGGUGGCACGAGAUAUCUCAUUUUGGGAGUAACUAUUCAAUCCCGCGGUAACUUUUGUUAUCCGACGGACGAGGUCGUUACAGGGGUCGAUUCGACGGCCCAAGAUCCAUCAAGCAACCAGAUCCGACGGCCAGGAAUCCCAAAUCGCUGAGGAGCAGCCUGAGGAGCUUCUAUUCUUAUUUCUGGAUGGACUUAUUUCUGGAUUUCUGGAUGGAUCACCGGAUCAAUAUGUUCUUACGAGGGUUUAACUGCCCUGGUAUCACUCAUUAUAAAUGACCAUCCAAGGACAGAGCCACUAAAAUAAGAACGUGAUCGAAACAGCUCAAAGAAACAAGGGAGGAUCCAAAUUAAUACCCACAAGUGCCUCGACUACUUGAGAGCAUGCCUAUAUCAGCCAUAACUGCUCAUCAUAGCCCUGGCCAUGUCCCAUAUAGUCGUCGAAGCAGAGCAGGGGAAGAUGGAGCUCACAGAGGGAGGUUGUAGCCGAGGCAGUACUCAGAGGGCACCGGGGUUGCGCCUAAACGCCAUCCAACUAGUGAGGAACCACGUCGGAGUUGCGCCUUGCAUCAUCCCGCCGACGAGCACGAAAGCCAUGGCACCGAAGUGGCCAAGGAGGCGAGGAGGUGAUGUAUAGCACAUCUAGGAGCACCAUCAGAGACAACCGGGGCAACGAGCAGGCAGGGAGAGAGGCGAGGCGGCAGGGAGAGGAAAGGGCACAAUGUGAGUGCAGGCCUGCAGGGAGCGGAACAUCAGCUAUUUUUUUCUUUCAGAGUAUAUAGGAAGUAUCAAACAUAUCAUAUAAGUGCAAUCAUCUUUGAUAAUAUAAGAGAGCAUACAAAUCACAGAGCUUGUUUAAGAUAUUUUGUCACAUCAAGUAGUUUAGAUAAGAAAAGCCUAACCCAGAAUUACAAAUAAUUGGAGCGAGUGAUAGAUUUAUUAUUCUGAUAAUUUGGUAGUGACUAUACAUAAAUAGUUCAUUCGCCAACAGUAAAAAAUAUGCGAUGCAUUAUUUACACAAAACAAUAUUUUUUGUAUGGGGUCAGAAAGAUAUUUCAGCAUUCAAAUCAAUAAGGCUGAAAUAAUCUAAGAGUAUUAUCACUAUAGAGCAACAAUUUAUGAACUCGCUGUCAGUCAAAAGUAUUAUCACUACAGAGCAACAAUGAUUUACAGAGAAGGGGAUGAGUAAGGUUUGUUUGCUCAGGACUGUGCAUCAACUAAUCACCUAAAGUAAUUUCAAUAAAUAAAGAUUUACAUAUCGACCAAGAUAAACGUCACGGUUAAAAAAUACGUUGAUAAUAUAUACAUCAAUGACAUCUCAAAGCUCAUUUCACAACAAGACUACUGUAAACUUGAUAUAAAUAUAUAAUGGCCCCAUAAAGAUCCCCAUCUGUAGAAACCAAGUGAAAAAUCGUUUGGAAUAUGGUGUUUAGAUAUCACUGCCCAUAAAUAUAUAAUGUCGCAUGAAAAAUGGUGUUUGUUCUAAAUGGUCACUGAAAAUACUUGUUCUAGCGCUGCAAACAUACACAGAUAAAGGGCAAGCCAACAACCGUAGGUAUUCAGUAGGCCUAUACACAUACACCUAUUUUCUUCUAUUCUAGAAUCAAGAUGCACUUUCAUGUAUUGUUAGAUUAUUUCUCAUCGUAAAGAGGAUCGAGCCAAAGCAUGAUUAUAAGUAUGUAAGCGAACAAUAUGGACAGAAGGAACAAACAUUGGGUGUCAAAUGCAAACAGUAAGCUUCAGAGAAUUCACAUCUCCUAAAAUCAUUCAAGGGAUUGUAGCCUUUUGACUACAUGGUAGGUUGGUAGGUAGAAAUACGUUCAUAUACAUUGACAUCAACAUUUUUAACCUGGGAAUAGAUAAAAAAAACGGCAAAGAUGCAUCUCAUAUAAUCAAAGUAAACAUGGUAGAUCCAAAGCAAUGUAUCUAAGACUUAAAUUAAGGGGAAAAUGCAAACUAAUUAAAGAUUGAAGCCGUCAAUUUCACUCCCACAAUUUGCAAAUUGUAAUGGUCUCAGAUGAACUAACUGAAUAUAUUUACAUAAGGCAAGAGAAAUCAUCAUCACUGAUAUUCCCUACAGACCUAGGUCUCUGCCAAGAAUCACACAAGUUCCUUGAUGCUCCAAAAACCAAGCGAUGUUCGAGCAAGGGAAACACGAGAAGGCGUGAGGAGAGCUCCGUCGGGAGGGAGAGGGGUAGGGUUCGUUACAUGAGUUCACUGUAACUUCACCUCCGGAUCCAGGCGAGGUACUCUGUAAUUUAGAAACAGAGAUUCACUACGGUGGGUCAAUUACGGCACAAUCGCUGGUGAGAACAUCAGAAGAACUUAUUUUCAAACUGAAUUAAGGAAAAACAAUUGUUGCAAGUAAAUUUACCCUCUAAUUACUGAUAAAGCGCAACAACAUUCAGCUAAUGAGACAUGAGAAGGAACUUUUCAUAUUGUAAUAAGGAAAACUGGGCAACAUCAAAUAUCAUCUCAUUGAUUCUGCUAUAUAACAUAUAUUCACAUAAACCAUAAGAUAUGAUUGGAACUGCAAUCUCUAAACCAAAACGGCAACAAUAGAAUCAAAGUCCACUGUAUUACUAUCUAGAAAUUGAAGAGGACUACAGAAGUAUUUUUAGUGUACAUCAAGCUUACCAGGAAAAAAAAAGCAUAGCUCUUGAACUGCACAUACAUGCUUCACUAACAAAUCUUGGCCUAGCCAAAACAAAUUCACCACACCUGUACAUGAACAUUCAGGGAAAGAAAUGAAACACCACACGUGAAAAUGCAUCCUGAUAACUAAUUAACUACUCAGCAAAUCAAAUGGUAUGUUCGAAUGCCUCUUUUGAUCCUAUGAAACUGUAUACAACAGAUAAGUAAUUAUCUACUCGCCAAAUCCAGUAGUAUAUUUGAGUGACUCUUCUUAUCCUUUCUCUGAAACUAAUACAAAAGAGAACUUAUUAGCCACCCGCAAAUCGAGUGUGAUAUUUGAACGCCUCUUCUGAUCAUUUCUCUUAAACAGUUUAGUUUACACCAACUUUAGUACUGAGCAGAAUAUGUAUGUAAAUAAACCAGAGGAGACUGGAAUUUACAUCCCUAAUUAACAAAAUCAGCUAUGUUUUUAAAGGGCAGUGGCAAAGGAUAACCAUAUGCAGUUAAGCCUUGCUUAUCACCCAAUUUCAGAACCAGUCAGCCUUCUAUAAGUAUUAUCAUGCGUGCAAUCUGACACGAAGGCCAAAACAACACUAUCUAUCUUCACAAAAAUCCAUUAUACGCUUCGGUACAUCUGAGAGUUAAGGAUCUUCAUUUUUAUUUAGAUGAAAUUACUUGGUAGCUAACAAACAUACCUCGAGGGAUGUGCACACAUGAGAGAUCGCCGGUGCCCUUUCUAGCUUCGGCGGCAGACAUCCUCCCUUUGCUCUCCUUCCAAUAGAUAUUAGAGUACAUUAAACCAAAAACCAAAAGGGAACAAGGGAGUGGAAGACCAGGAAUUAAUCGGACCACAAGAAAUCUAAGGGAAAAAACUAAAAGAAGGCCAAACAAUACUUGUGCAGGACCAAAUGACGCAUCACAUAGCAAUGAAACUGGAGGUUAGAAAACUACUCAGACUUUCAUUCCAUCAUGGAUUCAAUCUGAUCUAAAUGUAACCAAAUAAUGCAUCGGAACCAUAUUGACUACUAAAAGGGCAAGCACAAGCUUGCCAAAUUUACCACAAAUGUAGCAUUGCAAUCAAAUGGGUCCAAUCUUGAUGAAAGCAAAAAUGUAUCAUAUAGCACGCACGCACACGAACAGUCACAUUAUCCUCAUCUUGCUGAAAGCAAAAAAUGUAUCAUGUACUGUAAAUUCAUACCUUGACCUGCAAAGGGUAUGGUCCAGUUUCAAUCAUGUUGGCCUUUAGAUAAGUUUUUGAACAACAAUUUCACCACCUGCACUAAAAGCAGAGGAAUUCAAGGCCUUGCACGGAUGCCUUCUUCAUGAUGGUGAAGGAAAUCAUUCCAGAGAUUUCUUAACAUCAAAGUUUAGGAAACCAUUCAGAUUUAUGUCUCUGAACAGUUCUUUGUAAGCAUUUUGCCAUUACCUGCUCAAAUCCCCAGGUUGGGCUUGAGACCAACCAGCCCCUGGGUAUCCUCAGUGUCCAAUGGACAUGCAUCCUCAGUGUCCAAUUGGGGAUUUCCUUUUUAGAGCUUCAGGAGUUGCAUUUGGUAUCAGCUUUUUUUUGUUGAUAUAUUCUUCUUGAGGACAAUUCAAGCCAUUAGAUGUAAAACACUGAGAGACCACAUAACUGAAUAAUCUGUGCUAGGUAUAGCUGUAACUUUAGCUGCACCAGUACUGCCAGGAUAUGACUCUCUAAGUCUUGCAUCUGAGUCCAGCGGAUAGACUUUGAUGGAAGAAUUGCUCGCACAAGUUGUAGUAUUAGGCGGCACAUUUUAUAUGGCUGAGUGUAAAAUGGAGUAGAUAGCACAAGCCUUGGGAUUUGUGUGACAUCUGCAUAGCAAUCAAAGAGGAAUCAAGUGCAUGUAAUUACUAUUUACUUCCUUUUUAAACUAAUAUAAGAUCUUUUAGAUCACUAAAAUAGUGAUCUUAAAAAGAUCUUAUAGUAUUAUCAGUUUACACUUGAUAGGCCUAGCCUCUGCUUUAGCUUUGCAGUUGAUUUCACUCUGGUAGUGUGCGUUUUCCUCGAUAUCUCUUUUAUGCCUCCUCAUGUGAAGGACCGCUGCCCUGGUUUCAGGCAACUUGUGCGUGGCUGGUAGGAGCUGUGGAGACAUGGUUGGACUUCAUUAUUACUUGUUGCUGCGACAAUCAAGAGUUGGAAGAGUCCAGAUGGCGGCAGUUUUGAUGUUUACUUGUGAAUAUGGUGUGAUAUGUUUGAUGAUAAUACUUUCUAGCAUGUGUUUUCUUGACCUGUCAGUCUUCUGAUGCGUAAACACAGAGCAGAACACCUUGAUGCUCCGACGGAAUGCAAGAGAAGAACAGACUUGUUGUGGAUGCUAAAUUCUGUGCUUGUUUGUUUUGCUGUCUGUCUCAUUCUGUCAUUCGCCUUAAAACUUUUGCCCAUAAGCACUCUCCGCUGUCUGACAUGCCAGCAACGUUGCACACCUGCAUGCCUGCAGCGCGAAAUGGUCGACGGCGAGCAGGCGAGGAUUUCUUUCAUGAGCCUGAUCUGGCGAGGGAUUCCAGCACGCACUCUCCAGGGGGCUGGGCGCCUAACACAUUGGAACUUUUUUA
Molecule: long non-coding RNA, 149029 nt
Filed under: Triticum aestivum (bread wheat)
Lineage: Eukaryota; Viridiplantae; Streptophyta; Magnoliopsida; Poales; Poaceae
Description: long non-coding RNA (TAES_LNC028148)
Source: RNAcentral